ACACCUGCAUGUGUUAUACAUUGAUGUUUUAAACAGAGAGAGAUCCUAUCCUAGGAAGAGUACCUAUGCAAGAAAGGAUGCAUAUACAAAUAAGUGGAUUAGUCCACGAAAUAAGUAUUAAUACCAUUAAGACAGCAUGAGCAAAAUUUUAAAACAAGAACCUCACAACCCAAUUGAUCCUGCAGCUACAUGAAUGAUUGUAACCUAAAGUUUCUUCCAUUGCGUAAAUAACAGAAGAUGAGAAACUACAAAUAUGUGCUUGUCUUGGGCACAUGAUGACUCUGAAAACUGUAGUUUUAUGUUGCAAGUCAUCAGAAGAAUAGAUCCUGAUAGAAUUGGCAGUUGAAGCAUUUUGAACUUUUUCAAAAUAAUCCUAACUUAAUGCAGAAAUUAUACAUUACGAAAAAUAGAUGGAAAAGUGAAAUAUAAAAGCCCUAACAUGCAAUGCCACAAAGAAAUGCUCCAGAUCCUACCUCGGAAAAUAUGCCUAAACUUCCAUUCAACAUCAUGGAGAUCCCUGGCAAUAAGUUCCUGCGCUGGUGGCUGUAGCGAGAAAUCCUGCAGGAUACAAUAAAGGGGUUUAAAUAAAAAAUAUCAGCAACCAAAUACGGUCAAAUAAAAGAAUAGAACAGACAACAAGAGUUUGAGAAGGGAAAUACCAGUGGAGGAAAAACUUUCUCGGCAGCACGACGAGGAACAGAGAAGCCUCCAUGUGUACUUGUAUCACUCGCCGUCAAUGUCUUGCAAAAGUAAUUUGUGGGUUGCUUGCUUGGAAUUCCCAACUCCAUUGGAAGAAAUGUUUCUUUUUGCUCUUGCUGUGUGAGAAUGUGUGUGGUUUCAACAACAUUACAACUUAUUAUGUUAAGCUAAAACUCCAACAAAUUAAACCAAAAAAAGACCAAGAAGAAAAAGAAAAGAAUAAUUUACUGGCGUCAAAGGCUGUAAUGUCAUUUGGGCAUAUACUUCAUCUGUCUCCACAUCUGCCUGAAAUCCAAUGCUUAAUCAAUUCCAUUUGUGUUCCAAUUUUUAACUCUUUUUUCUUUCUUUCUUCUAGAAGAAAUAAACAAGUAAGAGUGACGUAGCUGAAUCAAAAUUCACAAAGACAAAGGGAACCCACAUGCAUUGUGACAUUGUGCAGCUGACAGAUCAACUGGGGCGGCAAGCUCGGGUAGUUUGGUAUGUGGGCAUCAACUUGUUUGUUAGUAGUGGCAGCAACCUGGUCACUGUGGCCCUGAGGGAAGUAAACAACACGAGUUCCAGGCGUUGGCAGGGAAACCAGAGGCCCUGCGCAUGCAUGCCAUAGCUCCGAAUUCAAGCACUUCUUUUCAGCUCCUCCGGCUGCUGUCAUUUUUAAGCUCAAUUUUAAUUUUUUUGUUUUUAUUCUCAAAAAGCAAUAACAAUGACAACAACAAUAGUAAUGAUUGAGAUUUGAGAAAAGUUAAACAUAGAAGUCAGAAAUAUAAUAAACAAAAGCAGAAUAUGAGGAAAUUUUAAAAUAGGGUUACCUUCAUGAUCCUGCUGACCCAACCCUGAUGUUGAAAGCUUCAUAUCAAUAUAACUAUCAAUAUCAACCUUAAGCCUUUCUCUAUCUAUAUAAAAACCAUAAUAGAAAACCCUAAUUUUACAGAACCAGCCAUAACCAUCAAAGAGAGAAAAUGAGCUCUACUGACAACUACUGCUACUUAUUGGCUUCAAGUCACCCCCUUUCUAGACCAUGCUCGACAGAAUUAAGAUCCUUUUUCCUACUUAGUCCCAAAUUGAAGCCCCAAAUGGAGGAAACCCCUCCCUCCAUAGAAACAUCAUGCUCUGCUCUAAGAGAUCGCCAUGGAAACAAGCAACAGCUGAAGCAGGAAGAAAGCUCUGAGAGACUACCCAAAGUGGUUGUUUUAGUAAAAAGCUUUUUCUUCCUCCUUUUCCGGUCUAUCACUGUCCAUUCGAUUCAAACCCCAAAGUGAGAGAAAGAGAAAAGGAAAGAGAGAGAAAGAAAGAAAGAGAAGAGAGGAAGAUUUUGCUUUGAAAGUUGAAACUCACAGUGAGAGAGAAGAAGAGAAAGAGAAAGAGUGAUGGUCUUUACUCUUUUCCCUCUUAUAAGGGUCCCGACCGAGCUGGACCUCAUACUAGAAGAGAGUCUGGGAGCGUUAUGGGAAAGCUCUAAUCUCGGCCGUCCACGGAUCCGUACUUUUUAAUCUUAACCGUCCACUCUGAGACUGAUGUGACAGCAGCCAUGUGCCACCAUACUUCAGUGGUCCUUGUCAGAGUACGGACUAUGUUUUAAAGUGUUACGUAAUAUUUAUAAAAAAAAUUCCUCAUCAUCGUAUUAUUCAUACUACAAUAAAAAAUCAUCAUACUAGAAAAGAAAAAUGACCCAUCCUACCCAACUCAAGGAAAAAAAAAUGUUAUGGGCGUUAUAUAUAUAUUUUUUAACAAGUGAUAUUCUAAUUGCUCUAAAUAUGUGAGAAAGGAAAUCGACUUCGGAUGCAAGAAAAACGCAUAUUUACUUUAAACAACUGAUCUAACUCACAUCAACUACAUUAUAACCUUUUUUGUUUGAACCUCAAGUUUGCGUGGCAUUUACCCAAGCACUUUGAGUAGAUAUCAAUUUGUGCGGCAUUUAUGUGAUUAUAUCGUCUUUUUAACUCAACUCUUUUUUUAUUUCUAAAAUUCCCAAGUAAUAUUGUUUGUCCUCAGCCCAACCUGGUCUCAACCUCAGCCCAGCCCAAAACUUCAGCCCCACUAACCGUUCAAGCUAUCCCACUCCCACUCUGCUUUAUUUUCUCUAUGUCUAUCUCUUCGUAUGCUCUCUGUUCCUCUCCAUCUUCCAACCCACCCAUCUUCUCCUUUCCUCCACGGUAUCCCCAAUCCCAAUCUUUAUCUUCUUCUCUAAUCUUCUCCAAUCCCCUACUAAUCCCAGGUUGGUUCUAAGUUUAAUUCUUGAUUCAUUCUUUGUACAUGAAGCUCACCAGAACAAUGGCAUUCAAAUCAGCUAUAGUGCAACCGAAAAACCCACCACACUUCAACCCCACAUUUUCUUGCUGCCUGAAACCAUCCUUUCAGUUCAGGGAGAAUCCACUGAAGGAUUUUGAAUUCAAUAUCAAAAGAAGAAUUGGGGCAAUAGCAGCAGUAAGUUGGGCACUAAUGGCGGCGAAAGAAGCAAUUUUUGUUGAAGCUGCAAAUGGAUUUGACUUGCAACUGGUAGCACCUGGUCAGACAAUUGAAGAGGCACGGAGUGGAAUCAAAGGGCAUGCACAAGCUCUGUUACAAGUGAAAGAGCUGAUAGAUUUAGAGUCAUGGAGAGAAGUACAAAUAGCUCUCAGGAAGAGCUCAUCGGUCUUGAAACAGGACAUAUAUACCCUAAUUCAAGCAAAACCUGCAAAUGAGAGGCCUCAACUGAGAAAACUUUAUUCUGACCUCUUCAACAAUGUGACCAGAGUAAGUUUUUGCCAUUUCCACCCAAUAAACAUAGGACUUGACAAAAUUAUUUCAAUUGACUUGACCAAGUUUUUUGUGCAUUGCAGCUUGAUUAUGCAGCUAGGGAUAAAGAUGCAUCAUAUAUCCGACAAUGCUAUGAGAACAUUGUUGCCGUUCUGAAUCAAAUGCUAUCUAGAAUAUAAAGUAUCAAGUAAUUGUUCCCUUCCUUAUUUUUCUUCCCUGCAAAUUAUAUGCAUCAGAAGAUGUUGUGUAGGAAAUUACAUGAAGCAUAGCCACUUAAGGUCGUCUGUUAACAACGAGUUAUUUUUCUUUAUGAGUAAGCUUUUGUGUCCUUCAUAGAAAUUGAUCAAUCUGCUGAAAGCACUUGUUACAACAGGAUCAUUAUUUUAUGAUGCAAUCCUCUUUCAUAAGGCUUCAUUUGCCGAAAUUGUAAAACCGUAAUUCUUUUGUUGAAUAUGAGUUUCUCGUUCUUGGAUGAAUGGUUCCUGUGGGUCAGACAGACACCAGAAUUGUAAGUUAUAACUGAGGGUUCUGUUCUGUGCAAGUCACCGUCUUCUACAUUGUAAUAUUUCUAGAUUACCUUAUAUAUAAUUAAACUAGAUCCCACAUAUUUUUAUUUCCUCUACACCAACUGGUACUUUCUUUCCAACGUUGAAAGAUAUCCGAAAUUUAAAUCCUCCACUCUCAAUAAAAAUAAAAAUAAAAUCCUCUACGCAUAGAGUCGUAUAUAAGAGAUCAGAAAAAUAGGCAUGCGUGUCCUCAAUUAUUCUGAAAAUUUCAAAGUUAUAAUAAGGCAGCAAUUUCAACCCUGCAGCUUGUUUGCUGUCUUCUAGCUUACCAGAGAAACACACCUGUGCGUCUUCAAUCUGCUGCUAGUAGUAUUCUGCUCUUAAUUUGUGUUGCUGUCUUCUAGCUAAUUGGCGAUUAAGCACUAUGUAAGCAUGGCGGAAAUUUUCCUUACUUUUGCUGCUGAGGGAAUACUGAAGAAGGUGGCUUCGCUUGCAGCUCAAGAAUUCAAUCUUGCCUGGGGAUUCAAAGCAGAGCUGACAAGGCUCAGUGAAUCUUUGAACAUGAUUCAAGAUAUCUUAAGUGAUGCUGUCGAGCAACCGCAAGGUCGGGGCAAGGCGGUAGAGGAGUGGGUGAAGAAACUUAAACAGAUAGCUUAUGAUGCUGAUGAUGUGUUGGAUGAGUUCAAAUAUGAAGAUCUUCGGAGUAAAGUAGGGCUCCGAAACCAAAUCCACAUAAAGGUAUUGAUCACCCUCCUAUCCCAGUGCUUUUCAUCUUAAAAUGGCACAUAAAAUUAAGAUCAUAAAUGCAUCCUUGGUAAAUCUGGAGAAUAGAGCAUUUGUUAUUGGAUUAGUUGCAAAAAAUGUUAUGGCUACAACGCAGUACGUCCCUCGUGGAAUUGUAGGGGACAGAGAAACCAACUCAUUCUUAGAUAAAGAUGAAAACAUCGUUGGAAGGAAGGAGGUUGUGUCAAGUAUAAUUACAACCUUGAUCAACUCCAAAAAUCUAGAAAAUGUUUCGAUUAUGGCCAUUGUUGGAAUGCCAGGCCUAGGAAAGGCAACUUUGGCUAACUCAGUUUACAAUGAAUUUGAGACAAAAUGACACUUUGAUAAGAAAAUAUGUCUCUGACACUUUUGACGUAAAUUCUAUAUUGAGUCGAAUGCUAGAAUCCCUUAACUCAACAAGGGUUGGGAUCACAAGUCAUGAUGCACUGCUUAAAAACCUUCAAGAAAAUUUGAAAGGAAAAUAUAUAUUCUUAUACUAGAUGAUGAGUUGCUUGACAAAACUUGAUUCAGCUCAGGGAAGCAACAUUAUUGUCACUAUACCAAAUAGUUAAUUCUAACCAAAUAGGAAUGUACUUGGAGACCAAGUAUCCACCACCUGUAUAAAUAUUCUAGUUCUAUGUGAAUACAAAUCAUCCAAUUUCAAACCUAAUUGAAUCAUGACAGUUUGUGUGAGUGUGCCUAACAAAUUAACUUCAUAUUAUUGUUCUUUCUCUGUUUUUUUUAUAGCUCUGUGAGAAUGCGAAGGUAAAAAGUCCCACAUUAGAAAGUUGAGAAACCUAGCAAGGGCUUAUAAGGAGUUGAGCUACUUCUCCCAUUGCCAAUUGGUUUUGGGGUGAAACCCCUUUGUUCCCUUUUCCAUCUGGCUGAACUGAAGAUGAUGCCUUCAAUUGUGGUGUCUCAACUGGAACACCAAGCUCAGCAAGCUCGCUUUAGCUGUAGGUUUGGGGGACGACGGUAACUCCAUGGUUCAGAUGACCUUAGGUCCAAUAUAUUUUCAAGGUUAGCUAGAAUAUCUGGUGAAGCACUAGCAGUAGCUUGUGAUGAUACCGUAAAUAUAUAGUCAAGGUUGCGUACGGCAAUGUCCUGCAAUAACAAACACAGCUUCAAUAAUUAAAUAAUUAAGUAGCAUGUAAACUACAAAUCUGCAAGAACUUGGAUCACAAGUCCCAUAAACAGAAGCAUGAGACAAUAUUCAAGACAAUAACCUGCCCUCCACUAUACUUUUAUCUUCCAAAAGAAGAUAAAGCAGACUGUAUUGGAGAUAUUGAUAACUAAGCCACAAAAACUUACUGGAAAAAAACAAAAACAAAUACACUCAAAGGCCACCCAGUAUCGGCAUAUACCACCUUAUAUAUUAGGCCCAAGAGUGGUGAUAUCCAGGUGACCCAACAACAGGAAUUAUAUAUAUAUAUAUAUAUAUAUAUAUAUACAGAGAGCUUCCAUUGAGGGAUCUCUCAAAUAAGUUUAUUUGAGGGACACCUCUUGUAGGCCCCACUACGGAUUGUAUUUCACUAAUCCAAACCGUCUAUUUUGUAGAUACUCAUUCAAAGAUCAUCUCUACAAAAAAUCACUUGAAUCCGAUAUCAUGUGACCACUCAAUUGAGUUAUUGAAAUUUUAGUACUUUUCUUAAAGCACCGUGUUCAUUGAUUUUGUAAGACACAAUUGGAUGUCGAAACGGUUUCCGAUUUGUCUAAUUUUUUGUAAGGAUGAUCUAUGAAUGAAUACCUAAAAAAUAGAUGGUUUGGAUUAUUGAGAAAAGAAUUGUAGGGUACUCUAAAGGGCGUCCCUCAAAUAAAAUUAUUUGAGGGAUCCCUCAAUAGAAGGGGACUGUAUAUAUAUAUAUAUAUAUAUAUAUAUGACGUGAGGUCCAAAAUCACAGAUUAUUAUGACGUGAGGUCCAAAAUUCCUGUUGUAUAAUAAGUUCACAACUCACCAAAACAUUGGAAAUACACAUAGGAAUGAAUGAUGGAACCCUAUCACACCAGAAUUGAGGCAAAUCUGGUAAAGCCCAUUCAGGUUAUUUUCACUAUCUUUCAGAAGUAUCUGUAACAGGGCAAAUCUCCAUCAAUCCUCUUCUUUUCAGUUUAUCUUUAUGCCCGUUCAUGCUCGUAUACAUUAUUCGAAGAAGCUUUUGGCAUAUGGCAUGUAUUGUGUGUGAAAUGCAUGAAGACAGGUAUACCCGAGCGGCUAUACUUGUUAAAUAGAAUAUUUUAACAGUAAAGCCGGUCGGCUAUACUUAAAAAUUAUAAUAUUAACAAUUUAAAAGUAUAGCCGCGCGGCUAUACGUUAGGAUGAGAAACAUCGAUAGUCAUUUUCCCUCCCUCCGGAAAUUGAAGAUUUUAAGGUGUGAUAAAUUGUCAAGCCUGCCGAGUGGUCCCGUCCGCGAAUUGAAUAUUACAGCUUGUGAUGAACUAUCGAGCCUACCGAGUGGGCAAGAAAACUUGACCUCUCUUCAGAAGUUGGAAAUAAGACAGGGUCUGACAUCCCUCCGCAAAUUGGAGAUUCAUAGGUGUGAUGGAUGUUAUCAUUGGCAGAUUCUACACCCCUCCAUGUCUUGAGGAGUUGUCUAUAAGCUACUGCAAAAAUACUGGAGUCUGUUCCAACUUUACAGGGAUGCGCAUCCCUCCAUGAAUUGAGAGUUUUCAAAUGUGAAGGAUUUGUAAGCAUACUGAGUGGCCUAGAAUCUUGUACUUGUCUUCGUUUUCUGCGUAUCCAGUUUGUCAAAAUUUCAGGAAUUUAUUGGAUGUGCUACAAAGCCCUGUAUCUCUUGAGGAGUUAAGAAUAACUGACUGUCCUUAUCUAGAGACUAUUCCCAGCUCAGACAACCUCAAAUCCCUCAGUCUGUUGUGGAUUGAAAAAUGUAAUGCAUGGAAGUCGUUCGCCUCUAAUAGACUGGACUCCUCCUAGUGCAUGUGUGGGACCCACUUGCUGUAUUAGAGAGGUGUUAACAAUGUAGUAAAUAAAUGUGGUAAAAAAGAAGCAAUAUAUUAUACACACACUUUACAAAAGCAUUUAGAAAGGUUUUAGUUGCUUACUAAGCUUUCUGUUAAAGAUUGACGUGUUGCUUUAUGGAGUCCUCAAAACCAAUUAAGGCAUGAGGUGGGAUAUGUUGGCAUGAGGUGUAAGCACAAUAGGUAUUCAUAAGGCUAUUUGGAAUGGCAGAUUAUUUUCAAGCCACUGAAGUAGUCUAGGAACCUAUAGACUAUCCUAUAGACUAGUUGUGUGGCACAAAAUUAAGUUUACAUCUAUAUCUUUGCCGACUUUAACUAUCUAUAAAUAGCACUACCUAGUAUUCCUUGUUUCAUAGGCAUGGCCGGGACCACACUAAGGGUUCCAGUGGGCUGUAGUCAAGCGUGAUUUUUUAAGGGAAAAAAAAACUUAUAUAUUUAACUUAUUUUUAAUAUUAGUUCAGUCAGUGGCGCUGUGCAGAUUACUUUAUUUUUAUUUUUAACAUUUAAGUAAAUGGAGUAAUAUAAAAAUAAAUAUUACUUAAGUUUACAAUGUAAGUAAGGAAGUACCCCCUAUUUGGAUUCAAAUAAAAAUACUAGAGAAUCAAAUUCCCACAAAAUCAAAAUAUGAAAAAUCGGUUUUAGUUCAAAAUACGAUUUAGGCUAAAAAUGAUAGCUCAUUCGCCUAUGAAUCAUAGGUUCUUCAAUUGCUUUAAUUUUCCUAAAAUCGUAGACAAAUUGGAGAAGCUCAAAGUGUUUGGACUUGCAACUGAGAGUUAUACAAUAGCUUUGAAUUUGAGGUAGGGGUUUUUUCUUGGGGAAGCUUUACAUAAAUUGAUUUAAUUAAAUAUUGUGAACACUAUAUUAUGCUUGGUAAUAUUAUUUGAUUAUUAUCCUUGAUAUUGGGUGUUUACAUGUUGUCAAUUAUCAUUAUAAUUUGAUUAAUAUUGACAUGUUCAUAUGUUAUCGGUGGUGGUUGGAAUUCUUGGGUUGAUAAAAAAAUUAUGGAAAAGAGGGUAAUGGGAAGGUUCUUUUGUGUAGUUGAGUCUGACCAUUGUAGGGACCAAGUUUAGGCGAGCCUGUGUGCUCAGUAGAUUUGGAAAUCGACGGUAUAAUUGUCGAUUGAGUGAUUUGGGCUAGGAGAUCAAUGGUGUAGACAAGAUGACUAGCAAAAGGGGAAUUAUGGGAUAAUUGAGAUGAGUGUUAGUUUAUCUGAAUCACAGUGGUAAAAUACCUACAUUAUAAAUCUCACUAAUCACAUAAGACAUAGGACCCCUACUGAGCAUGUAAUGCUCACCUCUUAUUGAAUCUAUUGCAGGUUUUGAAUCUGAAGUUUAGUUUGUGACGAGGAAACAAGAAGAACGAGUUGUGGAUAGUUUUGAAUGUUUUGUUGAAAGUUUGUUAUUUUCUUGUUAUUUUGCUUAUAAAAUUACAAUGUAAAUUACUUUGGUUUAAAUAGAAGUUUGUGUUCAAUCUUCAUGUUUCUUGAUAUUUAAAUUUUUAGUUUUAAUUUUUCUUUUACCUCACACUCCCAAAAAAUAAAUAAAAUAAUUGGGGUGUGACAUAUAUAUAUAUAUAGGCGAGGCUAUGUAAAUAUAAUGCAUUGCGUCAUGGAUGAUGUUGUCUUUUAACAUGUCUUGCCUCCAUUGGCCGCAACAUAUUAUAUAUAAGCUCACCUCCCGGUCUUCAUAUAUAAUGUGUGUGUUAAUUAGCAACUACCUUGUCCUUAAUGGUAGGUCAAGCUACGCAGGCACUGAAGAUGAAGCAAGGAUAUCUGGGUAUGGUAUUGCCAAUAACAAUUACAUCAAUAUGGUGGUGGAGUUGUCUGAUCAGAGGCGUUGAUGCAAGCCCACAGAUCAAUCUACUAAACAAGGGCUGCAGCCAAUACAAUGCCACAAACUUGCCUGACUUCUAUACUAAUCUCAAUGCCACUUUCUCAGACCUCAAAACACAGCUCAACAAAAACAGCACCCACUUUGCCACGGCACAGCAGGCCAGGGGUUCGGAUCCCGUCUACGCCAUGGUGCAGUGCAGGAACUACCUCUCCGCGGCUGACUGCGCUGCUUGCUUCGCUGCCGCGGUGUCCCAAAUUCGCAACUGCUCCGCUGCCAACGGUGCCCGUGUCAUCUACGACGGUUGCUUCCUCAGGUACACCCUGGUCUCUACUACUCUUCCAUGAUUUAGUUUUGUAUAUUUAUUUGUUUUCUAAACUAAAUGACAACUAGAUACACCCACUUGCUGGAAACAAAACACAAAUGCAUUAAUAUCUAUCACGUCUUGCUAUUUCUCAUUCAAAUUCAAUUAUUUCUCAUUCUAAUAAUUGCUUAACUAAAUGACAUUCGUGCCCUUAUUAUUUUCCAAAGUUUCCAUCUGCUCCACAUAAUAAUGCCUUACCCUUUCUAGAAUAUUGAACUAAAAAUCUAUGGCUCCUCACCCUAAUUGGCAGUCGGUGUCAUAAUUCAGAAAGUACAGAAUUAGAAGAAGUCAAAUAUACUUGGAACAUAUUGCAUCCUUCCUAGGGUCGUCGACGUUGUCGUGGCAGCCUAGCAUCUUUCCAAGUUGCUGCCAGCCACAUUUUUUAUGUACAGAGACACAAUAUCACCAAUAGAGCUAGAUAUUAGUGGGAUUGGCCUAAUCAGUAAACGGGUAUGGUGAUCGUUGACCAAAAACAAGUUCAAUCAUAACUUCAUUGAAUCAACACUAAGUAGUAGCUACAAAAUUUGAUAAUUGACUUCAAAGUCGUUAACAAAAAUAAUAGGGACAUGUUCUAACAUUAAUUCUCACAUGAUGAUGUGGGUCUUAUGAAAUUAUAAGAUUAUGAUGGAAACUAUAUGUAAGAAAAUUCGGAAAUUAAUUUACGAGGGAUAGUUUUUAGUCAUCAACUUUUUAUAAAUAGUCUUCCAUCCUCCAAGACAACAAUAUUCAUGUUACGCCUUAAUUGCACAUGAAAUGUAGCCAUUUUGCUAGUCUAGUCUAGCCUAGUCUAAUCCUCCCUAACAAACGAGGCCUAAGGUUAUGAAUUAAUGAUCCUUUAAAAAAUGUAAAUAAUAUUACUGGAGAAAUAAUUUCGAUAGCUUAGUCAAAGUUGCCGUCGAUGAUUAUUGUCGAUGAAGAUUGAUCAACAAAUUAAGAUACGGCAACCUAUAGACACAUAGAAAACGCUGACAAUAGAAACCAAACGUACUGCCAAAGUUAGUCACUUAUUUCUUUCUUUUUUAAACGAUAAUCCAAUAAGAAAAAUUUGGCAGUGGAAGAAAAAUAAACAUAGCGUGUUGCUAAAGUUAGUCACAUCGUUGUUAACUUUUGUCUGGUUGGUUUAGGUACGAGAGCGCUGGGUUCUUUGACCAGACUUCCCUUCCUGGUAAUGUAGGGCUUUGUAGCAAUAAAACUGCAUCACAAGCUACCGCAUUUAGUGCAGCUGCUGGAAAAUUGCUAGUGGAUCUCCAACUUGCAACUCCCAAGAUCAACGGUUUCUUUGCAGCAACUAAGAAUGAAGUUGUUAGUAGUGGUAGUGGAAAUGAAACAGUCUAUGGUGUGGCACAAUGUGCUGAGACAAUCAGCAAGACUGGUUGCCAAGAUUGCUUGAAUGUGGCAUACGCCAACCUUCAAAGCUGCCCGCCUGAUACGGAUGGCAGGGCCGUCGAUGCCGGGUGUUUCUUGAGGUACUCUAGUACUUCUUUCUUCCCUGACAACCAGACUACGAACAUAGUGUCCUUCUUAAAAACCGGUAAGAAUAAACUUUUAUCAUGUAGUCAUUAAAUUUGUUCAUUAAAUAAUGUGUCAUCGUUACAUGUAAACUUUUUAGAAAUAUAUAAGCUAGCUAGGCUUUACGUGAAUCCGAAUUUAGAUACAUGAAGUAUUGUUAUCUACUACAUCAUUUGGUGAACAAAUUUGAUGGUCCUAACAAUUUUAUGCGUACGAGUAAAGUACUUUGUCUUUAAUUUGGAAGUACCCGAAAGCAUAAUGUUUUUCAUAUAUUAUCUGGCAGGAGGCAAUUCAAGAAAGAAAGCCAUCAUUAUUGGAGUCGUAGUUGGAGGUGUAGGUCUUCUUAUUCUCAUUGUUGGAGUUUUACUCUAUUUUAAACUUUCAAGAAAGCCCGAGGCUGCUCGUAGAGGUAUUCUUCUGCCACAACCACAGAAUUCGAAGUUGCAUUUCCUCUUACAUAUAUACUAUUAUUCAAUUAGCUCCUGCUCUAACCAUGUUUACGUAUAUAUAUAAACAUAAAAAAAUUGCUCGUACAUGUCUUCAAUUGUUUAAAUUUACUCAUUUUUAGGUGAUAUUUUGGGUGCAACCGAGUUGCAAGGACCAAUGAAUUACAAAUAUAAAGAUUUGAAGUCAGCAACCAAAAACUUCAGUGAAGAAAACAAACUUGGAGAAGGAGGAUUUGGGGACGUCUAUAAGGUAAAUUAUAUGCUAAUUAAAGAGCUCUAAGAUAAUUUAGUUCAGUUCAGUUCAGUACGGUCGAAUAUGGUGUACUCCUUUUUGACAUGCAUAAAGUUUUGAAAAAAAUGGGAAAGUUGCAUUGUCAAGCUUUUGAUUAUCCAUGGGCAUAUUUCAUUUUAUUGCUCAAAAUAUAAUCCCUAAUGUUCAUUUACAACUACAUGAUUGGACAGGGUACUCUAAACAACGGAAAAAUAGUUGCAGUUAAAAAACUAGCAAUUCUCCAAUCCGACAGGGCAAAGGCAAAUUUCAUAAACGAAGUGAAGCUGAUAAGUAACGUUCAUCACCGGAAUCUCAUUCGUCUUCUUGGAUGUUGUAGCAAAGGACCAGAGUUACUUCUCAUAUAUGAAUACAUGGCAAACAACAGCCUCGACAGAUUCAUAUUUGGUAAUUUUAGGCUUCUUUGUUCAGCUAUACCUCUAAAUGUAUGCUUACAUAUACAUUUUAUUGUUUUAUUUGUUCAUCUAAAGAUCUGUUUUUUUUCUUCUUCUUCCAUGGGAAAUAGGUCCAAAAAGAGGCUCUCUCAACUGGAAACAGCUAAAUGACAUAAUCCUGGGUACAGCUAGGGGUCUUGCCUAUUUACAUGAGGAGUUUCAUGUAUGCAUCAUACAUAGAGAUAUAAAAACCAGCAAUAUUCUUUUGGAUGAUAGUUUCCAGCCAAAAAUUGCAGAUUUUGGGCUGGCAAGGCUUCUACCAGAUGAUCAGACUCAUCUUAGUACCAGAUUUGCUGGAACAUUGUAAGUUAAAGUACUUCAAUUCCCACAGGCAUCAACCGCUGCUGGAGAUCUAUAUGAUCAUUACUCUUGUACAAUGUUUAUACCGAUCUUUUGUUUUGACCUACUUGCGGUUCUAUUCGCACUCAAAAAGUGAUAUGAAUCUACUAUAUACAUGGCCGGUACACUAGGGUGACUCCACUAAUUUGAUCUUGUGUGACACUGACAGGGGAUACACAGCACCUGAAUAUGCAAUUCAUGGACAAUUGUCAGAAAAGGUGGAUACAUAUAGUUAUGGUGUGGUUGUCCUUGAAAUCAUAAGUGGCCAAAAGAGCAGUGAAAUCAAAUCUGAUGCUAUGGGUGAAUUUCUACUUGAAAAGGUAACUUCCAAACUCUAUAUAUAAUUCUUCCCUGAGAUUUCUAUUCUGCUUAAUUACUUUAGAAUUGUGACAUGUUUUAUUUUAUUUUAUUUCUUUUCACAUUAAUGAUUAGGCAUGGAAACUGUAUGAGAAUGGCAAGCACGUGGAGCUGGUGGAUCCAAAUUUGGAUCCAAAUGAAUACAAACCAGAAGAUGUAAAGAAGAUUAUAGAAAUUGCUCUGAUGUGCACUCAACCAUCAGCUGCUCAAAGGCCUACAAUGUCUGAAGUUAUAGUUCUACUUAAAAGCACUAGCUCCUUGGAGAAUAGGGCGCUCACUAGGCCUGUUUUUGUUGAUUCUGAUAAGAGAGUGAAGGGAGACACAUCAACCUCUACUGCUUCCUCCACAUCCAACGCCACCGUAUCGGUUUCUCAAGUUUCAGGUCGCUAAGUGCUUAAUUAAAGAAGUAUAUUUCAACUCUUGUACUUAAAAUUUGGAAGUUUCCUUUCAAUGUUUAGUUUCAAAGCAAAGACCUUUUUUUUUUAUGUCUACUAGGAUUGUUAACAACAGUGAUUUCACACUCCUUUUUCUUUGUUUGAAUUCCUCUUGGUUUUUCAUGUAAAGCACAAAUGCUAGUUGUAUGCCCCAGAGCCAAACAUUUGAUGUACUUAAAUCUUUAGUAUUCAAUAAUACUGCAUAACUGUUGGUAUUUACAUGAAUGGUUCAUAAAAUUGAAGUGGAGAAGAAACUAUCUUAAGAGUUGAGAAUGAGUUUGGGUGGCUUGAGUGAAAAAACUUUAUCCAUCAACACAAGGAGAUGGUGAAGGCAUCUUAUUAUGGUGGGAUCAUUUGCAUCCUCCGGAGCCUUUUUUUUUUUUUUCGAAAUACGGCCAGAUUUUAAUCAUUAAACUAAGAAUGUAAACGCUAGAUCUGAAAGCAGAUUCAAGGAUUUCCAUAAAAAGCAUAAUCAACAUUACGUAGUUACAAACAUACAAGAUCCAUCCACAAUUGUUAUAUAUACAGCAGAAUCAGAGCAUCAUUGUUCCCUCACAGAUACACACAUCACCUUAACAUAUGCUUUUAUUCUUUUAUUGAAUUACACGGAGUUUCUGACUAUGUUUCUUUUUCUUUUAUUCUCUUAUUUGUUUAUGGAAUUACAUAUAUUACUUUGAAGCAGCAGACCCGGUAAAGGGUGCCUAGAAUGACACUUGAAUAUCAAGCAAUGUCAUCAACUGAGAAAUAAGCUCUGGUUGGCCAUGCCACGCUGCUGCGGUAACCAGAUUUCCAUCAGUGACACAACGAUCUAUUGGAUCCGCUUCCACAAAUGUCCCCCCUGACGAAACCACACGAGCCUUAAUCCCUGGGUAUCCAGUACAUUUCUUCCCCUGAAAUAUAGCCAAUUGAACCAAUUAUAUGACAUGAUAAAAAGUGCCUAAUCGGUUAAUAAGUACAUUAACCACUAAUCAAAAGAAACAGAAAAAAAUAUCAUCUCCUUUGCGAUUUUAAAGAGCACUCACCUCCCUCUUCCCCAUAGUUAUUUACAAUUGAGAGGUUAAUAGGUCACAACAGAUCAGCUCAACAGAACCAAAAUACAAAGCACUACCACUAUGUUUUUUUCUUAUACCUGCAGAACACCAGCAGCAACUAAAAUUUCCAGGCCAUGGCAGAUGGAUGCAACUGGUUUCCUGGCUUCCAUAAAUUGUUUCACUAGUACAAUAACAUCCUCCUUUAGUGCCAAAAACUCUGGAGCUUUACCUCCAGGGAGUACAAGAGCGUCAUAACUUGAGGCAUCUAUGGAUUCAAAGUCAGCUGUUAAAACAAAAUUAUGUCCCCGGAUCUCACUGUAGGUUUGGCCCCCUUCAAGAUCACGGAUAGCAGUUGGGCAGGUAUCACCGGCUUUCUUCUUGGGGCAAACCACAUCAACAUGGCAUCCUAGAACUUUGAGGGUCUGAUAAGGCACAGUUACCUCAUAAUCUUCCGCGUAGUUCUACAAAUAUUGGGAAGGGGAGCAAUUAAAUGAUGAUGAUUAGUAACUAACAGUUUAAUCAUUGGCUAUAUUUUGUCCCAUAUUUGUCAUUGCAAUAUAAAAGAAACAGAAAAGAAAGCUUACUCCAAUGAUGAUGAGGACCCUUCUCUCUGAAGCACAUAUGUUGCCUCCUAGUGCCUUGAGAAAAAGCCCAAUGAACUCAGGAUUGCCAUAAUAUGUGACCCCAGUAGUUAAAUUAUCAUCAGCAACACACACUGACAAUGUAUCGGGUUCUACCCAGUGAGCACCAGCAGCAACCAAUCCAGGUUUCAUAGUUGAAACCGCGGUGCAUUUGCGACCUUUAACAGCGCCUGCAGGUGCUAAGACCAACAGCCCAUGGCAAAUAGCAGCAAUUGGCUUUCUGGAGUCAGAAAAUUUUCUCGCCAAUUCUACAACGGAUGCCUUCAUAGCAAGAUGUUCAGGAGAUCGUCCUCCUGGUAUAACUAGACCAUCAUAUUUGUCAAAUUCGAUGUCAUCAAAUGUUGCAUUCAGUGUGAAAUUGUGACCACGAGAUUCUUUAUUAGCCUGUAACCAAAAAGGUACACGAAAGAAAACCAAACACAACACACACAUUAAAACAAGAGUAAUGGUUAGGGGAAUUCAAGCUUCUUUGUCUUGCUUGUCUCUCAAACUCAAACUCAUCAGAGGUUGUUUUCCAACAACUGUGUUCAAUAUUAAAUAUAUAAAACAUAUUCCUCUUGUUUACAAAUAAAAAAGAACAGGAAAGACAGGAAAGACAGAGUUUGACCUGGUCAGUGGACUCUACUUGAAUGGUUAUGGCAGUGGCGCAGAUAUCACCAGCUUUCUUGACAGGAGAAACUGCAUCAACAGAGACUCCAAAUGCCUGCAGUGCUUGAAAUGGGACCAUUGCCUCGUAAUCUUCCAUGUAGUCCCCGCACAGUAACAACACCCUCCUCUGCACCUCGCCUUUCGGAUUCCCCAUUUCUUUUCUUAUUUCCUUCUUUAGUUUCUUUCUUCUUUUUCACACAGAGAGAGUUUUCAGAGAGAUUUUUCAGAGAGAAAGAGAGAGGGAGAGAGUCUGAAUACAAGAAGGUAGGUUAUAGCUUGAGCUGCUCCGCUUUGCUUACUUAAAUACUCACAAAAGCGUUUUUGGAGGUUUGUGGAGUCAGCUCGAUACGGUCGCUCGCAAUUUGAGCAACACAUCGCAGUCAGUUAUCGUGGCAUCUCUCUAUUCGCCGCUUCUUUUCAGUUCGGAUAACUAUUCUAUUAGUUUCGAGCCUAUCACCGUCUCCAUGUUUGAUACGUUUUUUUGUUGUCUUCUUUACCGACCAAGUGAGUCUAAAUUAUUGAAACUUGAGUUUGUUCUCUUCACGGACCAAGUGGGUCUAAAUUAUUGGAGGAAGAUUGAAACUUGAGUUUGUUCUCUUCACGGACCAAGUGAGUCUAAAUUAUUGGAGGAUGAUUAAAACUUGCAAAGAGGCGGAUUUAUUCUCUUAUUGUGAAUACAAAUAAUGGUCUAAAUUAUUAGGGAAGUAUUCUAACUUGAGUGCAAAGAGCACAAAUUUAAGUGCAAAGGAGUGGACUCACUGUCUUAUUACGAGUGCAAAUGAUAAUCUAAAUUAUUAGAGAAAUAUUUAAAUUAUAUAGUGCAAAGAAGCGUACUCACUGUCUUAUUGUGAAUAUUCAAAUAUUCGAGCUCAAUGCUUCCUUUUCGAUUGAAAAAAAGAAGAAGCUCAAUGCUUCCAAGCCUAUACUAUAGAAAAGCUCUUUAGAGUCGUCAUCUUCUUCUUCUUGCCUUCAUUGUAGCACGUGUGUGGCCCAAUAGAAAAGCUCAAUGCUUCCAAGCAGGACCGGUCUUGAGAUUUUGAAGGCCCUGUGCAAAACCUUAAAUUGGGGCCUCACAUAAGCUAACACAAACUUACACCAUUAUGUAAUGCCAUACAAUAAAUUUUUUUUUUUUUUCAAGUGAUCAAAGUACCCCUACUCCCAAGGAAAAAAUUGAAAUUUCACAAAAGAAUUAAAUUGGAUUAAAUUGAUUACAUUGAGUCAGAGAUGUUACACCUUUUGAAUAAUCACCAUGAUUGUGACGAUGAGUCUUUGUCAUCAUAGGUCAUACUCAGAUAUUAAAUAUUUUUUAACACCUAAUUUAUUUUGUAUCAAUAUUCCAAGAACAUCAUUAAUUCGAUGCAAUUAUUUUGGUUGACUUAGUUGGAUGCAUUAUUUUUGCGAAAUUGAAUAUCUUAGCAUAAUUAUUGACUAAUUCAUUGUGAUCGGGUAUUUAUUAUUUCCGUUUGUGGUUGUGAAAGUAGAUGGGAUAUUGAAUGUUGGUGUUGACAUCGAACAAGCCUUUAACACAAGCAGAUUUUGAAGUCGAGUCCUGAAUAGAAGUUGAGGCCCUACAAACCAACACAACUAGAAACGUCUUUGUGUCAACAAUUUGCUCACUCUGUAUAUAUAUAACAUUUGUUAUACAUAUAGAGUGCUGCUAUUUCCACCCACUUGUCCUAUUUUCUCACCCACUAUGUAAAUUUGAAAAAUUAAAAUCCUACUUUUCCACCCAACAUUAUUCCUAAAAAACCCUUUAAUUAUUAAUUCGACCAAACACCAUCAACUCCAAGUUAAAAACAUAAAAAUUUUAAUCCAAAAAAAAAAAAAACAUUUUUCAUCUUCUUCAUGUGUUUUCAACAUCACGACCUUACCCUACCAUAUUAAUAUUCUCAUAAACCCCUUAGCAGUACUGGUGGCUUCACGACCACGACACCACCACCACAACAACAUACAACCAACAAGACUACAAUGGAUUUUUAAUUGAAGUGAUGUUAUAUGGAAUAAGGACCCGUAUGUGGGUUAAUCAGACUAAAAAAUCUUUAAAAUGGAAUAAAAUUAUAGGACAAUUUGGCCUCUAUUAUCAACACCUACCAACCCUGACACAAUAUUAAAGGUGGAGUUGAGAAUUUGAUUUGAAUUUUUUUUUAAAAACUUUUCAAAUGAUUGAGAUGGGUAGAUCAAUGCUCGCUGAAUUUGUUGAGGCCAGGAAGAUGGAAAGAAUAUGGAGAGUAAAAGAAAAAAUUUAUUUUCUUUUUAAAAUUUGUUUUAUUUUUAGGGUUUUAGAAGUCAUUUUACAUAGGGAUAAAUUUGUCUUUAAAUUUUUUAAAAUAAGGUGGGUGGAAAAAUAUGAGGUGGGUGAAAAUAGCUGUACUCUACAUAUAUUAUACACAUGAAAAAAAAUUGGGGCCCCUAAAAAAUUAAGGGCCCUGUGCCGUGGCACCACUUGCACACCCUCAGGACCACCCCUGCUUCUAAGCUAAUGUCCCUAUACUAUAUUAAAGCUCUUUAGAGUCCUCAUCUUCCUCUUGCCUUCAUUGUAGCACGUGUGUGGCCCAAUAGAAAAGCUAAUGUCCCUAUACUAUAAGGACCAUGCGGAUAAAUAAAUGUAAUGUUUAUCUCUGACAGGUCAUGCUUUUUGAGCCGUGAUAUUUUUGGAAUAGCGUUCGCGUGCAUUUUACCUGGACUGCCAUGUUGAUUUUCACCAGAGCAGCAAAGCUGCUUGCUUUGUGUUAUGAGGUCUGGUUUUGUUAACAAACUAUAUUGCUUGACCUAGAAGAAAAUGCAAUAUCAUGUGGAUCCUCAUUUCGCAGUUGCAUGAGGAUGGUUGUGAAAAUACAAGAGCUAAUUCUGGACAACAUGAUAUUUGUGGGAGCGAUUUCUUCCCACGAGAAUAUUCAAUUGAAAGAUUUCUCUUUCAUCUUCGCCGCCCCUUUCUCAUUGCAAAAUAGAUCGAAACAAGAGGACCACACUCGUGAGGUGUUGGCCAAAAGCCCUCAGAUGCCUAAGUUAGUUCAAUUGAUUCGUAGAGAAAACAAUAGCUAAAUAGGGUACGGAGAUAUAUAUAUAUGUAAGGUGAAAACCGGAUGGCCGGAGCCGUGAGUGGUGGUCGGAGCCUUGUGUAAAAGGAAGAGAGAGUAUGGCGGCUAAGGUUUGUGAGGGAUAAUUUCUGCAGAGUUUCAGUAAGAAUUUAGACGUACCUAAACCCUUGUACGUAGCCAUUUAUUUACAGGGGCCUCAGAGGCUAGGGUUUUAGAGGAAUAAUUCCGCAUAUGGAAAUGAAUUAUUCCUCCCUGAUUUGGCGAGAUUGGCUUAAUUAGGGAUUUGAAUGUAGGAAUCAAAUCAAUCCCAAUUAAAUUAGCAACUCUGGUUGGCCAUGCCACGCUGCUGCGGUAACCAGAUUUACAUCAGUGACACAACGAUCUAUUGGAUUCGCUUCCGCAAACGUCCCCCCUGACACAACCACAUGAGCCUUAAUCCCUGGGUAUCCAGUAAAUUUCUUCCCCUGAAAUAUAGCCAAUUAAACCAAUUAUGUCAUGUUAAAAAGUGCCUAAUCAAGAAAUAAGUACAUUAACCACUAAUCAAAAGAAACAGAAAAAAUAUUAUCUCGUUUGCGAUUUUAAAGAGUACUCACCUCCUUCUUCCCAAUAGUUAUUUACAAUUGAGAGGUUAAUAGGUCACAACAGAUCAGCUCAACAGAACCGAAAUACAAAGCACUAGAUGUAACCUUUUUUACUUCCUUUUCAAGUUCAAUCGAUAAAGUAUUUCAAUCUGUUUUACUUUAUCUUUAAUAAGUAGCAUUAAAACUGGAAGCAUUAUAUUAAUGUUUUAGUGACAAACGUUUAACCACUAAAAUGCAGGUAGGAUAUAUGUUUUUUCUUUAAGACCAUACCUGCAGAACACCAGCAGCAACUAAAAUUUCCAGGCCAUGGCAGAUGGAUGCAAUUGGUUUCCUGGCUUCCAUAAAUUGUUUCGCUAGUACAAUAACAUCCUCAUUUAGUGACAAAACCUCUGGAUCUUUUCCUCCAGGGAGUACAAGAGCGUCGUAACUUGAGGCAUCUACGGAUUCAAAGUCAGCUGUUAAAACAAAAUUUUGUCCCUGCGUUUCACUGCAGGUUUGGGCCCCUUCAAGAUCACGGAUAGCAGUUGGGCAGGUAUCACCGGCUUUCUUCUUGGGGCAAACCACAUCAACAUGGCAUCCUAGAACUUUAAGGGUCUGAUAAGGCACAGUUACCUCAUAAUCUUCCACGUAGUCCUACAAAUAUUACAAAUAUUGGGGAGGGGAGCAAUUAAAUGAUAAUGAUUAGUAUCUAACAGUUUGAUCAUUGGCUAGAAGCCUAAAACCAUGAACUUGUCGUGGCGAAACUGGUAAAGCCGACUCGGGCUUUCUCCCCUUUCUCUUUUAAUAAUAUUAAGGUUGGUUGUCACUUGAACUUGAGCAUACUAUUUUGUCCUAUAUAUGUCAUUGCAAUAUUAAAGAAAAAGAAAAGAAACCUUACUCCACAGAUGAUGAGGACCCUUCUCCCAGAACCAGAUAUGUUGCCUCCUAGUGCCUUGAGAAAAAGCCUAAUGAACUCAGGAUUGCCAUAAUACGUGACCCCAGUAACUAUAUUAUCAUCAACAACGCCCACUGACAAUGUAUCGGGUUCUACCCAGUGAGCACCAGCAGCAACCAAUCCAGGUUUCACAGUUGGAAACGCUGUGCACUUGCGACCUUUAACAGCGCCUGCAGCUGCUAAGACCAACUGCCCAUGGCAAAUAGCAGCAAUUGGCUUUCUGGAGUCAGAAAAUUUUCUCACCAAUUCUACAACCGAUGCAUUCAUAGCAAGAUGUUCAGGAGAUCGUCCUCCUGGUAUAAGUAGACCAUCAUAUUCGUCAAAUUCAAUCUCAUCAAAUGUUGCAUUCAGUGUGAAAUUGUGACCACGAGAUUCGGUAUAAGCCUGUAACCCAAAAAGGUACGUACGUCCGUACAGAAAACCAAACCAAACACACACAUUAAAACAGGAGUAAGGGGAUACAAAAUAAAUAAAUGAACAGGAAAGACAGAGUUUGACCCGGUCAGUGGACUCCACUUUAAUGGUUAUGGCUGUGGCGCAGAUAUCACCCGCUUUCUUGCCAGGAGAAACUGCAUCAACAGAGACUCCAAAUGCCUGCAGUGCUUGAAAUGGGACCAUUGCCUCGUAAUCUUCCAUGUAGUCCCCGCACAGUAACAACACCCUCCUCUGCUCCUCGCCUUUCGGAUUUCCCAUUUCUUUUCUUAUUUCCUUCUUUAGUUUCUUUCUUGCUUUUUCUUUCUUCUUUCUUCUUUCUUCUUUUUCAGAGAGAGAGAUGGUCUAAUAAAGGAAGGAAGGCCUGCUUUAAAUACUAAUACUCACACAAGCGUUUUUGGAGGUUUGUGGAGUCAGCUAGACACGUCGCAGUUAGUUAUCGUGGCAUCUCUUUCUAUUCCUCUCUUCUUUUCAGUUCGGAUAACUAUUCAAUGAGUUUCGAGCCAAGUUUGAUAUUCUCUGUUGUCUUAUAAUUAUUCGAGGAAGAUUCAAACUUGUAAUGUUUAUCUCUAACAGGCAUGGACAAUAAAUGUAAUGUUUAUCUCUAACAGGUAUGGAUAGUUUCGAAUAGCGUGCGCGUUGAUUGUACCUCGACUGCCAUGUUGAUUUUCACCAACGCAGCAAAGCUGCUUGCUUGGUGUUAUGAGGUCUGGUUUUGUCAACAAACUAUAUUAAUUGACCCAAAAGAAAAUGCAAUAUAAUGUGGAUCCUCAUUUCGCAGUGACAGGAUGGUUGUGAAAUACAGGCUAACUUUGGGCAACAUGAUAUUCAAAAGAAAAUUCAAUAUCUUGUCGAUCCUCAUUUUGCAGUUACAGGAUGGUUGUGAAAGUAUAAGCUAACUCUGGACAACACGAUAUUCAAAAGAAAAUGCAAUAUCUUGUCGAUCCUCAUUUCCCAGUUGCAGGAUGGUUGUGAAAGUAUAAGCUAAUUCUAGACAACUGAUAUUCAUUCAGGUAAAACUUCGAGGUGUACGAUGAGAGAGAGAGAAACCAAGGGGGCCGAUGACUAAUAAAGCAUAAGUAGUAUAAUACAAGCUUCAUCCACAACCAAACUUGCAUGGAACAUGGCAUAUACAUAUCGAGACCAGAAUCAUUUGUUCCCUCAUAUAUACAAACGUCACCUUAACAUAACACAACAUACAUGCCUUAUUCUUUCAUGAAUUACAUAUAGUACAUGCAAGCAGCUGACCCAAUAAACAGCAAAUGAUACUCGAAUAUCAAGCAAUGUCAUCAACUGAGAAAUGAACUCUGGGUUGCCCAGUCCAAAUUUCCAUCUGUGAAGCAAUGAUCUAUUGGAUCAGGUUCCAGCCAUGUUGCUCUUGACAAAACCGCAUUAAGCUUCACCGCUGGAUACGCAGUACAUUUCUUUCCCUAAAAUGAAGCAUACCACCAAAACAUUGAAAAUACACAUAGGAAUGAAUGAUGGAACCCUAUCACACCAGAAUUGUGGCAAAUCUGGUGAAGCCUAUUCAGGUUAUUUUCACUAUAUAUCUUUCAGAAGUAUCUGUAAUGGGGCAAAUCUCCAUCAAUUCUCUUCUUUUCACUUUAUCUUUAUGCCCAUUCAUGCAUGUACAUAUUAUAGGAAGAAGUUUUUGACAUAUGGCAUGUAUUGUGUGUCAAAUGUAUACCGAUUCAUGAAGACAGGUUCAACAGCACAUACACCAUUUUGACCUUAUUCAUUUAUUUUUGUUUAUUCUGGGUUACUGCAAUUUGAAUCACAUUAAAAAACAAAUACUGAACAGUGAUAUAUUCAAUAUUGAUUGGCAUCACAACUUCAUAUUUCUCAUUGCACUACGAAGGAAAAUAAAAAUUACCCCACAGAGAAACAGGAUCCUCCUAUCUGAACCAGUUAUGUUACUUCCUAUAGUGCCUUCAAAAAAGACUAAUGAACUCAGGAAGGCCUUCAUAUGUAGCCCCAGUUAUUAUAUUACCAUCAACAACACACGCCACCAUGGUCACGGGCUCCACCCAAUAAGCACCUGCAGGCUGCAGCAACAAGUACAGGUCUGACAGCUGGGAAGGCCGUUAUAUUUUAAAGGCAUCGCGGCGGAGCUAUACUCUAUAAUCAAAAUAGAAAAUCUAAAACGUAUAGCCGUUCGGCUAUACUCUAUAAAUAUAACUCCAUAAAUAGAAUAUCAUAAACAUAUAGCCGCGCGGCUAUAUGCGAUAAAUAGAAUAUUUCAAACGUAUAGCCGAUUGGCUGUACCCUAAAAUAGAACAUUUUAAAAGUAUAGCCGAUCGGCUGUACUCUAUUAGAAGAUCUUCAAAAAAUACAGAAAACCCAAAAACAUUUUAAAACAAAGGGGGACCAGAAAGACAUAUAUAGCAUUUGAAGAUUUGUAAAUUAAACACAGAUAAGAUUAUUUUCACUUAGAGACGAAGGCACUAAUGCAAUUUUGUUUAUUGAAUAUGGUGUACGCAGUGACGUUGGAGCCAAGAAUUUGUUCACGCUGUCUUUUCCCCAGAACUCAAAGCUCAAUACAGGUCGGUUCUCUAGCUCAUAAUGAAUGAGCAAAGCACUCUAACAAAACUCCUAACAUGUGUUCUUGUUUGAGCUUACUUUAGUCUCGCUGUCCACACAACCUAGAAACUAUGACCUACGGAUUGCUAUUUGUCAAUCUAAUAGAGUGGCUCUAAUCAACAGUAAAACUUAAUUCAUUUUGUCUAUUAUUAACGCUACCAACCACUGGCUGAUGCAAAAACCUAAACUUGUAAACUUGACAAACUUAUUUCCAGUCCCAACAUAUUCCAAAUUUUAGAGGAGGCAGCAUAAUCCCAUAUGUGAGAAUUGUAAGCACUUCAAUCUUUGAGACAAAUUUCUUGUUUUGGGUUUACAAAUUCAAGUGAAGUAAGCAUUCAAUCUUCAAUCCAAUUGAGUGUGCUUGAUUACAGAGCAUGGAAAGACCAAUUGACAGUGCUCAAAUGAUGUAAUGAGGCUAAAGAAUAAAUUUUUAUCAUAUAAUCAUUAAAUAUGUUCACUAAAAGAUGUGUCAUCGUUAUAUGUAAAAUUUUUAGAAAUAUAUAAACUAGCUAGGAUUUACGUGAAUUCGAAUUUGAAUACAUGAAAUAUUAUUACCUACUACAUCAUUUGAUGAACAGAUUUGAUGUUCCUAACAAUUCUAUGCGUACUAGUAAAGUACUUUGUCUUUAAUUUGGAAGUACCCGAAAGCAUAAUGUUUUUCAUAUAUUAUCUGGCAGGAGGCAAUUCAAGAAAAAAAGCCAUCAUUAUUGGAGUCGUAGUUGGAGGUGUAGGUCUUUUUAUUCUCAUUGUUGGAGUUUUUCUCUAUUUUAAACUUUCAAGAAAGCCCGAGGCUGCAACAACCACAGAAUUCGAAGUUGCACUUCCUCUUGCAUAUAUACUAUUACAGUCAUGAUUUCUUGGAUUACAAGUACAAGGGUUUAAGAGAUUUGUGAUCACUCACCGUUGGAUGUAAAUUCAACGGUUCACUCACUCUUGCACUUCUUUUAAGAAAUUUUUUUGAACCAUUGGAUUAAUAUCUAACGGUGGGUGACCACAAUCUCUUGGACUCCUGUAUUCCAAGAGAUCGGAUUGUAUACUAUAAGUCCUGAUCUCUUAGACUACAAGAGUACAAGAGAUUUGUGGUCACUCACCGUUGGAUAUAAAUUCAACGGUUCACUCAUUAUUGCACUCCUUUUAAGAAACUUUUUUGAACCAUUGGGAUUAAUAUCCAACCGUAAGUGACCACAAUCUCUUGGACUCCUGUAGUCCAAGAAAUUUGUGGUCACUCACCGUUGGGAUGUAAAUUCAACGGUUCACUCACUCUUGCACUCCUUUUAAGAAACGUUUUUGAACCAUUGGAUUAAUAUCCAACAGUGGGUGACCACAAUCUCUUGGACUCCUGUAGUCCAAGAGAUCGGGACUGUAUACUAUUAGUCCUGAUCUCUUGGACUACAAGGGUCCAAGAGAUUUGUGGUCACUCACCGUUGGAUGUAAUUCAAUUAGCUCAUGCUCUAACCAUGUAUAUAUAUAAACAUAAAAAAUUUAAAAAAAUUUGGUAUUAGACAUAAUUAUCUUUACUAAUUAGUAUUCGAGAUAAACAAUAUUUAUGUUUUAGUUUUAAUACAUAGGAAUUGAAUUUUGUUUUGGAUUUGGACAAAGAGGAGGCCCAGAUUCAUUAGCCCACCUUAUAUUAAUCACUAAUUUUAAUUUAAAAACCUGACUCAAAUUCAUUGGUUUACCUUUUUUUUAAGAGUGCUACUAAACGAACCCUAACAUUAACUGAGUACACCCUAUGAUCUAAGUACACCCUGAUAUUUUAAUUUAAAUGUAAAAUUAACUAAGCACACCCUAUAGAACUACCAAAAAUAUCUCUGGUACACCAUAAUAUUUGUAGCAUUAUUUUAUAGUUGAUUUUUAGCUUGAUUUUUUUAAUAGUGUUUAUAAAUCUUUGACUUUUCAUAUGGAUUUAUGCUUCUACUAAAAUUGUUGACACUUUUUUUGCAAUUUCAAGUUCUUGCAAUCACCACCUCUUUCGUUAAUAAUGAUUUUUUUAUGCAUGUUUCAGUUAUAUACUACUAUGCUACUGUGAAAUUUAUUUGUUCUCAACGAAGUUAAAAACAAGCUAAACAAAUAGAGACACUUUCGCAAAAGACACCUCGUUUGUGAUAAAUUCGUUUUUGUAGUCUAAAACACAUUGUUUAUUGAUGUCGGUGUCUUGCUUAGAUACAUCUUCUAGAUGCUGUAAAAAAAAAAACCUCAUAUUUGUCAUUUUUCGGUACACAUGCUUUAGCCUAAACCAAAAAAAAAAAUCAAAGUUAAUACCUCUUUUGAUGACUUCCUCAAAAUAUAUGAAGCAUCCAUUCCAAAAUUUCAAAAGUAACCCAACUUGCAAAUCUGCAUAAAAACAUAAGAGAAAAACAAUAAGAAAGGUGCAUGAGUGGCAAACGAAAGUCACUGCAAACUUCAUCAAAUUGGCCCUAGUAGUACUAAUUAAGAUAUUUUUAAUCAUACACGCUCACAAGCCAGAAAAACUAAGUCCUAAAAGAGGGAUGAAGAUGCUGCCACCACAAUUUUCAUUCAUGUUGUUAGUGAACUAGGCAAAAGUAAUAUGCAUAAAUUCUAUUUUUACAGUAUAUAAGUCAAUUCACCAUAAUAUUUUUUUGACAACUUAUUGGAUUGUCAGGAAUUCAAUGAUCAAUCAGGCCUUCACAUAAUCUCCACCGCUGCACUUCCUUUUGGACCUUGAGAAGAAGCAGAUUUGAGCCCAAGUCUUCUUCUGCUUAGCAGGUUGUGCUUUAACUUCUCUUUUCACGACAAGCUCAAUCAUGUAUUGAACAACAGCCUAAGAUUAUAUUUGCUCCAAACCAUUCUGACUCGCAGAUCACAAAGAUGAGAACCAAAUAAUCUCUUGAGUAGGGUUGAAUACGAUUAGUAGGGUGUACUUAUUAAAAUUAUAUUUGUUUCACAAUUUCAUAUAUCAUUUUUGGUCAUUUUAUAUUAGAGUAAAUCAGUAAUUCAAUAUAUGCUUUUGUAGUAGGGUGUACUCAGUUAAUUUUAGGGUUCGUUUAGCAGCACUCUUUUUUAAUCAUAUCAGAUCUGCUAUCAUCAAUCCAAGAUCAAGAGACCGAUCUGCGAUGCAAUUCUCAACCAUCUCCCUCCUCUACCCAACCCCCCCCCCCCAACCCCCCAAAAAAAAGGUUUGGGAAAGUCCCAAAAACUAAAAAACAGAUUUCUUCAGAUACAAAAAAAUUUAAAAAAAGAGGAGAGGAUAUGAAAGACGCAGAAAAUCGNNNNNNNNNNNNNNNNNNNNNNNNNNNNNNNNNNNNNNNNNNNNNNNNNNNNNNNNNNNNNNNNNNNNNNNNNNNNNNNNNNNNNNNNNNNNNNNNNNNNNNNNNNNNNNNNNNNNNNNNNNNNNNNNNNNNNNNNNNNNNNNNNNNNNNNNNNNNNNNNNNNNNNNNNNNNNNNNNNNNNNNNNNNNNNNNNNNNNNNNNNNNNNNNNNNNNNNNNNNNNNNNNNNNNNNNNNNNNNNNNNNNNNNNNNNNNNNNNNNNNNNNNNNNNNNNNNNNNNNNNNNNNNNNNNNNNNNNNNNNNNNNNNNNNNNNNNNNNNNNNNNNNNNNNNNNNNNNNNNNNNNNNNNNNNNNNNNNNNNNNNNNNNNNNNNNNNNNNNNNNNNNNNNNNNNNNNNNNNNNNNNNNNNNNNNNNNNNNNNNNNNNNNNNNNNNNNNNNNNNNNNNNNNNNNNNNNNNNNNNNNNNNNNNNNNNNNNNNNNNNNNNNNNNNNNNNNNNNNNNNNNNNNNNNNNNNNNNNNNNNNNNNNNNNNNNNNNNNNNNNNNNNNNNNNNNNNNNNNNNNNNNNNNNNNNNNNNNNNNNNNNNNNNNNNNNNNNNNNNNNNNNNNNNNNNNNNNNNNNNNNNNNNNNNNNNNNNNNNNNNNNNNNNNNNNNNNNNNNNNNNNNNNNNNNNNNNNNNNNNNNNNNNNNNNNNNNNNNNNNNNNNNNNNNNNNNNNNNNNNNNNNNNNNNNNNNNNNNNNNNNNNNNNNNNNNNNNNNNNNNNNNNNNNNNNNNNNNNNNNNNNNNNNNNNNNNNNNNNNNNNNNNNNNNNNNNNNNNNNNNNNNNNNNNNNNNNNNNNNNNNNNNNNNNNNNNNNNNNNNNNNNNNNNNNNNNNNNNNNNNNNNNNNNNNNNNNNNNNNNNNNNNNNNNNNNNNNNNNNNNNNNNNNNNNNNNNNNNNNNNNNNNNNNNNNNNNNNNNNNNNNNNNNNNNNNNNNNNNNNNNNNNNNNNNNNNNNNNNNNNNNNNNNNNNNNNNNNNNNNNNNNNNNNNNNNNNNNNNNNNNNNNNNNNNNNNNNNNNNNNNNNNNNNNNNNNNNNNNNNNNNNNNNNNNNNNNNNNNNNNNNNNNNNNNNNNNNNNNNNNNNNNNNNNNNNNNNNNNNNNNNNNNNNNNNNNNNNNNNNNNNNNNNNNNNNNNNNNNNNNNNNNNNNNNNNNNNNNNNNNNNNNNNNNNNNNNNNNNNNNNNNNNNNNNNNNNNNNNNNNNNNNNNNNNNNNNNNNNNNNNNNNNCCCCCCCCCCCCCCCCCCCAAAUAACACUGUUCGGACCAUCCUCAACACCCCAACACACGUCGCCCUCAAGUCCGAAGAACUUAUAAGAAUGGAGCAGGAAUUGAUAGUCCGCGAAAUCGAAAUGCGGAAAGCCAAAGAGGAUCUCAACCGUCGGAUUCACAAUGAUCAGGUCGCGAGGGAGAUCAUGAAGAUUCCAUAGGACGAGUGGCAAGAGUCUGGCCAACUCUUCGCCAAACCCUUCGGUGUAGGCUCCUCCUCAUCGUCGUCGACGAAGAGGGUCAAGAGUGAAAGAGUGUUCUAUCAGAUUGGUCAAAAAAUAAUACUUCAUUUAUCUUAAUAUAUAACAAAUAGGAAGGUUAUAUAUACAAAGCCUAGGAAACUAUUCUAGGAAAGUAAUUAUGUUCCUAUAAUCUUGCAUAAUCAAAUAGUUGACUUAGACUAAUUAGGAAUGUACAGCUCAUUGACACUCCCCCUCAAGUUGGAGCAUAUAUGUCGUCAAUGCCCAACUUGCUAAAUGAGCUGUGAAAUACCCUGCCUGUGACUGCUUUGGUAAGGACAUCUGCAAGUUGAUCUUCGGAUUUAACAAAUGAUACCUUAAUGAUCUUUGCCUCGAGCUUCUCCUUGAUGAAAUGUCUGUCAACUUCAACAUGCUUGGUUCUAUCAUGUUGCACUGGAUUAUGUGCAAUGUCUAUUGCAGCUUUGUUGUCACAAUUCAGUUGCAUGGCAUGUUUGGGUUUGAACCCCAAUUCCUCCAACAAAUUCCUUAUCCAGAGUAGCUCACAUACUCCGUGCGCCAUACCUCGAUAUUCUACUUCAGCACUUGAUCUUGACACUACUUUCUGUUUUUUACUUCGCCAAGAUACUAGAUUGCCUCCUACAAAGGUAAAGUAUCCAGAUGUAGAUCGCAUGUCAGUAACAGAGCCCGCCCAGUCUGCAUCAGUGUGACCCUCAACAUCUAGAUGACCAUGUCGUGCGAACAUCAAUCCUCUUCCAGUAGAUGACUUCAAGUAUCUCAAAAUUCGGUUUACCGCAUCCAUGUGGGCUUCACUUGGUGCAUGCAUGAACUGACUCACCAUACUUACAGCAUAUGCUAUAUCAGAUCUAGUGUGUCCUAGAUAGAUUAACUUACCCACAAGGCGUUGAUAUCUUUCUUUGUUGGUGGGUACUUGAUCAGGAUAUUCACCAAGCUGAUGAUUCAACUCCAUUGGCGUAUCUGCUGGUUUGCUGGCUAACAUUCCAGUGUCAGUCAAAAUGUCAAGGAUAUAUUUCCGUUGUGAUAGAAAUAUUCCUUGUUCUGAACGAGCCACUUUGAUGCCUAGGAAAUACUUCAGAGCACCAAGAUCUUUCAUUUCAAACUCACUUGCCAAGUGGUGCUGCAAUGCUGCCUUUUUCACUAGGUCAUUCCCGGUAACUACCAUGUCAUCAACAUAUACAAUAAGGGCAGUGACAUUACCUUUCUUAUGUUUCAAGAAAAGAGUAUGAUCUGAGUUACUUUGCUUGUAUCCAAAAUCCUUCAUUGAUUUGCUGAACUUGUCAAACCAUGCUCUGGGUGACUGCUUCAAGCCAUAAAGAGACUUUCUCAGUUUACACACCAUGUUGCUAGUAUUGGGCCCCAUCUUGCAUCCUGGAGGGGAAUCCAUAUAGACUUUUUCUUCUAGGUCGCCGUGCAGGAAGGCAUUUUUGACAUCAAACUGGUGUAAUGGCCAGUUUAGGUUUGCUGCCAGAGAAAAAAGUACUUGAAUUGUGUUUAUCUUGGCUACAGGGGCAAAUGUUUCCCUAUAGUCAAUCCCAUAAGUCUGAGUAUAACCUUUCGCCACCAAUCUUGCUUUGUAUCGUUCAAUGGUGCCAUCUGCCUUGAAUUUUAAUGUAUAUAUCCAUCUACAACCCACUGUUCUCUUUCCUUUGGGAAGGAUAGUCAUCUUCCAAGUGGAAUUCUUCUGGAGGGCCUCCAUUUCAUCAUUCAUCGCUUGAGUCCACUUGGGAUCUUUCAGAGCUUCCUACACAUUACUUGGAAUAGAUACAGUGGAUAAUUGACAUACAAAUGAUGCACAUGACGGAGACAACCUAUGUAGGGACACAUGAUUAGCAAUAGGGUAUUUAACUUUUGUUUUUGGGUCCGGGUCAUACUGUUGUCUAGGAAUCCCUCUAGUGGUACGAAUAGGUAACUGAUAACCUGUGUUUCCUGUAUGACUCGACUCAUGUAAAGUACUUAAGUUGGAGUUUAAAUGCUCAGUUACCUGCGGGGAAUCUUCAGGACCUGAUUGGAUGAUUGGUGAUGGUACUGUAGUUGGAGGGAAAUUAUCUGAACCAUCAUCUGGAGUUUCUAGUAACUCUUGAUCUUGUUGCACUACUGUAGCUGGUUGCUCGGAUACUGACUGCUCUAAAAUAGUUUGUUGAAUUUGGAUGCUCUGAGUAUCUUCUGCAAAGAUAGAGCUCUCCCCCUGCAGAGGAUGCUCAGAAACUCCCCCUGAGUAAUAGAACUCACUCUCGUGGAAAGUCGCAUCUGCGGUAACAUGCAUGGUCUGAGUGGGAUGAUGGAAACACUUAUAGCCCUUCUGAGUGUCAGCAUAACCCACAAAGACACAACGCAGUGCACACGGAUCAAGCUUGCCACGCUGAUGUGGAUACACCUGAACAUAAGCAACACAACCAAAGAGACGUGGUUCGAGAUUUGGUGUGGAUGGCAUGGUGAGGAGAGUGGUCAAUGUCUGAAAUGGAGUUUGAUACUGAAGAGUGCUGGAUGGGGUUUUAUUAAUGAGGUAAGCAGCAAAACAAAGAACCUCCCCCCAAAAAUGAUGAGGCAUACGGGCCUCAAAUAAAGAGGCACGAACAACCUCCAAGAGAUGACAAUUCUUACGCUCUGCGACGCCAUUCUGUUGUGGUGUAUAGGCACAUGUGGUUGAUGAACAAUUCCAUGUUGACUUAAAAAAAUUAUAUAGGUCUUGGUUGACAUACUCUCCUCCAUUGUCAGAUCGAAGCAUGGUGAUUUUCUUGUCAAACUGAGUAGCAACAUAUUGAUAAAAUAACUUGAAUUUGGCGGUGACUUUACUUUUCUGCUUUAAGGGAAAAACCCAGGUCAUCCGGGUGCAAUCAUCAAUAAACGUCACAAACCACUUAAAACCGCUAAUAGUAGGAACUCGUGAUGGUCCCCAAACAUCAGAAUGGACAAUCAUGAAAGGCAAAGAACUUUUAUUCAAUCUUAAUGGGUAAGAAAUACGAUGACUUUUGGCCAAAAUGCAAGUUUCACAAUGAAAGUCUGAUUCAGCAAACUGGGAAAAUAAAUCUGGAAAUAAAAGUUUCAGAUGACCAAAAGAAGCAUGCCCUAAUCGUCUAUGCCAUAGCCAAAUUUUCUUCAUCCUGAUAGACUCAUCUCCUCUCACAUGAUGUGUCUGACUCAAUCUUGUACUGCUGUCUUCUGUCAAGUCCAGAUAAUACAACUUUCCCCUCCUAGUACCACAUCCAAUCACGGUCCUGGUGAGAAGAUCCUGAAAUAGACAAUACAAUGGCCAAAAACACAUAGUACAAUUAAGGGAAUCAAUGAUUUGAGGAACAUAUAACAAGUCAUAGUCGAGUGAAGGGACAACUAAGACAUGAUCAAGACUUAAUGAAGAUGUAAGAGAUAAAGACCCUUCUCCCAUAACUUGGGAGGUGGUUCCAUUGGCACUGGUAAUAUGUGUUUGGCUUGAUGGUUUGGUAGAGUGCAACCCAGUAAAACUAGAUGUCAUGUGAUCAGUAGCGCCAGUGUCAAUAAUUCAUGAUCUAUUACAAAUAAGUGAAGAUGUGCAAGAGGUACCUGAGGUGGCCAAGGCCUUGGAGCCAGAUGUACCUGAUGGAGGUUCUGAUGCAGUCUCCUUGGAUGACUGAGCGGAUGCAAAUGAGGCUCUGGUAGAAUCCUUUUUUCGCCCUUUGUGGACCCAUCCUUCUGGAUAACCAAUGAUCUCAUAACAGCCCUUAAUUGUGUGGUUAUCUAAACCACAUUUGGUACACUUCAUUGGAGGCCAGUUACAAGUAGGGUCGACACUAUAGUUGUUCGGCCGAGAUUGUUUGGACCUCGCAGUAGCCAAGGCCGUGGCUUCAGAGGUUACACCAACUUCAGACAUGGUUCCCUGUCGGUUACUUUCUCUUUUAAUAUGUGCAUAUGCGGCCUCCAAUUCGGGUUUUGGCUCCAUCCGCAAAAUCUCUCCUCGGAUUUGAUCGAAAUUAUUGUCCAAACCUGCAAGAAAUAUAUAAACUCGGAGACGAUCAACCUCUUUGCGUCUAGUCUCAAUGUCUUUCGGAUGCUCCAUGGUGCUUGGACUUAAUUGAUCAAGCUCCUGAAAAAUCUCAGUGAGCUCACUGUAAUAUUUGGCAACUGAUGCGCCAGCUUGCUUCAUUAUUAAUGACCAUCUGUGAAGGUCAUAAAUCUUGGCUUCAUCAGCACCAUUUGAAUAGGUUUGCUUGAUUGCGGCCCAAACUUGCUUUGCUGUGUCAUAACGAAUAAAUCGUUUAAUCUGAUUAGGUUGCAUGGCGUCGAACAACCAACUCUUGACUUGGCAAUCCGAUGCAUGCCAUUUAUUAAAUGUGGGAUCUGUGUCUGUAGGUUGGGCAAUAUCACCGGUCAAGUGGCCAUGUUUUUCUCGCCCAGCUAUCUUCAUCUCUAUGAUUUGAUGCCAUAGAGAAUAAUUAUUCUCAUCCGAUUUGAUUCCUGCGGAGAAGUUGGAGGUGUCACUCUGUAAAGUGACGAUUUGUGUGGUAGUUUUGGAGCCUCCCGACACCAAGGAUUGAUUGGUGUUUGCUGACCCGUCAUCGUUGGCCAUGAUAUUGGCUGACAACCAAUGAAAAAAGGACAAAAAAGAAAUAUCAAGUUGAGGAAAAGCAAGUGAACGGUGGACAAAGGCAAUAAGAAAUAUUGGGUUGAAAGGGAAAAAAAGAACAAGGGGAACGGUUUGAAUGGGUCUGUGAGUGGAUCUGUGAGUGGAAAGUGAUUUGCAAUAUUGCAAAACGUGAUUUGACUAGAGGAAAGGUUUGAAUGGGUUUGUAAGAUGGAAUAUGGGUGGUAUUGGUGCUGGGUUUGUGAGAUGGAAUAUUGCUUUUGGUGCUGGUGCUGGUGCUGCGUACUAGAUGGAAUAUUGCAAAACAGUGAUUUGAGAUGGAAUAUGUGACAGGACCCACCCCGGAAUUUCCACAAAACCGGGGCGAAUCCAGUCUUUGUUCCGACAUCACCCCGAUGUCGGGCCCACUUACUAGAAACCGAGACUUCCUGCCGAAAUUUCGGCAGAGUCUCCCUUAUGAAUUGGACAAACCAACAAAAUUCAACCUGCAUAAAAAUAUAGAAUAAUCCCAACCAGCAGCAUGCUUUACAGCGAAUAAACAGUUUACAACAAAAUGGCCUCCGGCCUCACAAUUCAGACCCUAACAGGGCGAUAACAGAGCAUGUCUAAGAACUUCAAUUUCAACAAAACAGAGUACAAAGGAAAUAACAGGAAGAAAGAGUCCUACGAUGACUCAAGGCUCAAAAGCUCACGAUCCGGCUCUGCUGCGGAGCUCAGUCAACUACUGGCUGGGGGGCGCAAAACAGAAAAUUGUGAGUGGACAAAAAUAAAUUCAGUUCGGUGCAAACCAACGUAAUAUAACCCCACCGUUUAGAAAACCAUGCAAGAAAUACCAUGCAUCUCAAAACCGUCAUACACAAGUAUAUAUAUAUAUAUAUAUAUCAAAACAAAUCAAUACCAAAUGCCAAGUCCAAAAUUCAUAAAGAACACUUUACAAAACCCACCAUCCAAAAACUUAUAAAUCCCGCAACCAAACUCUCGAAAGCGUACCCAUUGGCACGACCGGCAAGGAAGUAUCCACACCGAGAAACAAGAAUGAAUGAAUAGAUAUAUAAUUAUAUAAUAUAAGAGAUAUAUGUAUAUAUAGUAUAAAUAUAACCAUCACCUAGUUGUACCGGGGAAACAAUCCAACCGGGGGAUUGUUUGACUAGUCACCCUGGCAGAGUCCUCGUGAUGAGUCCUCAAUCCACCAUGUGACUAGGGAACGAGCCGUUUAACUGAGGGACCAACUCUCAGCCAGAACGUACAGUCGAUAACCUCAAAACCCGUACGUCUGUGAACAGUCCUACGCGUGCAGACUACCCAAUUAAGGGUCUACAGCAACAUCCCGUCAAGGAUGCCCCGGGUCCCGACAAUUCCAAGUAUCUCAAGUCUCCGUAUCCAAGUUCCACAUCCGGGGAGGUACAUAGGGUAGUGCUUACCGCACACCAAACUGACAUUCUAUACUCACCACUUUCCACAAUCUCAUCUCAACAACCCAAGUACCUCACACAUAACCAAAUAUAUAUAUAUAAAUCCCCAAAAUCCAUAUAUUCAUACUCAAGAUACUCAAAUACGUCAAAACCCAAAAUAUAUUUUCAGUGCCUCAUAAAAAUAUCACUUUCAACAAUUUCAUAAAUAAUAUAUUCAAAAUACCAUUUAAAACAUCAUGCAUAAUAUUUCCCAAAAUCCAUAUAUAAAAUAUACUUUCAAUACCCAAUUAUACCAAACCCACAAUAUUUUACCAAAGCGCUUAUAAAAACAUCAAGCUCAACUCAUGAAUAUAAUAUAUUCAAUAAAUCAUUAAAAACAUUAUGCACAAAUGUUUCAUCAAUAAAACCAUGCAUAAGAUUUGAAAACAAGAUCCACUCACAAGUAGUCCCACGCUGCUUGACCCUGAGAGGGUCCCGCCUGCUGCGUAUGCGUGGUCGGAGUACCUCACCCGUCUGAAAUAGUGAUCGGAGGAGAGAGAACGGGCGACUGGAAGUUCAGACGAGAAUCGGCCUGAAAUCUGUGUUUUUCGGCGACGAGGAGGCGGCUGGCGGCUGGAGAUGGGUCGGGGAACGUCGGCGAGGUCUGGCCGGUUGUUUUGGGUCCGGUCUCGGGGCUGGCCGUGGCCUGUGGCGGCGGCUCCGCGUCUGCAAAUCGGAGAAGGAGGAAGAGGGACGCGGGAGAGAGAGAGAAUCGGGAGAAAGAGAGAGAAAGAGAGAUAAAACUGAAAAAUCUGAUUUUUACUCUAUCCCUUUUCGAAAUAUUUACAAGUUUGCCACUGACACUAUUUUGCCCGUAACUUUUUCGUUACAACUCCGAUUCAAGCCUACCGCGUGUCUACGAAUUCGUCUCAGUACCACCUACCCAGAAAUACCAGUUACUGCCCCAAACACUUUUUGGGCAAGAAAAUGACCAAUUUACCCCUACCCUGAGGGUAAAUUCGUAAAUUCACUUAAAUAAUUUAAAAUAGGAAUUAAAUUUAGAGUCGGGGUGUUGCAAUAUGGGCUGGUGCUGGGUCUGUAUGACGGCUGUUGCUGCGGAAGCGAUUAGGGUUAGGGCAAGAGACAGUCAAGAUUGACUGCUCUGAUACCAUAUCAGAUUGGUCAAAAAAUAAUACUUCAUUUAUCUUAAUAUAUAACAAAUAGGAAGGUUAUAUAUACAGAGCCUAGAAAACUAUUCUAGGAAAGUAAUUAUGUUCCUAUAAUCUUGCAUAAUUAAAUAGUUGACUUACACUAAUUAGGAAUGUACAGCUCAUUGACAUGUUCAGGCUCUACUUCAAGGGUUUGGUGAGCGACGCAAUGGUUGGAAAUGAGAGAAUGGUGCUGGCUGGGGUUGGGGUUGCUCUAUGCGACUCCAGGGAUAAUUUGGUGUUCGAGGUUUGGAAACCCCUGAUUGGGAAUGGGAUGAGCAAGAAUGGUGCCCUGUUGAAAGCCUUGAUUGAAGGACUUAAUGCUGCUCUUGCUCUGGACUUGAAGCGCAUCACCUUUUUCUGUGAGAAUUUUCCCAUUUUUUUAGUUUGUGAGUUGCUAUCUCUUCUCUGUCUCGUUUCAGUCUAUUGAUGAAAAUUAAUUAGGCUAAUUGUGGGUUUUGCAUUUUAAUAUAACGACAUAUAUGGUUAUGGACGCUGUGGUUUACACUGACCAUGAAAGAGACUCUUGUGAAAGAGGUCUAAAGGAAUGGAACUUAUUAUUAUAUUAGUGUAUACGAUGUUGUAGGUUUUGUUAAUUAAUAUUUUUUUUCUUGGAACAAUAAUGAACUUUCAAUUUUCAGAUAUACUUCAUGAAAUUUGAUAGGGCAAAUCGUAUAUCAUCCAUUGUGGACAAAGAGAUGCAUUCGCUUUGAGAAAUUUUACUUGUGUCUUCUCAACAUUUGCUAAAUUAGUUUGCUAUCUUGUAUUUAAAUUGACCAUUAGAGAAAGUCUUGUGAACAAGGUCUAAAAUAAUGGAGUUUAUUAUGACAUUUAUGUGUGCAAUGUUGUAGUAUUUGUGUUGAAACCAAGAAUAUUGGAUGUACUAGUCACUGUGCUACGGUCUAUUUACACCCAUGAAUAGAGCUUGUUGAAUUUCUGACAUUAUAUUUUAUGUAUGAAGGUUAAUGGUAAAUGGCAAGCAAAGAACUACCCAAGAGCAAGAGAACUCAAAAUUGGACUUUCGAAAACUGCAUUGCAGUUCAGAAAUUGCAUUGCAGUUUUUAUUUAAUUACAAUUGAAUUUUUGCUCUUUCUUUGGUCUUCAACCUCACGAAUUUGAAGAGUAGAGGCUACCCAAAUGAGGAAUUGGGGAAAGAGAAAAGUAGAACUACCCAAGAGCAAGAUAACUCAAAAUUAGACUUUUGGAAACUGCAUUGUGGAUUUAGAAACUGCAUUGCAGUUUUAGAAACAGCAUUACAGUUUUCUUUUAAUUACAAUUUGAUUUUUAUUCUUUUCUUGGCCUUCAACCUCAUCAAUUUGAAGAGUAGAGGCUACCCAAAUGAGGAAUUGAGUGGGCAAGAGAAGAUUAGAACUACCCAAGAGCAAGGGAACUCAAAAUUGGUCUUUUGGAAACUGCAUUGCAGUUUUCAUUUAAUUACAAUUUGAUUUUUUGUUCUUUCCUUGGCCUUCAACCUCACCAAUUUAAUUACAAUUUGAUUUGUGUUCUUUCCUUGUUUUUUUUAAACAUAAUUGAUAUCUACCUUGUAUUUUUAUUGCAGUUUCUGUUUUUAUUUUCAGUUUUUGUGUGAAUAUGUGUUGAAAUGAUUUUUUUUUUUUUUUUUAAACUGUUGAUUGUUGUUAUAAAUAUUGUAUAACUGAAUAAAUAUUACAAAAUCAAGUUUGGUGUAGUGGUUUGUGAGUGAGCCUUCCUCCUUUGAGGGUCAAGGUUCAAGUCCCUUCAAUGACACAAAAUAUUUUUUUUAAAGGUGAAUAAAGGGCAAUGGAGUUGGUCCCCUACAGACGGUGGCAGGUGGUGGCCCGCAACGGUGGCUUGCAGCGGGAGUCCGGUGGUGGUGGCCGGCGAAGGGUGGCUGGAGGCGGGAGUCCGGUGGUGGGAGCCCGGCGGUGGUGGCCAACGAAGGGUUGCCGGAGGCGGUAGUCUGACGGUGGCCUAAGGCGGUGACGGCUGCGGUGGCCGGCGGUGGUGGCUAUAUAUGGACAUGUGGCAUAGUAUGCUUGCCUUAGAAGGAGUGGCAUUGUGUGCAAUUGCAAUUUUUUUUAAGGGAGCUUUAGGUGAUAUAUUGGGUGCAACCGAGUUGCAAGGCCAAGGACCAUUGAAUUACAAAAAUAAAGAUUUGACGGCGGCAACAAAAAACUUCAGUGAAGAAAAAAAACUUGGAGGAGGAGGAUUCGAGGGCAUCUACAGGGUAAAUUAUGUGCUAAAGAGCUCUAAAAUAAUUUAUGUCAGUUCAGUUUAGCACGGUCGAAUAUGGUGUACUCUUUUUUUACAUAAAUAAAGUUUUAAAAAACUGGGAAAAUUGCAUUGUCAAGCUUUUGAUUAUCCAUGCAUAAUGUUCAUUUACAAUUACAUGGUUGGUCAGGGUACUCUAAACAAUGGAAAAGUACGUAGUUGCAGUUAAAAAACUAGCAAUUCUCCAAUCUGACAGGGCAAAGGCGAAUUUCGUAAACGAGGUGAAGCUGAUAUGUAACGUUCAUCACCGGAAUCUCAUUCUUCUUGGAUGUUGUAGCAAAGGACCGUAAUUGCUUCUCAUAUAUGAAUACAUGGCAAACAACAGCCUCUACAGAUUCAUAUUUGGUAAUAAUUUUCGGCUUUUCAGCUCAGCUACCUCUAAAUGCAUGCCUCUCAACUGGAAACAACUAAAUGACAUAAUCCUGGGUACAGCGGGGUCUGGCCUAUUUACAUGAGAAGUUUCAUGAGAUGUAAAAACCAGCAAUGUUAUUUUGGAUGAUAAUUUCCAGCCACCAGAUCUGCCGGAACAUUGUAAGUUAAAGUACUUUCCCACAGGCAUAACCCCUGAUUGAGAUCUAUAUGAUCAUUACUCUUCUACAAUAUUUAUACCGAUAUUGUGUUUUGCCCUACUUAUCUUUCUAUCCGCACACAAAAAGUGUUAUGAAUCUACUACAUACAUCUUGUGUAGCUUCUCACAUUCCAGGAUCGACUCUGCCGUAGCACGAUAUUGUCCGUUUUGGGCCCCCUUCUCUGCCCUCACGGUUUUAUUUCUGAAAACUCACGAGCAACUUUUCAGUGGACCUCCUAUCCUGGGAUUGCUCUAACCCCCAACUCGCUUAACUUCGAAGUUCCCAUGACUCCGAAGCCAGUGAACUCCCAAAAAACCUCGUACUAGAUAGAAGCAGGCAUGUAUAUAUAAGGCACAUCAUCCUCUCUCCGUUGAUCGAUAUGGGAUAUUACAUAGCCGAAGAGGAGUACAUCACCAUCAUGGUGAUGCUCUAUAGUGUUUCUCUCUGUGGAAGUGUUUCUCACUUCUGUUUUAGCCUAUCUGAGCAAUGGUGCUCACGGCACCUCCUACCAAGCCUUCUUUAAAUAACCAAAGAAUUUGGUCCAACAGACACAAAACAUUAAUGCACUGAAAAAGCACAACCACCAGCAUUGGAAAAGAAGCCAGCCGCUCCUCUUUCUCAUGUCCUUGGUGCAGCACAGUGGGGCACACCUGCCCACACAUCUCCUGCUGCCAACGAAGUCCCUCUUUAUGCAUAGCUCAAGUUUGGCUUCUCAAAGAACCCAAGAGCCAAAAGUAAUAGCAAUAAUACAAAGCCUAUUCUACCUCUCUUUUUCUCUCUCUCUCUCAUGAAAAACAUCUCUCAUGAAAAACAAAUGUUAGCUUGUUUGAUGCAUUCAUUUCAUUGUUUUAAGUUUUAGAAAAGUGACACAUACCAUGAGAAAGUGAAAGAAUGUCCAAAAGAUAAAGUUAGAGAGAAAUUGCUAUCAAAGCUUUUUCACAAAGUUAGGACACACAUGCCCACCAAGUUGGAUUCCAAUUGCCUUAGGUGUAGAUCACCCAAGUGCUGGAACCCACUCCAUCUGUGUCUCCAGCCUUUUAACAAAGAUGGCAUGUGCCGUCGUUUCCCCAUUUGAAAAACCCAAGGCAUGACAAAUAAAUGAAGAAAGCUAGCAAACAAACAAUGAUAAAGUAGCCCUUACACAAUUAACAAUACAAUUUGGGCCAAUUUUCAACAGUGAAGGCAUCUUAUUACGGUGGGAUCAUUUGCAUCCUCGGAGCCUUUCUUUUUCGAAAUAAGGAUAGAUUUUAAUCAUUAAACUAGGAAUGUAAACGCUAGAUCUGAAAGCAGAUUCAAGGAUUUCCGUAAAAAUCAUAAUCAACAUUACGUAGUUACAAACAUACAAAAUCCAUCCACAAUUCGUACAGAUACAGCAGAAUUACACGGAGUUUCUGGCUAUGCUUCUUUUUCUUUUAUUCUCUUAUUCGUUUAUGGAAUUCCAUAUAUUACUUGGAAGCAGCUGACCUGGUAAAGGGUGCCUAGAAUGAUACUCGAAUAUCAAGCAAUGUCAUCAACUGAGAAAUAAGCUCUGGUUGGCCAUGCCACGCUGCUGCGGUAACCAGAUUUCCAUCAGUGACACAACGAUCUAUUGGAUCCGCUUCCACAAACGUCCCCCCUGACGAAACCACACGAGCCUUAAUCCCUGGGUAUCCAGUACAUUUCUUCCCCUGAAAUAUAGCCAAUUGAACCAAUUAUAUGACAUGCUAAAAAGUGCCUAAUCCGUUAAUAAGUACAUUAACCACUAAUCAAAAGAAACAGAAAAAAUAUCAUCUCCUUUGCGAUUUUAAAGAGUACUCACCUCCCUCUUCCCCAUAGUUAUUUACAAUUGAGAGGUUAAUAGGUCACAGCAGAUCAGCUCAACAGAACCAAAAUACAAAGCACUACCACUAACUAUGUUUUUUUCUUUAAGAACCAUACCUGCAGAACACCAGCAGCAACUAAAAUUUCCAGGCCAUGGCAGAUGGAUGCAACUGGUUUCCUGGCUUCCAUAAAUUUUUUCACUAGUACAAUAACAUCCUCCUUUAGUGCCAAAAACUCUGGAGCUUUACCUCCAGGGAGUACAAGAGCGUCAUAACUUGAGGCAUCUAUGGAUUCAAAGUCAGCUGUUAAAACAAAAUUAUGUCCCCGGAUCUCACUGUAGGUUUGGCCCCCUUCAAGAUCACGGAUAGCAGUUGGGCAGGUAUCACCGGCUUUCUUCUUGGGGCAAACCACAUCAACAUGGCAUCCUAGAACUUUGAGGGUCUGAUAAGGCACAGUUACCUCAUAAUCUUCCGCGUAGUUCUACAAAUAUUGGGAAGGGGAGCAAUUAAAUGAUGAUGAUUAGUAACUAACAGUUUAAUCAUUGGCUAUAUUUUGUCCCAUAUUUGUCAUUGCAAUAUAAAAGAAACAGAAAAGAAAGCUUACUCCAAUGAUGAUGAGGACCCUUCUCUCUGAAGCACAUAUUUUGCCUCCCAGUGCCUUGAGAAAAAGCCCAAUGAACUCAGGAUUGCCAUAAUAUGUGACCCCAGUAAUUAAAUUAUCAUCAGCAACACACACUGACAAUGUAUCGGGUUCUACCCAGUGAGCACCAGCAGCAACCAAUCCAGGUUUCAUAGUUGAAACCGCUGUGCACUUGCGACCUUUAACAGCGGCUGCAGCUGCUAAGACCAACUGCCCAUGGCAAAUAGCAGCAAUUGGCUUUCUGGAGUCGGAAAAUUUUCUCACCAAUUCUACAACCGAUGCAUUCAUAGCAAGAUGUUCAGGAGAUCGUCCUCCUGGUAUAACUAGACCAUCAUAUUCCUCAAAUUCAAUCUCAUCAAAUGUUGCAUUCAGUGUGAAAUUGUGACCACGAGAUUCGCUAUUAGCCUGUAACCAAAAAGGUACAGAAAACCAAACACAACACACACAUCAAAACAAGAGUAAGGGUUAGGUGAAUUCAAGCUUCUUUCUUUGUCCUGAUCAGAGGAGGUUCAAAAUAAAUUAAUUAACAGGAAAGACAGGGUGUCACCUCAUCAGUGGUCUCUACUUGAAUGGUUAUGGCAGUGGCGCAGAUAUCACCAGCUUUCUUGCCAGGAGAAACUGCAUCAACAGCGACUCCAAAUGCCUGCAGUGCUUGAAAUGGGACCAUUGCCUCGUAAUCUUCCAUGUAGUCCCCGCACAGUAACAACACCCUCCUCCUCCGCUCCUCGCCUUUUGGAUUCCCCAUUUCUUUUCUUAUUUCCUUCUUUAGUUUCUUGCUUUUACUCUCUUCUUUUUCACAGAGAGAGAGAGAGACAGAGAGAGAGAAAGAGACUGAAAGUUUGAGAGUCUGAAGACAAGGUAGGUGAUAGCUAGCGCUGCUCUGCUUUGCUUGCUUAAUAGUAAUAUAUUAAUACUCACGAAAGCGUUUCUGGAGGUUUCUGGAGUCAGCUAGACACGUCGCACUCAAUUUGAGCGACACGUCGCACUCAAUUAUUGUAGCAUCUCCCUAUUCCUCUCUUCGUUUCUGGAGGUUUCGCGCCAUUACCAACAAUAUCCAAGUUUGAUUAUUUGAGGAAGUGACAAGUCUAAAUUAUUUGAGGAAAGAUUCACCAACACCGACCAAGUGAUAAGUCUAAAUUAUUUAAGGAAAGAUUCAACCUGAGUGCAAAGUCAAUGCUUCCAAGCUAAUGUCCCGAAAGAGAGAUGGAUAAUGUAAUGUUCAUCUCUAACAGGUCCUAAAAUCAUAGAGUUUGAUAUCUUGCUUCUCCCAAAAAGACGGUUGAUUUCGUUUUGAGUAGCGCUCGCGUUGAUUUUAUCUUGACUGCCAGAUUUUUCACCAGAGCAGCAAAGCUGCUUGCUUUCUGUUAUGAGGUCUGGUUUUGUCAACAAACUAUAUUGCUUGACCCAAAAGAAAAUGCAAUAUCAUGUCAAUCCUCAUUUUGCAGUUGCAAGAGGACGGUUGUGAAAAUACAAGCUAACUCUGGACAACAUGAUAUUCAUUCAGGUAAACCUUCAAGGUGUACGGUGAGAGAGAUUGCGACCAAAAAUCACUGUGUCCUGCUAAAGCAUAAGUAGUAUAAUACAAGCUUCAUCCACAACCAAACUUGCAAGGAACAUGGCAUAUACAUAUCAAAACCAUGUCACUUAUUCCCUCAUAUAUACAAACGUCACCUUAACAUAACACAACAUACAUGCCUUAUUCUUUCAUGAAUUACAUAUAGUACAUGCAAGCAGCAGACCCAGUAAACAGCAACUAGAAUGAUACUCGAAUAUCAAGCAAUGUCAUCAACUGAGAAAUGAACUCUGGGUGGCCCAGCCACGCUGCUCCAGUAACCAAAUUUCCAUCCGUGAAGCAACGAAAUAUUGGAUCAGGUUCCAGCCAUGUUGCUCCUGACAAAACCACAUUAAGCUUCACUGCUGGAUACGCAGUACAUUUCUUUCCCUAAAAUUUAGCCAGUUAACAACAAUUAGGACAUGAUUAAAAAAAGUUCAUAAUGUGAAAAUAUGUAAAUCAACCCUCAAUCAGAAGAAUCAGCAAAAGGCAAACAGAUUACAACUUCAAGUGGGUUUCUUUUUUACCUUGUCGUAAAAUACUCACUCAGUAAAUCAACCCUCUUACAAAAUUGAUGAUACUCCCAACUCCUCCUAACACCUUCUGAAAAACUGAAACUGCCUAGCUCAGCCAAGCCUUUUGGUUUUCCUUACUAGGUAAUUUCUUGUUUUAUCCCAUUCUUAAACCAUUCCAUCUAGCAUAGAUUUUUACUGCUUCAUAUAUUCCUUCAGAGAAUUUUGCAUUACAGUACACACCUUCCGACUUUUAUAUUACAGCACAAAUGUUCAUGCACCAACUGGCAAGCUUGCUCAUCAACACCCACAACAGAACAAACAUCUAAAUUUACAAUCAACUACAUAGAUAGUGAGUAAAAGAACAAAUAAAUCCACAGAUUAUUUGUAUUGUCUUUUUGGUUAAACAUGUUUAACUUCCCACACAAAAAAUUAAUUUUACUCUAGCAUUUUAGUUGAUGUUAAAAAGCGUAAGAAGUUAAAAUUUUAUGUAAUCUACAUUAUAUCUACCACGGAAAUGCUAUAAUGAGGGGUUGUGGGUGAGGGGUUCAAUACCACUAUCCAAUAAUAUAAAGGAAAUUUUGAACUUGAAACUUUUUUAAUGGUUGGAUGGUUGGAUUGAACCCCUCACUCAAACCCCCCACGCAGAUCCCUCUCAUUGUAGCAUCUCCCAUAUCUACCAUAUCAUGCUUGGACUUUAAAAUUCCAAAAUUUAUAAUCUCGAUUUUGUGAUAUGAUUUUGGAUUGUUGAUGAGGAUUUUGCUUCCUUGUUUGUGUGCCUAACAAAUUAACUUUAUAUUAUUGUUUCUGCAUUUUGUACAUUUCAACUCAUUUAGUUUCAGAAAUCAACUUGGACUUUAGAUUGAACUUCUGGACAGCAUGGGACUGAUCCCAACAACAUGGGACCCAUCCCUAUUAAAAGAUGAGCUAUAUAUACAAUAAAACUACACUGCCACAUAAACAGGGAUUACAGCUUCACUUCGUUUCAGUUGAACCACAUGGAAUUAUAGAAAGUCAGCAAUAUUUUUAACAAUAUCAAUACUAUGUUUGACGACGCAACGAAUUGAAACAAUAUGAAAAUAGUCGGAUGUGAUUGAGAAACUUAAAGAAUAUGGACCAAAUUGAAAUUCAGAUCAAAUUUCUGGAAACAAAAGAGUAGCCUGGCUGAAAGGGAGUAACCUUACCUGUAGAACACCAGCAGCAGCUAAAAUCUGCUGACCGUGGCAGAUGGAUGCAAUUGGUUUCCUGGCUUCCACAAUUUGCUUCACUAAUGCAAUAACAUUCUCAUCCAAUGCCAAAUAUUAUGGGGCUCGACCUCCAGGGAUUACAAGAGCAUCAUAACUUGAGACAUCUAGAGCUUCAAAGUCAGCUGUUAAAGUGAAAUUAUGGCCCGGCUUCUCACUGUAGGUUUGGUCACCUUCAAAAUCAUGGACAGCAGUUGCACAGAUUUCACCAGCUUUCUUCUUGGGACAAACUGAAUCAGCAUGGCAUCCUAGAGCUUGAAGAGACUGAAAAGGCACAAUUACCUCAUAAUCUUCCAUGAAGUCCUACAAAUGUUGAGGGAGAGAAAGUGAAUGAUGCUUAGUAACUGUGAGAAGUAUAAAAUUUUGAUCAUUGACUAGAAUAAUACGUAGAUAACAAUUAGUUCAUAAACAAAAGACACGCAGCUUUAACGUUCUUGUCAAGGGGUUUACUAGAUUUACAGUGGAUUAAAACACGUAGCCAAACUUGAUUUAUGGACCAUCUUAUCACUAUUGAUAUUGACAAGUAAAAUAAUAUUUUGAAUUUGGUGGGCUUUAAAGGUUUGUCAAGUAGCCAAUCUUGAUUUAUGGACCAUCUUAUCACUGUUAAAUAACCAGCUUACAAAACGUGGUGGGCUUCAAGGUUUGUCAAGUUGUAUAACUUUUGGCAUUGCAGGUAGAGAAGUUUAGGUAUGCUUCAAAGGAUUUGGUUUUAAAGAGAAAACAAACAACUGGUUUCAAGAAAUAGGUUCUUAUGAAAUCUGACAGCAACUAAUUUAUGAGUCUAAGGCAGUAGUAGCAUUUCGAAUUUGGAGACCUAAUUGGCUUGGGUAUUGGAGGUAUUCAGUUUUGGGGGAAGGGGGAAAUUGAAAUUCUUCAGUAGUCAACUUUCCGGAAAAUUAAAGUAAAGGAGUCUUUUAAAAUUCAUAAAGGAUGUAGUUGUCUAUGUAUCAUGUUUAGAAUCCAUAAUUCAAACAACUUGAAAAAUGACCAGUAUUCAUGUUUGGAUUUACUUUCACAAGUUCACAACUUACACAAAUGACCUAACAAACAAGUAUUCCAAUGGGCAACGGACCCAGGUAGGCAGACCAAUGAAGCAUACCACCAAAACCUUGAAAAAACACACAUAGGAAUGAAUGAAUGAACCCUAUCACACCAGAAAUGUGGCAAAUCUGGUAAAGCCUAUUCAGGUUACUUUCACUAUCUUUCAGAAGUAUCUGUAAAAGGGCAAAUCUCCAUCAAUUCUCUACAGUUUAUCUUUAUGCCCAUUCAUGCAUGUAUAUAUUAUACGAAGAAGUUUUUGACAUAUGGGCAUGUAUUGUGUGUCAAAUGUAUACGCUUCAUGAAGACAGGUUCAAGAGCACAUACACCAUUUUCACCUUAUUCAUUCAUUUUUGUUUAUUCUGGGUUACUGCAAUUUGAAUCAUAAUGCACAUUAACUUCAGCAGAAUAUUUUGCCAUGAACAAUGCACAUUAAAAAAAAAAAAAUACUGGACAGUGAUAAUCACGAUAAUAUAUAUACUCAAUAUUGAUCGGCAUCACAAUUUCAUAUUUCUCAUUGCACUACGAAGGAAAAUAAAACUUACCCCACAGAGAAACAGGAUCCUCCUAUCUGAACCAGUUAUGUUACCUCCUAGUGCCUUCACAAAAAGCCUAAUGAACUCAGGAUGGCCUUCAUAUGUAGCCCCAGUAAUUAUAUUACCAUCAACAACACACGCCAACAUGGUCUCGGGUUCCACCCAAUAAGCACCUGCAGCAACAAGUACAGGUCUGACAGCUGGGAAGGCCGUACACUUCCUACCUUUAACCGAGCCUGCAGCUGCUAGGACAAGUUGCCCAUGGCAAAUCGAAGCAAUUGGCUUUCCGGAAUCAGAAAACUUUCUCACCAAUUCUAAAACCGAUGCAUCCAAAGCAAGAUAUUCAGGUGCCCGUCCUCCUGGUAUUAUUAAUCCAUCAUAUUUGUUAAAUUCAAUGUCAUCAAAUGUUGCAUUCAGUGCGAAAUUGUGACCACGUGAUUCAGAAUAAGUCUGCAACCAAAGAAAAAAAAUACAGAAAACCAAAAAACAUAUUAAAACAAAGGGGGACCAGAAAGACAUAUAUAUAGCAUUUGAAGAUUUGUAAAUUAACCACAGAUCACGAUUCAGCAAACCUAGGUAGCGCAUUAUCAGAGUAUUUUCACUUAGAGACGAGGGCACUAAUGCAAUUUUGUUUAUUGAAUAUGGUGUACGCGGUGACGUUGGAGCCAAAAAUUUGUUCACGCUGUCUUGUCCCCCAGAACUCAAGCUCAAUACAGGUCGGUUCUCUAGCUAGCUCAUAAUGAAUGAGCAAGCACUCUAACAGAACUCCUAACAUGUGUUCUUGUUUGAGCUUACUUUAGUCUCGCUGUCCACACAACCCAGAACUAUAACCUACGGAUUGCUAUUUGUCAAUCUAAUAGAGUGGCUCUAAUCAACAAUAAAGCUUAUUCAUUUUGUCUUUAAUUAAGGCUACCAACGAUUGGCUGAUGCAAAAAACUAAACUUGAAAGCGUGAUGUUCGUUCGUAAACUUGACAAACUAAUUUCCAGUCCCAACAGAUUCCAAAUUUUAGAGGAGGCAACAUAAUCCCAUAUGUGAGAAUUGUAAGCACUUCAAUCUUUGAGACAAAUUUCUUGUUUUGGGUUUACAAAUUCAAGUGAAGUAAGCAUUCAGUCUUCAAUAUAAUUGAGUGUGCUUAAUGAGGCUAAAGAAAACGUUUUUCAUUAAAAAUAAACAAAGGAAAAGGCAAAAGAAGCAGAGGUGGGUAACCUGGUGAGCAGGAGAAAGUUGAUGAAUGGCUGUGCGGCAGAUAUCACCAGCUUUCUUGCCAGGACAGACAGCAUCAACGGACACUCCAUAUGCCUGCAGUGCUUGAAAUGGAACCAUCGCCUCGUAGUCUUCCACGUAGUCCCCCAAUACCAACAACACCCUGCGUUCGCCUUUCGCCAUUUUCUUGUGUUUAAUUUCUUGGAAUUUCAGAGAGAGAGAGAGAGAGAGAGGAAGGGGUGACAGAGAAUUUCGGCGGACUAAACUCUCGGAUAAAGAAACAGAAUCUCAUGGCUUUCGGCUCUACUCAAUAAAUAGAAUAUGUUGAGAGUAUAGCCGAGCGGCUAUACGUGGCUAUAUACUGUAUAAGUAAAAUAUGUUAAUAGUAGAAUAACAGUACAGCCGAGCGGCUAUAUUAUGUAAAUAGAUUAUUCUACACGUAUGGGCGCCGGGCUGUACUAUAUAAAUAGGAUAUAUGUAACAGUAUAGCCGGGCUGCUAUACUAUAUGAAUAGAAUAUCUAAACGUAUAGCCGCCCGGCUAUACGCUAUAAAUGGAAUAUUUUAAAACUUAUAGCCGAUCGACUAUACUAUAUACAUAGAAUAUUUUAAACCGUACCACGGUCCCGGCCACCACCCUCUACCUAGAUCCAUCAUCGCAAUCACCAUCUUCUUCGUCAUUGUCAUCAUCGUCGUAAAAUUCCGAAGACUUAUCGUCUGAUCCCAAAACUGGAUGAAAUUUCAAAGAGUUGUGGGAGAAAUUCAUAGCUGGGUUUGUUGUUGUUGUUUUGCUGAUAGUAAAACUCGAGUCUCCAAAUUGGCUGUGGCCUCCUAUUUUCCCUUCCAUUACACCGUGUCUCAAGUUUUUCACCAUUGAUGAUCGUUCUUGCUUUUUUCUUUCACUUACCACACCCUUCUCUUUUCUUUCCAUAUCUCUCUCUCUCUCUGAAUUUCUAAACGCACACAGACCGUAAUACAAUAAAGUAACAGCAAUAAUACAACGCCUAUUCUACCUCUCUCUCUCUCUCUCUCUCUCUCUCUCUCUCAUGAAAAACAAAUGUUAGUUUGUUUGAUGCAUUAAUUGCAUUGUUUUAAGUUUUAGAAAAGUGACACAUAUCAUGAGAAAAAGAGAGAAUGUCCAAAAGAGAAAGUUAGAGAAAAAAUUGCUAUCAAAGCUUUUUCACAAAGUUAGACACACACGCCCACCAAGUUGGAUUGCAAUUGCUUUAGGUGUAGAUCACUCUAAUGCUGGAACCCACUCCAUGUGUGUAUCCAGCCUUUUAGAGCAUCUCCACCUAUAAGGGCUAAGGCAAGGGCAAGUAAGGGCUGCCACUAUUCAUGUGAAUAGUGGCAGCCUUGCCUUUUUUGGUUCCACCCCAAAAGGCUAUGGCAAGGGCAAGAAAAAAAAAAAAGGAUAUGCAACAAAAUAUAAAUUUGUUAUGUAUUUUAUAGGGAAAGUGAAUAAAAUUGUUAUGUAUUUAUAGGGAAAACAUCCAUAAUUUUUUGGUAUUUUUUUAAAAAAAAUUUUGAUUUUGAUUUUUUCAUUUUUUUCAAUUUUUUUGACUCGCUGACGUCAGCGUGACAUCACCACUGACAUCAGCGCCCUAGGGCUGAAGCCCAGGCAAAAUCUGCCCUUGGGCUUGCCCAGGCUGGUGGACCCAGGGCUUGCCCGGGCUGCAGGUCGUGCGCUGGAGGGUCUUUUGGGCUGGCAGUGGGCCUUUUGCCCAGGUCGUGCGCUGGAGGGUCUAUAUGAUCAUUACUCUUCUACAAUAUUUAUACCGGUAUUCUGUUUUGCUCUACUUACCGUUCUAUCCGCACACAAAAAUUGUUAUGAAUCUACUACAUACAUCUUGUGUAGCCGAAGAGGACUAGUAUAUCUCCACCACCAUGGUGAUGCUCUCUAGUGUUUCUCUCUAUGGUGAAGUGUCUCUCACUUCUGUUUUAGCCUAUCUGGGCAAUGGUGCUCACGGCACCUCCUACUAAGCCUUCUUUAAAUAACCAAAGAAUUUGGUCCAGCAGCUGCAUGCAUGAAAAAACCGUGCAAGUUGUCUGAGCACCUUCAAAGUCCUCCACAAGACACAGAACAUUAAUGCACCGAAAAAGCACAACCACCAGCAUUCGCAAAGAAGCCAGCCGCUCCUCUUUCUCAUGUCCUUGGUGCAGCACAGUGGGGCACACCUGCACACACAUCUCCUGCUGUCAACCGAAGUCCCUCUUUAUGCAUAGCCCAAGUUGGCUUCUCAAAGAACCCAAGCCAAAAGUAAUAGCAAUAAUACAAAGCCUACUCUCUCUCUCUCUCUCUCUCUCACGGGUACACAGACCAACAAUGUGGCCAAUAAACGAAGGAAAAUGCUGGCAACCUUAUCUCCGACCUUAUUUUUGGACAUUUUCCCUUUUCCUCAUGACAUAUGUCACAUCCCAUACACUUGUAAACAAUGACAUUAAUACAUUAAACAAACUACCUUUUGUUUUCGAAGUUUACCCUUAUUAAAUGUAUUGUCUUUCAAUUUAUCCAAAUUUUUUUACAACUCUCUUACUAUAUUUAAAAAAUUAAAAAAAUUCAGUUAAAAAAAAAAAAAACAUGUCUAUUUUUUUAGAUUGGAAAACGUUUUUUUUUUUUUUAACACAAGAAUGACCUCAAAAAAAAAAAAUCAACGAAAGAAAGAUUGUUUUUUUAUACGGACAAAAGACAUCCUUCUAAAGAAGUCUGUAGUCAAAGGAAGUUCAUUGAUUGGAUUUUCAAACCAUUAAUUCGGUAAGUUUGAUUAUUGAUUUUUUUUUCAAGACCAUUAAUUAGGUAAGUCUUAUUUGGAGUCUUUCAGAAAAGGAAAAAAAAAACAAACGUUUUUUCUUAUUUAAUUUUUUAAGUCUUAUUUGAAUGUCUCCUUAUUCCCUUUGGAGUCUUAAAAAAAAGACUUUUUCUCAAUUAAUUUUUGAACAAGGCGAUAAGAAAAUUGUAAAAAAUUUAGAUAAGAAAUUUAAAGAAAUAUUAAAAUCAAUACGUUUAAUAAGGGCUGAUUUGAAAAACAAAUGUUAGCUUGUUUGAUGCAUUAAUUGCAUUGUUUUAAGUUUUAAAAAAGUGACACAUAUCAUGAGAAAGAGAGAGAAUGUCCAAAAGAGAAGGUUAGAGAAAAAGUAGCUAUCAAAGCUUUUUCACAAAGUUAGACACACACGCCCACCAAGUUGGAUUCCAAUUGCUUUAGGUGUAGAUCACUCUAGUGCUGGAACCCACUCCAUGUGUGUCUCCAGCCUUUUAACAAAGAUGGCACGUGCCGUCAUUUCCCCAUUUGAAAACCCACGGUAUGACAAAUGAAGAAAGCUAGCAAACAAACAAGGAUAAAGUAGCCUUUACACAAUUAACAAUACAAUUUGGGCCAAUUUUCAACAGUGAAGGCAUCUUAUUGCAUUCUCCGGAGCCUUUCUUUUUCGAAAUAAGGAUAGAUUUUAAUUUAAACGCUAGAUCUGAAAGCAGAUUCAAUGAUUUCCAUAAAAAUCAUAAUCAACAUUACGUAGUUACAAACAUACAAGAUCCAUCCACAAUUGGUACAUAUAGAGCAGAAUCCGAGCAUCAUUGUUCCCUCACAGAUACACACAACACCUUCACAUAUGCUCUUAUUCUUUUAUUGAAUUACACGGAGUUUCUGGCUAUGCUUCUUUUUCUUUUAUUCUCUUAUUCGUUUAUGGAAUUCCAUAUAUUACUUGGAAGCAGCAGACCCGGUAAAGGGUGCCUAGAAUGAUACUCGAAUAUCAAGCAAUGUCAUCAACUGAGAAAUAAGCUCUGGUUGGCCAUGCCACGCUGCUGCGGUAACCAGAUUUCCAUCAGUGACACAACGAUCUAUUGGAUCCGCUUCCACAAACGUCCCUCCUGACGAAACCACACGAGCCUUAAUCCCUGGGUAUCCAGUACAUUUCUUCCCCUGAAAUAUAGCCAAUUGAACCAAUUAUAUGACAUGCUAAAAAGUGCCUAAUCAGUUAAUAAGUACAUUAACCACUAAUCAAAAGAAACAGAAAAAAUAUCAUCUCCUUUGCGAUUUUAAAGAGUACUCACCUCCCUCUUCCCCAUAGUUAUUUACAAUUGAGAGGUUAAUAGGUCACAACAGAUCAGCUCAACAGAACCAAAAUACAAAGCACUACCACUAACUAUGUUUUUUUCUUUAAGAACCAUACCUGCAGAACACCAGCAGCAACUAAAAUUUCCAGGCCAUGGCAGAUGGAUGCAACUGGUUUCCCGGCUUCCAUAAAUUGUUUCACUAGUACAAUAACAUCCUCCUUUAGUGCCAAAAACUCUGGAGCUUUACCUCCAGGGAGUACAAGAGCGUCAUAACUUGAGGCAUCUAUGGAUUCAAAGUCAGCUGUUAAAACAAAAUUAUGUCCCCGGAUCUCACUGUAGGUUUGGCCCCCUUCAAGAUCACGGAUAGCAGUUGGGCAGGUAUCACCGGCUUUCUUCUUGGGGCAAACCACAUCAACAUGGCAUCCUAGAACUUUGAGGGUCUGAUAAGGCACAGUUACCUCAUAAUCUUCCGCGUAGUUCUACAAAUAUUGGGGAGGGGAGCAAUUACAUGAUGAUGAUUAGUAACUAACAGUUUAAUCAUUGGCUAUAUUUUGUCCCAUAUUUGUCAUUGCAAUAUAAAAGAAACAGAAAAGAAAGCUUACUCCAAUGAUGAUGAGGACCCUUCUCUCUGAAGCACAUAUGUUGCCUCCUAGUGCCUUGAGAAAAAGCCUAAUGAACUCAGGAUUGCCAUAAUAUGUGACCCCAGUAAUUAAAUUAUCAUCAGCAACACACACUGACAAUGUAUCGGGUUCUACCCAGUGAGCACCAGCAGCAACCAAUCCAGGUUUCAUAGUUGAAACCGCGGUGCAUUUGCGACCUUUAACAGCGCCUGCAGGUGCUAAGACCAACAGCCCAUGGCAAAUAGCAGCAAUUGGCUUUCUGCAGUCAGAAAAUUUUCUCGCCAAUUCUACAACGGAUGCCUUCAUAGCAAGAUGUUCAGGAGAUCGUCCUCCUGGUAUAACUAGACCAUCAUAUUUGUCAAUUUCGAUGUCAUCAAAUGUUGCAUUCAGUGUGAAAUUGUGACCACGAGAUUCUUUAUUAGCCUGUAACCAAAAAGGUACACGAAAGAAAACCAAACACAACACACACAUUAAAACAAGAGUAAUGGUUAGGUGAAUUCAAGCUUCUUUGUCUUGCUUGUCUCUCAAACUCAAACUCAAACUCAAACUCAUCAGAGGUUGUUUUCCAACAACUGUGUUCAAUAUUAAACAUAUAAAAUAUAUUCCUCUUGUUUACAAAUAAAAAAGAACAGGAAAGACAGGAAAGACAGAGUUUGACCUGGUCAGUGGACUCUACUUGAAUGGUUAUGGCAGUGGCGCAGAUAUCACCAGCUUUCUUGACAGGAGAAACUGCAUCAACAGAGACUCCAAAUGCCUGCAGUGCUUGAAAUGGGACCAUUGCCUCGUAAUCUUCCAUGUAGUCCCCGCACAGUAACAACACCCUCCUCUGCACCUCGCCUUUCGGAUUCCCCAUUUCUUUUCUUAUUUCCUUCUUUAGUUUCUUUCUUCUUUUUCAGAGAGAGAGAGUUUUCAGAGAGAUUUUUCACACAGAGAGAGAGAGAGAGAGAGAGGGAGAGAGUCUGAAUACAAGAAGGUAGGUUAUAGUUUGAGCUGCUCCGCUUUGCUUACUUAAAUACUCACAAAAGCGUUUUUGGAGGUUUGUGGAGUCAGCUCGAUACGGUCGCACGCAACUUGAGCAACACAUCGCAGUCAGUUAUCGUGGCAUCUCUCUAUUCGCCGCUUCUUUUCAGUUCGGAUAACUAUUCUAUUAGUUUCGAGCCUAUCACCGUCUCCAUGUUUGAUACGUUUUUUUGUUGUCUUCUUUACCGACCAAGUGAGUCUAAAUUAUUGAAACUUGAGUUCGUUCUCUUCACGGACCAAGUGGGUCUAAAUUAUUGGAGGAAGAUUGAAACUUGAGUUUGUUCUCUUCACGGACCAAGUGAGUCUAAAUUAUUGGAGGAUAAUUAAAACUUGAGUGCAAAGAGGCGAAUUUAUUCCCUUAUUGUGAAUACAAGUAAUGGUCUAAAUUAUUAGAGAAGUAUUCUAACUUGAGUGCAAAGAGCACAAAUUUAAGUGCAAAUGAGUGUACUUACUGUCUUAUUACGAAUGCAAAUGAUAGUCUAAAUUAUUAGAGAAAUAUUCAAAUUAUAGUGAAAAGAAGCGUACUCACUGUCUUAUUGUGAAUAUUCGAAUAUUCGAGCUCAAUGCUUCCUUUUCGAUUGAAAAAAAGAAGCUCAAUGCUUCCAAGCUAAUGUCCCUAUACUAUACAAAAGCUCUUUAGAGUCGUCAUCAUCUUCUUCUUGCCUUCAUUGUAGCACGUGUGUGGCCUAAUAGAAAAGUUCUUUAGAGUCCUCAUCUUCCUCUUGCCUUCAUUGUAGCACGUGUGUGGCCCAAUAGAAAAGCUAAUGUCCCUAUACUAUAAGUAGGGGUGGGCAUCAAUCCGGCCGAUCCGACCAAACCGGCCGAACUAAACCGUAUUUUCCAGUUUGGUUUGGUUUUGACUUUAAAAAGUCAACAGUUUUAAAAUCCGAACCAAACAGGAGUAAUUUGGUUCAGCUGCAGUUUUAAGUUUUAAAAAACUGUGUUAAUCCGAACCGAACCGUUUAAAUAUUAAUUAAUUAUAUAUAUAUUAAUUUACAUGUGUCAAUGGUUGAGUGGCUACUUAGAAGUGUUAGUGUACACCCAGCCACAUUGAAUUGGACUCCAACCCAUCUAUUUUCAGACUCAACGCAUUCCAGAGUUGUCUUCCUUACGCAGCCUCCCUCACUCAACCACUUCAACCCUAGAAAAGCCACCAUUGAUUUGAACCACCACAACCUCCACUGCUUCAAUCAAACCCAUUCUCACAUAGCAAAAAUCUCUUUGGCGUCGCACCUCCAUCGUCAUCGGUGCACAGCCAUCGUCAUCGUCGCACGGCCAGAGUCAUCGUCGCACAGCCAUCGUCAUCCCUGCACAGCAGCGUCAUCGUCGAACACCAGCGUCAUCGUCACACACCAGCAUCAUCGUCGCACAGUUGAUUGAUGUUCGAGAAGCCCAAGAAGUGUAUGUUCUAAUAUUUAAUUUCUAAUUAUCUACAUAUUUUUCUUUUGAUGGAUGUUCUGAUUUCAAUUUCUUGGAAUGAACUUUUAGUUGUGGGUUUAUCUAUAUAUAUGAUCAUAUUAUAUUGAGAAGUUCAAAUUUGAAAGUUAGCAAUUAACUUCUGAGUCUCAAUUCCAAAUAACACAGCAGCAGAGGAUUUAAUUAAUUACCUUCCACCAUAACCUCUUUCCAUAACAACCACGCCUCCAUUGCCAAAGUUAUUCAGCCUCUCAAAUUGCUCCACUGUCCAUAACCUCAAAUUGCCUCUAUAAGGACCAUGCGGAUAAAUAAAUGUAAUGUUUAUCUCUAACAGGUCAUGCUUUUUGAGCCGUGAUAGUUUUGGAAUAGCGUUCGAGUGCAUUUUACCUGGACUGCCAUGUUGAUUUUCACCAGAGCAGCAAAGCUGCUUGCUUUGUGUUAUGAGGUCUAGUUUUGUCAACAAACUAUAUUGCUUGACCUAGAAGAAAAUGCAAUAUCAUGUGGAUCCUUAUUUCGCAGUUGCAGGAGGAUGGUUGUGAAAAUACUAGAGCUAAUUCUGGACAACAUGAUAUUUGUGGGGGCGAUUUCUUCCCACGAGAAUAUUCAAUUGAAAGAUUCCUCUUUCAUCUUCGUCGCCCCUUUCUCCUUGCAAAAUAGAUCGAAACAACAGGACCACACUCGUGAGGUGUUGGCCAAAAGCCAUGAGAUGCCCAAGUUAGUUCAAUUGAUUCGUAGAGAAAACAAUAGCUAAAUAGGGUAUAGAGAUAUAUAUGUAAGGUGUAAACCGGGUGGCCGGAGCCGUGAGUGUUGGUCGGAGCCUUGUGUAAAAGGGAGAGAGGGUAUGGCGGCUAGGGUUUGUGAGGGAUAGGCAGUGUCCCUCUUACAAAAUUGAUGACACUCCUAACUCUUCCUAACAAAUUCUGAAAAACUGAAACUGCCUAGCUCCACCAAGCCUUUUGGUUUUCCUUACUAGGUAAUUUCUUCUUUUACCCCAUUCCCGGGAACUUGUCCUCCUUGGCUCAUUGAAUGUUCGUUAUGUCUCCACCCAUACUCAGCCAAACAUUUGAUGUACUUUAAAUCUUUAGUAUUCAAUAAUACAGCAUAACUGUUGAUAUUUACAUGAAUGGUUCAUAAAACUGAAGUGGAGAAGAAACUAUCUUAAGAGUUGAGAAUGAGUUUGGGUGGCUUGAGUGAAAAAACUUUAUCCAUCAACACAAGGAGAUGGUGAAGGCAUCUUAUUAUGGUGGGAUCAUUUGCAUCCUCCGGAGCCUUUUUUUUUCAAAAUACGGCCAGAUUUUAAUCAUUAAACUAAGAAUGUAAACGCUAGAUCCGAAAGCAGAUUCAAGGAUUUCCAUAAAAAGCAUAAUCAACAUUACGUAGUUAAAAACAUACAAGAUCCAUCCACAAUUGUUACAUAUACAGCAGAAUCAGAGCAUCAUUGUUCCCUCACAGAUGCACACAUCACCUUAACAUAUGCUUUUAUUCUUUUAUUGAAUUACACGGAGUUUCUGACUAUGUUUCUUUUUCUUUUUUUACUCUUAUUCGUUUAUGGAAUAACAUAUAUUACUUGGAAGCAGCUGAACUGGUUACGUUUGCUUAAAAUGAUACUCGAAUAUCAAGCAAUGUCAUCAACUGAGAAAUAAGCUCUGGUUGGCCAUGCCACGCUGCUGCGGUAACCAGAUUUACAUCAGUGACACAACGAUCUAUUGGAUUCGCUUCCGCAAACGUCCCCCCUGACACAACCACAUGAGCCUUAAUCCCUGGGUAUCCAGUAAAUUUCUUCCCCUGAAAUAUAGCCAAUUAAACCAAUUAUGUCAUGUUAAAAAGUGCCUAAUCAAGAAAUAAGUACAUUAACCACUAAUCAAAAGAAACAGAAAAAAUAUUAUCUCGUUUGCGAUUUUAAAGAGUACUCACCUCCUUCUUCCCAAUAGUUAUUUACAAUUGAGAGGUUAAUAGGUCACAACAGAUCAGCUCAACAGAACCGAAAUACAAAGCACUAGAUGUAACCUUUUUUACUUCCUUUUCAAGUUCAAUCGAUAAAGUAUUUCAAUCUGUUUUACUUUAUCUUUAAUAAGUAGCAUUAAAACUGGAAGCAUNNNNNNNNNNNNNNNNNNNNNNNNNNNNNNNNNNNNNNNNNNNNNNNNNNNNNNNNNNNNNNNNNNNNNNNNNNNNNNNNNNNNNNNNNNNNNNNNNNNNNNNNNNNNNNNNNNNNNAGAUGGAUGCAAUUGGUUUCCUGGCUUCCAUAAAUUGUUUCGCUAGUACAAUAACAUCCUCAUUUAGUGCCAAAACCUCUGGAUCUUUUCCUCCAGGGAGUACAAGAGCGUCGUAACUUGAGGCAUCUACGGAUUCAAAGUCAGCUGUUAAAACAAAAUUUUGUCCCUGCGUUUCACUGCAGGUUUGGGCCCCUUCAAGAUCACGGAUAGCAGUUGGGCAGGGAUCACCGGCUUUCUUCUUGGGGCAAACCACAUCAACAUGGCAUCCUAGAACUUUAAGGGUCUGAUAAGGCACAGUUACCUCAUAAUCUUCCACGUAGUCCUACAAAUAUUACAAAUAUUGGGGAGGGGAGCAAUUAAAUGAUAAUGAUUAGUAUCUAACAGUUUGAUCAUUGGCUAGAAGCCUAAAACCAUGAACUUGUCGUGGCGAAACUGGUAAAGCCGACUCGGGCUUUCUCCCCUUUCUCUUUUAAUAAUAUUAAGGUUGGUUGUCACUUGAACUUGAGCAUACUAUUUUGUCCUAUAUAUGUCAUUGCAAUAUUAAAGAAAAAGAAAAGAAACCUUACUCCACAGAUGAUGAGGACCCUUCUCCCAGAACCAGAUAUGUUGCCUCCUAGUGCCUUGAGAAAAAGCCUAAUGAACUCAGGAUUGCCAUAAUACGUGACCCCAGUAACUAUAUUAUCAUCAACAACGCCCACUGACAAUGUAUCGGGUUCUACCCAGUGAGCACCAGCAGCAACCAAUCCAGGUUUUACAGUUGGAAACGCUGUGCACUUGCGACCUUUAACAGACUGCCCAUGACAAAUAGCAGCAAUUGGCUUUCUGGAGUCAGAAAAUUUUCUCACCAAUUCUACAACCGAUGCAUUCAUAGCAAGAUGUUCAGGAGAUCGUCCUCCUGGUAUAAGUAGACCAUCAUAUUCGUCAAAUUCAAUCUCAUCAAAUGUUGCAUUCAGUGUUGUUUGUGCAAAUAAUCUCACGGGAGAAUAUUCGCCCAAGAUUCCUUCGUCUUCUCCGCCUCUCUUUCUCCUUGCAAAACAGAUUGGAGUAAAAGGACCACACCCGGGGGGUGUUGGCCAAAGGCCCUCCGAUGCCUAAGUUAGGUAAGGGAAUUGAAGGAAAACCGGGUGGCCGGAGCCGUGUGUGGUGGCCGGAGCCUUGUGUGAGAGAGAGAAAGAGAGGAGGUGCCUAGGGUUUUUGAGAAAUAAUUUAUGCAGAGUUUCAGUAGGAAUUUAGACGUACCUCAUCCUUGUGUGUAACCAGGUAUUUAUAGUGGCCUUUGGAGAGGUAGGUGGGGUUGGUGUAGUUGGUGUGGUUGGUGGGGUUGGUGCAUUUAGGGAUUAUGGAUGAACCGAAUCCCUAAUUAAAUUGGGGAUCAAGUAACCCCCAAUUUGAUUAGGUAAUUCCCAAUUAGGUUAGGUAACUCCUAAUUAGGUCAAAUAAUUCCCAAAUUGAUUGGCCUAAUUAAUUGACCUAGGGUUUUGGUUUAAUUAGGUUCCCACAAAUGCCCCCCAGCUUCUGCAUGGCGCGUGGUGGCAUGUAAGAGAUGUAAAUUAUCCGUUGGGCUGUCCAGCUGUAACUGGGCUUCCUUCGUGGACAUGGGCUCCCGCGUAGAGGAGGUGUUUGACUUGCCAAUUUUAUGAACUCCCAGGUUGGAAAGAAUUUGUGAUUCCUUGUAGGUCAAGGAAUUUUCAUUCUUAUAAAUGUAGGGCUCCUCCAAUUUAUUCUUCACAUCCAAAAUCCAUUCUGAUUUUAUUAGUGAGAGAGAGUAAACUUUGGAGAAUUUUUUCCUUCUUCUUGAGCUCUUGUCUUCAUCGCACACCCAAGGUAAUUUAGACUUGAGUUAUAUAUAUAUAUAUAUAUUUUGUUCCAAUUUCCCGCAGCUUGGCUCAUGCUUCUAGCUGAUGUGGGGAGCUGAAAGGGAGGUCAGCAGGCUUGGGACUGUACAUUUUGGGCUCGAGCAUGGAGGUCCAAGGGCUAUGGGUUCUUGCUGGAGCAAACUGGCUGCAGCUGAGGCAAGGAAGGGUUAGGCCUGGCUCACGGUUGGGCUGCGCGCGGAAAGCCCAAGGCGCUGGGCUUCGAGCAAUGGCCUGAAGGCGCUGCUGGGCAGAGGCGACGGGCCACCUACGCUGGGCUUCGUCUGAUUGGGCUAAGGUGAGAGCUGGAGCUGGCCUGCGCGAUCUGGGCUGGAGACGAUGGGUCACGCGUGCUGGGCUGCGAGCUGGAGCUGGUCAUCUGGGCUGAAGGUGAUGGGCCACGCGUGCUGGGCUGCGAGCUGGAGCUAGUCAUCUGGGCCUCCGUGCUGGGUUGCGAGCUGGGCUGCCUUCUGUUUUUUUUUUUUUUUUUUUUUGGCAUUCUAACAUGUAAAAUUAUUUUAUUAUUAUUUUUUUUUUCAGCUGCUCAACGACCAUGUCUUCUGAAGGAAAGAGCCGAUCACCAAACUCAAGAGUGCCUUUGUACCUGUGGGGCGGUUCUCAAGUUCCCAAAGAGAAGUUUGUGGCCAAUUUGCACCGUGUCACCAACGAGGCCCAGUUCAAAACGUGGCGUGCCCUUUUCGACUCUGCUAUACCCAAGGAUGUACAUGUCAAGUUGGCAGAGCCCUCAUCUGACAGUAUACCUCGUGUGGACCCGAACAAUCCAGGCGCCAGGAUUAUCACGUUCCGCCCCUUCUAUUUCUCGCUGGGUUUCACGUUUCCGUUGUCGAAAUUUUUCAGGGAGGUGUUCUGCGCCAUGGAAUGUGCCCCGAGCCAGUGUACUCCGAAUGUUUAUCGGGCGGUCAUCUGCUUUGAAAAUUUGAGCCGCUUCUUCAAGUUGGAUUUGACCGUGAAGGAGUUCUUCUACUUCUUUGAGGUGAGACACUUCGAGAAAUAUGCCCAACUCCGCGCAUGCGAACCCAAGUUGUUUGAUAGUCUGAGUCAGGGCGAUCAUGUGUGGAGCAAGGAUGUGCUAGAGGUUAGUGGCAGAUGGGAAGGAGAGGUUGGCGACGGUCCGCUCGUUCCUCUCACCUACUGUGAUGGUAAGUUGCAUCCCUCUGAUCUGCUACUAUUUUCCAUGGGAUUCCUUAGUGUGUCUGACUAACUUUUGUCUUAUGCUUGCAGAUGAUGCCAUUCGAAAGAAGCUUGUUCUCGACCCGGACAUGACGAAGGUUCGACAAGCUUUGAGCAUCCCUGCUAAGUUUCGUGAAUGGCGCUGGUUGCUGAGCGAACACCGGAAGAAAGUCAGUGGCCUGCCCCCUGCUGAAGAUAUUGAAAGGUGGAAGUCGCGCUGCUUGAAACUAAGUGACUUGCCAGUUGAGCAGGAGUCAUCGACUGAGUCCCCCGAGGGUGGGAAAACGUGCAGCAGCUCUGCUCGGGAUAAAGUUGCAGUUUCCCGAUCAGUAGAUACAUCUCCACAGCGACAGCAGCCGAGAUUUUCUCUUGCCACGAACAAGUCUUCCACAAGGGAGGUCUCGCCUGCUCAGAAAGCCCAUAUGGGAAUUGUUCCUACUCCAUCUGCCGGGAUCAGCAAGAAGGCCAAUGGCAUGCAGGAGGUUCGGGAAAUUCUGCUCAAGUCCUUGCCCGUACCGCCUAAGACCCGUGAUCUGCCAUGCAAGGAAACUGCUGGGAAGCAAGGUUUGGGUCGUCCGUGCCGAUCUGGGAAUCAAGCUGAGAGGACCGUACCUCUGCCUUGCAACCAUGACUCAUCUGUGGGGCCACGAGCAGUCAAGCGCGGGGCUGACUCAAUGUUACAAGCUGCAGUCAAAAGAGCUAAAGAGUCGUCUGCUCGAGCGAAGAGUCCUCCAAUCGCGCGAACUGCUGGUCCGGGAAUUGGUGAUGGCUCUGCUGGGGGGAGCCCGUGUCUGAUCUGCUGAAAACAGGCUUUCUGUCAAGUCCGUCUGCUUGCGCUCAGCUGGCUGAUCACGUGUAUCGAGCCUGCGACCUUUGUGCUUUUUCGAACCUUCCUUUGGAUAAGCAAGAAGAAGCUGCUAUGUAUCAUCUUCAAAAAGGAAUGGUUUUUGCUGUUGGGGCCAUGCGGAACUCGCGUGAUGUUACCCCCUCUUCUGCCCUGCUUGACGAGCUGGUGAAGAAGAAUGCCGACUUGACUGGCAAGCUCUCGAGCGAGCGGAUUCGCCAUGAUGCGAUGAUUUCCGAGAUGAAGGAGAGUUUGUCCGUGCUCAAGAGUUCUGUUGGCCAAAAGGAUGGUGAACUCAAGUCUCUUGCUGCUACCCUGCUCGAACGUAAAGAAGCCUACUUCUGCCUCGAACACAAGCAUGCUGCUUUGGCCCAGGAUCGUGACAAACUGCUGGUCAAGUUUGACACCCUUGUGGAAGCCACGGAGGCAUCCAAACUGGAGAUUGCUGCUAACGCGUACAAGCUGGGAUACCUGGAUUGCCAGAAUGGUGUUUCUCCUUGCUGCUCUCUCGAAGAUGAUGAUGGUGAGCAGACUGGUCUUGACCUGCCCCCCGCUCAGAGUGAGCAGGUGGAUGUUGUGGAUGCAGAAGCAGCGGUAAUUGAGGAAGAUAAAUGCCAAGGUGGGUCAACUGAUGAGGCUAAGGCGGAUGCGAAGGAGCAGGCAGCCGAGGCGGUUGAGCCAGUUGUGCCCGUUGGGUAGAAUGAGGCUGUUGCCAGCGCAGUUGAGGAUGUGAUCGGCUGAGGGUCACCUGCUGAAGUUCCUUAGCAGUUGUAGUCCAUUUUUGCUAUUUUUGAACUUUGUUAUUUUUCUUUCAAUAAGUGGUCUUUGGUUGACCAUCUUACUUCUUGUUGAACUUGGCUGAUUGGCCGCUUUGUUAUUGAAUUUUCAAUUGUUUUUCAAACUUCAAUUCUCUUUGUAUCUUGUAAGUGUGCGUCUGGAGACAUAGCACUUGAAAGACAUAGCACUUGAAAAAAGACUCCAUUGAGUUUGUGCUCCGGGGAGCAGCUCGUCUGCAAUGGAGGUAAGGCUUGUCGCCUGUGAGCGUAUGUCGGGGACAUAGCUCUUAAAAAAGACUCCAUUGAGUUCGUGCUCCGGGGAGCAGCUCGUCUGCAAUGGAGGUAAGGCUUGUCGCCUGUGAGCAUAUGUCAGGGACAUAGCUCUUAAAAAAGACUCCAUUGAGUUCGUGCUCCGGGGAGCAGCUUGUCUGUGAUGGAGGUAAGGCUUGUCGCCUGUGAGCGUAUGUCGGGGACAUAGCUCUUAAAAAGGACUCCAUUGAGUUCGUGCUCCGGAGAGCAGCUUGUCUGCAAUGGAGGUAAGGCUUGUCGCCUUUGUGUAUAUGUUUGUGGGACAUAAAGCUCGAAAAAAGUACUUCAUUGAAAAGCUUGCUUUUGUAUUGAUGUUGAUGUGAAUACAUCGCUUUAUUGAAUAAAGGAAAUUAAUAACAUAGGUAACAUCAAAAGCAGUUUGCCUUUAAUAGAAGUAUGAGAGGCUCGUUGUCUGCUAGGAGUCGAGCUGGUAAGCGAAGAGCUUCAUGGAUAGUAUCUCCGAAGGUGGUGGGCAUUCCACUGUCUUGGAAUUUCCUUCCCUUCUAGAGUGUCGAGGGUGUAACUUCCUCUGCCCCCAGACGGCUGAUCAUGUAGGGGCCUUCCCAAUUUGGCUUCAUCUUCUUUGAUCCUUGCCUUGGUGAUGUGAUAAAAGUCUUUCUGAGCACAAGGUGCCUUUUCUCGUUCUUCUUCGAGCAGGUCAAGGUUAAUUCUCAUCUGCCUGCAGUUUUGAUCAAGACUGCCCACUUCAAUGCUCAUGGAAGGGACUGUGAUGUGUGGGGGAAUGAUUGCCUCCGUCCCAUAAGCCAAGGAAAACGGUGUUUCUCCGGUCGAUCUCCUUUUGGUUGUGCGAUAAGCCCAUAGAACUCCUGGCAGCUCGUCGACCCAUUUUCCUUCUGUGCCUUCCAGUCUUUUCUUUAGGCAGUCCAGCACGAUUUUGUUGGAUGCCUCUGCUUGACCAUUGCCUUGCGGGUAUCUGGGAGUUGACAGGUGCUGCUUGAUGCCAUACUUCGCAAAAAAUGCAGUGAUCUGCCUGCCCACGAACUGUGUACCAUUGUCAGUAACUAUCGAUUGCGGGCAACCAAAUCUGCAGAUGAUGUUCUUCCAGAUGAAACGUUCAACGUCAGCUUCCUUGGUAGAAGACAAAGCCUCGGCCUCGAUCCAUUUAGUGAAGUAAUCAGUGGCAACGAUCAUCAUCUCUUUAUUGGCAGGUGCUGUCGGCAUAGGUCCCACCAAGUCAAUGGCCCACUGCAUGAACGGCCAUGGGCUGUUCUGCGGAUGGUAUUCCUCAGCUGGCAAGCCAGGGACUGGCUUGUACCGUUGGCAUCGAUCACAUCUUCGAGCAUACUCCGUGGAAUCUUUACGCAUGGUAGGCCAGAAAUAGCCGAUGCUGAGAGCCUUCUGAGCAAGCGACCUGCCUCCAGCGUGAUUUCCACAUUCGCCGUCGUGUAUUUUGCAGAGAACCUCGAGCGUUUGCGGGUACUUGAUGCAAGUGAGAUGAGGCCCGUAGUAUGAUCUGCGGAUAAGCGUGUCGCCUUUCAUGUAAUAUCUUGCAGCCUUCUGCUUGAUUUUUCUGGCCUCGGACUUGUCUUGGGGCAAGUUUUCAUUCACUAGGUAGUCGAUGAUGGGUUCUUGCCAGCUAGGAUCCUCGUCGAUUUGCAUCAGGUCUGGUUGUUCUGCCUCUUCUAUGCUAGGCUGAUCAAGGUGCUCGACCGGGAUGGAGCGUCUGAAUUGGGUAUCCAGUGCUGAUCCUAAGCUUGCCAGUGCAUCUGCGUGUGCGUUCUCUGCUCGGGGCACCUGCUGGAUGGUGAAGGUGGAAAAUGCCUUCAACAGCUCUUGGACUUUGUCAAGGUACAAGAUCAUCCUUGGGUGCUUCGCCAUGUAUUCUCCUGAGGCUUGACUUGUGAUCAGCUGGGAAUCUGAGUAGAUGGCCAGCUUCUUGAUUGAUAGCUCCUUUGCCAGGCGCAAGCCAGCGAGCAAUGCCUCGUACUCUGCCUCGUUAUUUGAAGCUGGGAAGCCAAGUGUGAUAGCUUUCUCUAACAGGGUUCCAUCUGGAGUGACGAUGACGACACCUGCUCCAGCUCCUUUCUGGUUCGACGCUCCAUCUACGCGUAGCUGCCACAUGUCUCUGGGUUGGUCAGGUUCCGCGGAGGUCUUGUCUGCUCUCGAACUUUCCUUCUUUUUGCUGACCAGCUUCUCUUCUUCGGCUGAUGGUGUGUACUCUGCAACAAAGUCUGCUAAGGCCUGGGCUUUUAUAGCAGUCUUUGGCCGGUAGAGGAGGUCGUAUUGGCUUAGUUCUAUCGCCCACUUCAUAAGCCGCUGAGAAGCAUCAGGGCUGUGGAGGAUUGAUCUUAAAGGAAAGUCAGUCAUAACGAUGACUCGGUGAGCUUGGUAAUAAGGCCGCAGCUUUCGCGCGGAAACGACAAGGGCCAAAAUGAGCUUCUCCAAUUUUGGGUAGCGAGUCUCUGCAUCGAGGAGAGCUUUUGACGUAUAGAAUAUCGGAUGUUGGGCCCCAAGUUCUUCUCGGAUGAGAGCUGAGCUGAUGGCUGAGUCGGACACUGCCAGGUACACGAACAAGUCUUCACCAGGAACGGGCUUCGAGAGCAGGGGAGGUGAAGUAAGGUAGGUCUUUAGACUCUGGAAAGCUACUUCGCACUCCUCGUCCCACUUGUCUUUUUGCCCCUUCUUCAAAGCUUUGAAGAAUGGUCUGCACUUGUCGGUAGACUUUGAGAGGAAUCGGUUGAGAGCUGCUGCUCUGCCCGUCAGACUUUGUAUUUCUUUCACCGUGGAAGGUGACUUCAUCUCGAGGAUGCCUUUAAUUUGGCAUGGGUGUGCCUCGAUACCUCGUUGUGUGAUACACCGAACGUGCAUUUACUUGGAUUCAGCUUCAUGCGGUAUUGGCGGAGCAGGCUGAAUGCCUCGGUGAGGUUUUUGAGGUGGUCUCCACGCUUGGGGGCUUUGACCAGCAUAUCAUCCACGUAGACUUCCAUGGUUCUGCCGAUCUGCUCCUUGAAAAUCUUAUUCACGAGCCUUUGGUAUGUUGCUCCAGCGUUCUUCAACCCGAAGGGCAUGACCUUGUAGCAGUAGGUUCCUCUCUCAAUGAUGAAAGAGGUCUUCGCCUUGUCAUCGUCGUACAUCAUAAUUUGAUUAUAGCCUGAGUAGGCAUCCAUGAAGCUGAGCAGCUGGUUGCCGGAAGUUGAAUCCACGAGCUGGUCGAUCCUCGGCAAUGGGAAGUUGUCUUUAGGGCAUGCUUUGUUGAGGUCGGUAUAAUCGACGCACACUCUCCAUUUUCCCUUUUCUUGUUUUGCCACCAAAACGACGUUGGCCAGCCAUUCUGAGUAUGAGACUUCUUCAAUAAAUCCGGCUGCUAGAAGCUUGUCGAUCUCGGCUUCAAUGAUCGCGACUCGCUCGGGAGCGAAGUUACGUCUCUUCUGCACCACGGGCUUGCUGGCAGGGUUGACAUGGAGGCGGUGGCAGAUGAUGUUUGGGUCGAUGUCGGGCAUGUCAGAUGGUGACCACGCGAACAUGUCUUUGUUGUUUUGGAGGAAGGUGGUAAGCUCCACCUUCUCGUCUGGGCUUAGGCGCGAGCCGAUCCGCGCUUUCUUAUCUGGCUGGUUAGGAUCGAGGGGUACUAACUCGACGUCUUCCUCAGGCUUCCAACCCUCUUCAAGGGAGCCUUCCGGGCGGAUUCCCUCCUCUCGAUCCUUCUUGUUUGGAUUCUAGCACGAGCCGAUCUGUGCUUCUUUGUCUGGCUGGCCAAGAUCAGGGGGUACUAACUCAACGUCAUCCUCAGACUUCCAACCCUUUUCAGGGGAGUCUUCCGGGCGGAUUCCCUCGCCUUGAUCCUGGCUCAUUAAUUGCUAUUGUGAGGUAACAGCUCCCUUCUCGUUCGAGCUUGCUUGUCUGCUGGGAGCACUUCGUGCCUCGUUGGCAGCUUGCAUUACUGGUGUGAACUGCAUCUGCUUGCUCUUCUUGAGUCCGUGAGCUGUGCAUCUUCUUGCCAUGGCUUGGUCACUAUUGAUCUGCCCGAUUCCGCCUCCAGGGAUGGGGUAGCGAAUCUUCUGGUGUAGAGCAGAUGUGAUAGCCUCGAUCUUGCUGAUCCACGGUCGGCCCAGAAUUCCGUUGUACGGGGAGAUCUCGUCGAUGACCAUGAAGGUUUGUGUGCAGACUACUGGGGGCGAGUGGACGUCAAGGUCGAUCUGUCCAACAGUGAUUGAUGUGGCCCCAUUGAAGCCAGUGAGCGACCUUGCAAGUUUGCUAAUCUUGGGCUCCAAUCCCAUCUGUUGGAUGACAGAUAGUUGCAGGAUGUUGGCUGCGCUGCCCUCAUCCACAUGAACUCGCUCGAUCACAGCUUGUUCAAUCCGAAUGCACAUGACUAGGGCGUCAUUAUGCGGCAGGUCAAGCCCGAUCAAGUCUUUCUUCUGGAAACCAAUGAUGGGUGUAUCCACGAUAACUGGUACUCCUGUUGUGACUUGGGAGACAUAAGUCGCCUGCGCGAUCUUCCUCUUGCGCUCCUUGGUGGUCAACCCGGACUCCUGAGAGUCAGCUAGAAUGGUGUUGAUUCGAAUGACCUUUUGGGGAGGUUCCUUGGCAGCCGCAUCACGAUCCUCGAUCUGUUGGAUGGCCUUCUUUGCGACGAAUUCUGUGCAAUGACCUUCUCUGACCAGCUCCUCCAGAUGCCUUUUCCAAGCAUUGCAAUUGUUGGUGUAAUGACCGUGCUCCCCGUGGAAUGCGCAGUAUUUACUGGUGUCCCUCUUAGAGGGGUCUCCUUUCAUGGGUGGCGGUCUCCUCACCCACGGCUUGUCCUUCACUUGAGCCAGGAUCUGAUGAAUUGGGAUAGCGAACUCAGUAAAGGUCCCAAUUUCUGAGCUUCCCUCUCGGGGCCGCGAUCUGCGCUUAUCUCGGGCUUUUUGCUCGAACUGAUUGCUCUUUUGGCUUGCCUGCUUCGUCGGGUGUUCAACUUGCUUGCUAGCUUUCUUUGCGGCGAUUCGAUCAUCGUCCCAAAGUGCGUAGCGUUCUGCCGUCGCGAACACUUCUGCCAAGGUUUGACUUGGUGUUAUGGCCAGUUCCCGGUAUAGCUCGUGCUCGGUUGGCAAGCCCUUCUUGAAGGCUGAGGAUGCAACUUGGUCAUUGCAUCCUAUGAUGUUAGCCUUUUCAGCCUUAAACCGUCUCAGGUAGUCUCGUAGAGACUCGUCUGGCUUCUUGCGCAGGUUGAACAGAUGGUCCGCAUGCUUUCUGACCGUCUUGUAGGAGGUGUACUCCUUUGUGAAGAUGAAGGCCAACUCCUUGAAGUUUCCUAUCGACGCGGACGGUAGAGUGUGGAACCAGUCUUGAGCUGCUCCUCGCAGGGUCAUCGCGAACACUUUGCACAUCAGGGCAUCAUCUGCCUUGUACAGGAUCAUGGCGCUCUUGAAGUGCCUCAAAUGGCUCUCAGGGUCAAAGUCCCCCUUGAAUGGAGUGAUGGAUGGCGUUGUGAACCGCUUCGGUGGAGGAGCUCGUUCCACUUUGUCGGUAAAGGGCGAGCAGUCAACUCGAUCAAUUUCCUUAUGCAGGGCCUCCUCCGCGCUUCCUUUAAGUUGGAGAACUUGGAGUCGGUCAUUUACUAGCUUCUCGACGUCCUCUGCUCGCAGGACUGGAGUCUCAGGCCGGCGUCUUCGGUGCCUCGAGCGCGACCGGCUAACCUCUUCCUCGGUUCCCAAAGGUCGAUCCCCUUGGGUGUUCUGCCCGUGGGGCAGAUUAGAAGAUUGAGCUUGUGAGGAUUCCUCUACAUCUUGUCGCCACGUGUUGGUCCUCGAGCAGGUUGGUGGGCGUCGAUCAUCACCUUCUACCCGCAAGGAGGGUCGCUCAGGUCGACGUCUUUGGUGUCUCGAGCGUGACUGGCUAACUCCUUCCUCGAUUCCCAAGGGUCGAUCCCCUUGGGUGCCCUGCCCGUGGGGCAGAUUAGGAGAUUGGGCUUGGAAUGAUCCCUCUACAGCUUGCCGUCGCGUGUUGGCCCUCGAGCGGGUUGGUGGGCGUCGGUCGUUGCGUUCGUCACGCGACUGCUCACGAACUCGAGCUCCUUGUGGGCCCAAGCGGGCGUGGACAUUGGAUUGUGGGCCUAAGCGGGCGUGGACAUUAUUCUGUGGGCCUAGCCUCUCGAGCACAUUGGUCCUUGGUUCUAGCCCGAACGGCUCAGAGUACGGCUCGCGGCUGUCUGCGUCUCAUCUACUCGAUCUCGAUCUCGAUCUCUCCUCUGCCGGUUUGCCCUUGUCUGACCAGCUUGGGACCUCUCGAACUGCUCGCCGACAUGCUGGUGUGCCCUCAUCUCCUCGUCACGGGGUCCAAGGUUAAGGCCUUGAUUCAAGUUGAUCUGCCUGAGCAGCUGGCCAAUCAGGUUGUUCUGAUCAUCGACCUUCUGUGUGAGUUAAUCGACCCGUGAGUUAAGGUCCACCUGACUGCGCGGGUCAAGUAGAGUGAUGUGCAUCGGGCCCACGGCAAAUGGGCUAGGGCUCCAUUAGACGCGUACACAGGUGCAUAUGUCGAGUGUGAUAGCAGAGGAGGGAGAGAAUGGAUCUGCUCCAGGACUGGGAAGACGUCGGAGUAGCCAUGGGGCUGAGCAGCAAAUCCGGUAGUUGAGUGGUGUGGCUGCUGCUGUGCUACGACGGCAGGACAGCGGGGCAGAGCAGCUCCUGUAAUCGGCGCUGGCAACUGCAAGGCUGUGGAGGUCCCGAGGUCAUGGUCCGGCUGUUCUGCAAUUCCAGCAGCUGAAUGCGGCUGCAAAGCACUGGAGGACGACUGCAAGGCGUUGGCAGCCACGAUUCCGUGCGGUUGCAUUGAGGUUUCCACCACGAAACCAUGAGAUGGGCCCAUCGUGGUGGCGUUACUCUUCGUACGUCUUGUAUCAACCAUAGUUGUUUGAAAAAAUGUGUGAAAGAUGGAUUUAGAGCACGCUUUGAAUAUACCUCGUGCUCUCAAUGAAAGCACCAAUUUGUUUGUGCAAAUAAUCUCACGGGAGAAUAUUCGCCCAAGAUUCCUUCGUCUUCUCCGCCUCUCUUUCUCCCUGCAAAACAGAUCGGAGUAAAAGGACCACACCCGGGGGGUGUUGGCCAAAGGCCCUCCGAUGCCUAAGUUAGGUAAGGGAAUUCAAGGAAAACCGGGUGGCCGGAGCCUUGUGUGAGAGAGAGAAAGAGAGGAGGUGCCUAGGGUUUUUGAGAAAUAAUUUAUGCAGAGUUUCAGUAGGAAUUUAGACGUACCUCAUCCUUGUGUGUAACCAGGUAUUUAUAGUGGCCUUUGGAGAGGUAGGUGGGGUUGGUGUAGUUGGUGUGGUUGGUGGGGUUGGUGCAUUUAGGGAUUAUGGAUGAACCGAAUCCCUAAUUAAAUUGGGGAUCAAGUAACCCCCAAUUUGAUUAGGUAAUUCCCAAUUAGGUUAGGUAACUCCUAAUUAGGUCAAAUAAUUCCCAAAUUGAUUGGCCUAAUUAAUUGACCUAGGGUUUUGGUUUAAUUAGGUUCCCACAAGUGUGAAAUUGUGACCACGAGAUUCGGUAUAAGCUGUAACCCAAAAAGGUACGUAAGUACGUACAGAAAACCAAACCAAAUACACACGUUCAAACAGGAGUAAGGGGAUACAAAAUAAAUAAAUUAACAGGAAAGACAGAGUUUAACCUGGUCAGUGGACUCUACUUUAAUGGUUAUGGCAGUGGAGAAGAUAUCACCCGCUUUCUUGCCAGGAGAAACUGCAUCAACAGAGACUCCAAAUGCCUGCAGUGCUUGAAAUGGGACCACUGCCUCGUAAUCUUCCAUGCAGUCCCCGCACAGUAACACACCCUCCUCUGCUCCUCGCCUUUCGGAUUUCCCAUUUCUUUUUUUAUUUUCCUUCUUUAGUUUCUUUCUUGCUUUUUCUUUCUUCUAUCUUCUUUCUUCUUUAUCACAGAGGGAGGUGGUCUGAUAAAGGAAGGAAGGCCUGCUUUAAAUAUAAUACUCACACAAGCGUUUUUGGAGGUUUGUGGAGUCAGCUAGACACGUCGCAGUUAGUAAUCGUGGCAUCUCUCUCUAUUCCUCUUUUCUUUUCAGUUCGGAUAACUAUUGUAUUAGUUUCGAGCCAUAACCAUAUCCAAGUUUGAUAUUAUUUGUUGUCUUCUUCACCGACCAAGUGAGUCUAAAUAAUUCAAGGAAGAUUCAAACUUGUAAUGUUUAUCUCUAACAGGUAUGGAUAAUAAAUGUAAUGUUUAUCUCUGACAGGUAUGGAUAGUGUUGAAUAGCCUUCGCGUUGAUUUUACCUCGACUGCCAUGUUGAUUUUCACCAGCGCAGCAAAGCUGCUUGCUUUGUGUUAUGAGGUCUGGUUUUGUCAACAAACUAUAUUAAUUGACCCAAAAGAAAAUGCAAUAUAAUGUGGAUCCUCAUUUCGCAGUGACAGGAUAUGGUUGUGAAAUACAGGCUAACUUUGGACAACCUGAUAUUCAAAAGAAAAUUCAAUAUCUUGUCGAUCCUCAUUUUGCAGUUACAGGAUGGUUGUGAAAGUAUAAGCUAACUCUGGACAACACGAUAUUCAUUCAGGUAAAACUUCGAGGUGUACAGUGAGGGAGAUAGAAACCCUUGAGCUGAAAUCCUUGGCGCCGACGACUAAUAAAUCAUAGUGUCCUUCUUGUUGAUGUGUAACCCUUGAGUUGAAAUCCUUGGCGCCAAAGUUGUUUUUUAUUUGCAUUUUAUUUCUUUUUUAUAUGUUUAAACUCUGUUUGUAAUAUGAGCCAUUGGAUCAUAGUCCAAGUGGUCUCUUAUCUAGCCUAGGAUAUAAUCUGUCAGAUUGUGACAAGUGUAAUCAUCUCAUAGGCUGAUAGGAUCAAUUGUUAGGAUUAAAUCCCUGUGUAAAUUAGGUAGAGAAGAAUCUCUCUUCUCUCUCCUCUAACGGAUAUAUUGGUAUAGUGGAAAUGGAAGCAUAACAGCUCCUUUAGCAAUAUUGCAGCUCAAUAAUCUCUCCUAUCUUUCCAAAAUCUAAAAUCUCCAGAAAACUAGAACACUAAAACUAUGAACUCUAAUAUGGUAUCAGAGCUAGGUUGGAUUGCUUAAACUGGGCGUGAAUCUGUGAACAGAGAAUCGGACUCGAUUCGAGCUAUUUUUUGUUGUUGAGCUUAUUUGAAGAUCGAAGCUGUGAUUUCUUGAAUCCAAUGUCUAAUAUGGCAGGAUCGGGAACAGCUGAGCUUCACACACCAGUUUUCAAUGGAGAAAACUAUUAGUGUUUUGGAGCAUUAGGAUGAAAACCAUUCUGAAAUCUCGUGGAUUGUGGGAUCUGGUCUAGAAUGGGAUAGAUAAUUCAGAUCUGAAGAAGGAGAACGAGGAGGCUACGGUUACUGAGAAGUCCACUAUGGCUCAGAUUUUGAUGAAGGAUGCUCGCGCACUUGGAUUGAUUCAAAGUGCUGUCUCAGAUAAGCUAUCCCCAGAAUUGUGAACGAAGAGACCUCAAAGGGUGCCUGGGAUAUUCUGAAGCUGGAGUUCAGAGGCGAUAAACAAGUAAGAAAUGUCAACUUGCAAGGGUUGCGUAGAGAAUUUGAAUAUACUCAUAUGAAGGAUAGUGAAUCUCUAUCUGUAUAUCUUGUUAGAUUGUUUGAUAUGAAUAAUCAAAUGAAGAGUUAUGGUGAGGAAUUACCUAGAGAGAGAGUUGUGCAGAAAUUGUUGUUUAGUCUGCCGAAAUCAUAUGACUCUAUUUGCUCUGUGAUUGAACACUCUAAGGAUCUUGAAACUCUGGAAGUUCAAGAGGUGGUUGCCCCUUUGAAGAGCUUUGAGCUCAUAUUUGAUCGCCAUACUGAGAAUUCUAUAGAAAGGGCAUUUACUAGUCUGAAUAUUGAGGAAAAGAAUUCUAAGAGUGGAAAUUUUCCUGGAGAUCAAAAAUCUCAGAAAAACUGGAAGUCUAAUGAUGAAAACAAAACAGCUUGUAAACACUGUAAUAAGCUGCAUUAUGGCAAGUGUUGGUUUGAAGGGAAACCUAAAUGCCAUGGGUGUGGGAAAUUUGGGCAUAUGAUCAGAGAUUGCAGUGGGAAUAAAAAUGUACAUAAGGUGAAUUAUGCAAAUCAAGUUGAGGAAACUGGUACUUUGUACUAUGUGUGCAAUGCUGCAACAGAUGUGAAAGUGAAUUAUUCAUGGUACAUUGACAGUGGUUGUAGUAACCACAUGACAGGAGAUGAGGGACUUUUAGUCAAUAUUCAAAGGAACUUGACCUCUAAGGUGAAGAUGGGAACUGGAGAAGUAGUUCCAGUUGCAGGAAAAAGGACUCUUGUGAUAAAAACCAAGUUGGGUAAGAAGCACAUUCAAGAAGUAAUGCUUGUACCUGGUCUUGAAGAAAAUAUGCUUAGUGUUGGGAAAAUGAUUGAGGAUGGAUACUAUCUUGUGUUUGGAGGGAAUAUGGUGAAUAUUUAUGAUGAUUAGUCACGGAGAAAUCUAAUUGUGAAGGUUCAAAUGACCGAUAACUGAUGUUUUCCACUUACAAUGAUGCCUGCAAGUGAUUUGGCCUUAAAGGCAAGUGUUACACACUGCUUGCAGACAAGGCAUAAAAGAUUGGGGCACUUAAAAGAAAGAAGCAUAAAAUUGCUUGAGAAUCAAUGCAUCGUUCAUGGCUUACCUCAUUUGGAGCAGAUUUUAGUAGUAUGUGAAGGCUGCAUGCUAGGAAAGCAACACAGAGAUUCUUUCCUUUUGGAGUCCACUUGGAGAGCUACAAGUCCUUUGGAAUUGGUUCACACAGAUACCUGUGGACCAAUGAAGACUGAAUCCAUUUCUGAAAAUAGGUAUUUCUUGCUAUUUACAGAUGAUUGCACUAGAAUGUCAUGGGUGUAUUUCAUCAUAAACAAGUCAAGUGCAUUUGACUGUUUUAGAAAGUUCAAGGCUAUGACUGAGCUACAAAGUGGAUAUAAGAUAAAAGGCUUGAAGAGUGACAAGGGUGAAGAGUUUUUAUCCAGUGAAUUUUACAGGUUUUGUGAUGAAUUUGGAAUUCAAAGGCAGCUUAUUAUAGCAUACUCUCCUCAGCAAAAUGGAGUAGUUGAAAGAAAGAACAUGACAGUAGUGGACAUGGCAAAAUCUAUGCUGCAUGAGAAGGGUAUUUCUUAUGAAUUUUGGGUGGAAGCUGUAAAUACUACAGUCUAUCUACUGAAUAGAUGUCCCACCAAGUCUCUCAAGAAGGUAACACCAUUUGAAGCUUAUACUGGCAGAAAACCAGGAAUUGCACACUUAAAGAUUUUUGGAUCUCCUUGUCAUGUGCUCAUCCCUUCAGCAUUAAGGCAUAAACUUGAAGAAAAUAGCCACAAGUGUAUUUGUGUGGGUUAUGGACUCUGUGAAAAGGGGUACAUGCUAUUUGAUCCAAGCAUUAGAAAGGUUAUUCUGUCCAGAGAUGUGCAGUUUGAUGAGAAUGGCUCAUGGAAGAGGGAGAAUGCAAGUGCAUGAGAAAUGACAGUCCCUGUGCCUACUGAGAAUCAAAACUGUAAUCCAAGUCAAAGCUUGGGUACACCAAUGCAAAUGGAUGAAGGAAUCACACUACAGAAUGAACCAAGUCAAAGCUUGGAUACACCAACAUAAAUGGAUGAAGGUAUUACUCUGCAAGAUGAAGGAAUAAGUGAAAGUUCUCAAGCUAUUGAUCACACACCAAAGAAAUGGAGAAGUGUUAACGAAAUCAUGGCUCAAUGCAAUAUCUGCAUUGUGGAACCUGAAAGUUUUGAAGAAGCUAAUCUUGAUAAGUCAUGGAGAAAUGCAAUGAAGGCUGAGCUGGAAAUGAUUGAGAAAAAUAAUACAUGGAAACUAGAGACAAACCAUUUGGCAAGCCAAUUAUUGGUGUCAAGUGGGUCUUCAAAACUAAGCUAAAUCUGGAUGGAUCUGUGCAGAAAAACAAGGCCAGACUUAUGGCAAAAGGCUACUCUCAGAAGCCUGGAAUAGACUAUAAUGAGACGUUUGCUCUAGUAACAAGAUUGGAUAUUAUUAGAACGUUGAUAGCACUUGCUGCACAGAAGGAAUGGAAUCUAUAUCAACUGGAUGUAAAAUCUGCCUUUCUGAAUGAAGUGUUAAAGGAAGAGGUUUAUGUGGAGCAGCCACAGGGUUUUGUGAAGGAAAAUGAAGAAAUCAGAGUGUAUAAGUUGAACAAGGCCUUCUAUGGACUAAAGCAAGUCCCAAGAGCCUGGUAUGAUGAGAUAGACUCUUACUUCAACAAGGCAGGAUUCAAGAAAAGUCCUAGUGAAGCAACACUCUAUGUCAAAACUAGUGAAGAUUCAGGUAUUCUUAUUGUUUCACUCUAUGUGGAUGAUAUUGUCUAUACUAGAAGUUGCCCAAAGUUACUUGAAGAGUUCAAAAAUGAUAUGAUGCAACAUUAUGAAAUGACUGAUCUUGGACUACUCUACCAUUUUCUUAGCAUGGGAGUAGUACAAACAGAUAAACAUAUCUUUCUUCAUCAGAAGAAAUAUGCAUUGAAGGUGAUUGAAAAGUUUGGAUUGAAGGACUGCAAGUCUGUGGUAACUCCAUUAGUUGCAAAUGAAAGCCUGUGCAAGGAAGAUGGCAGUGAGGCAGCAAAUGAGAGUGAAUAUAGACAGAUUGUAGGUAGCCUGCUUUAUUUGACAGCUACAAGACUAGACAUAAUGUUUGCCUCUAGCUUGCUUGCUAGAUUCAUGCAUAAUCCAACUAGAAAACACAUGGGAACAGCCAAGAGGGUAUUAAGAUACAUUUAGGGCACACUUGAUUUUGGAAUUGAAUUUAUAAAAGGGAAGACAACUACCUUGAUAGGGUAUUGUGACAGUGACUGGGCAAGAAGUGAAGAUGAUAGAAGAAUUACUUCAGGAUAUGCAUUCACACUAGGAUAUGGUAUGUUCUCAUGGGCAUCAAUUAAACAAAACACAGUAGCUUUCUCCACUGCAGAGGCAGAAUAUGUUAGUGCUGCUGAAGAAACAUCACAAGCUAAAUGGCUAAGGUUCGUACUUGAAGAUUUUGAAGAGGAGCAAGUGGAAGGUACACCAAUUCUGUGUCAUAACACCUCUACCAUAGCAAUGGCAAAGAAUCCAGUUUUCCACCAGAAAACCAGACAUAUUAGCCUAAAGUUUCAUUUCAUUCGAGAAGCUAUUCAAGCAAAGGAGAUUGAACUAAUCUACUGGAAAACAGAAGAUCAUAUUGCAGACAUCCUAACCAAGGCUUUGUCCAAGGAUCGUUUUGUGUAUCUCAGAGAUCUACUUGGUGUGAAAUCAGUCAAAGGGUUAUAGAAGGGAGUGUUGAUGUGUAACCCUUGAGCUGAAAUCCUUGGCGCCAAAGUUGUUUUUUGUUUGCAUUUGAUUUCUUUUUUAUAUGUUUAAACUUUGUUUGUAAUAUGAGCCAUUGGAUCAUAGGCCAAGUGGUCUCUUAUCUAGCCUAGGAUAUAAUCUGUCAAAUUGUGACAAGUGUAAUCAUCUCAUAGGAUGAUAGGAUCAAUGGUUAGGAUUAAAUCCCUGUGUAAAUCAGUUAGAGAAGAAUCUCUCUUCUCUCUCCUCUAACGGAUAUAUUGGUAUAGUGGAAAUGGAAGCAUAACAGCUCCUUUAGCAAUAUUGCAGCUCAAUAAUCUCUCCUUUCUUUCCAAAAUCUAAAAUCUCCAGAAAACUAGAACACUAAAACUAUGAACUGUAAUACUUCUAAAGCAUUAGUAUAAUACAAGCUUCGUCCACAACCAAACUUGCAUGGAACAUGGCAUAUACAUAUCAAAACCAGAAUGUCACUUGUUCCCUCAUAUAUAGAAACGUCACCUUAACAUAACACUUACAUAUAGUACAUGCAAGCAGCUGACCCAGUAAACAGCAAAUGAUACUCGAAUAUCAAGCAAUAUCAUCAACUGAGAAAUGAACUCUGGGUGGCCCGGCCACGCUCUCCAGUCCAAAUUUCCAUCUGUGAAACAAUGAUCUAUUGGACCAGGUUCCAGCCGUGUUGCUCCUGACAAAACCGCAUUAAGCUUCACCACUGAAUACGCAGUAUAUUUCUUUCCCUAAAAUUUAGCUAGUUAACAACAAUUAGGACAUGAUUUAAAAAAGUCCAUAAUGUGAAAAUAAGUAAAUCAACCCUCAAUCAGAAGAAUCAGCAAAAGGCAAACAGAUUACAAUUUCAAAGUGGUUUCUUUUUUACCUCGUCAUUAAAUACUCACUCAGUAAAUCAACCCUGUUACAAAAUUGAUGAUACUCCCAACUCUUCCUAACACCUUCCGAAAAACUGAAACUGCCUAGCUCAGCCAAGCCUUUUGGUUUUCCUUAGUAGGUAAUUUCUUGUUUUACCCCAUUCUUAAACCAUUCCAUCUAGCAUAGAUUUUUACUGCUUCAUAUAUUCCUUCAGAGAAUUCUGCAUUACAGUACACACCUUCCGACUUUUAUAUUACCGCACAAAUGUUCAUGCACCAACUGGCAAGCUUGCUCAUCAACACCCACAACAAAACAUACAUUUAAAUUUACGAUCAACUACAUAGAUAGUGAGUUAUAGAACAAAUGAAUCCACAGGUUAUCUGUAUUGUCUUUUUGGUUAAACAUGUUUAACUUCCCACACAAAAUUAAUUUUACUCUAGCAUUUUAGUUUAUGUUAAAAAGCGUAAGAAGUUAAAAUGUUAUGGAAUCUACAUUAUAUAUGUAUAUCUACCACAGAAAUGCUAUAAUGUGGGGUUGUGUGUGAGGGGUUCAAUACCACUAUCCAAUAAUAUAAAGGAUAUUUUGAACUUAAACUUUUUAAUGAUUGGAUGGUUGGAUGGUUGGAGACCAAGUAUAAAUAUCCUAGUUCUUUGUGAAUGUACAAAUCAUCCAAUUUCAAACAAAUUAACUUUAUAUUAUUGUUUCAACUCAUUUAGUUUCAAAGAUUGAAAUUCUGGCAGAUGGAUGCAAUUGGUUUCCUGGCUUCCACAAUUUGCUUCACUAAUGCAAUGACUUUCUCAUCCAAUACCAAAUGUUCUGGGGCUCCAGUUGUACGGCAUACAACAGUGAGGUUAAUUCUCAGUCUCGCAGCUAUGCACAAGUGGUCUUUGAGGCAAUUGAAUGUUAAGAACGCAUUCUUACAUGGGGAGCUUGAAGAAGAAGUUUUUAUGAGGCAACCUCAAGGUUUUGAAGACCCCAAGCAUCCUGAGUUUGUGUGUAAGCUGAAUAAGUCUCUGUAUGGACUUAAGCAAGCUCCACGGGCAUGGAAUGCUAAAUUUACAGGAUAUUUACCAGCUAUAGGGUUCAAAUAAUCUCGUUCUGAUCCCAACUUAUUUGUCAAGCAUGACGGCACUGAUAUUAUAAUUUUAUUAUUAUAUGUUGAUGGUAUCAUCUUGACAGGCUCCAAUGCAAAUUUAGUGCAGACAGUGAUUGAUGAUUUAGGAGCAGUGUUUGAGAUGAAGGACAUGGGUCGCCUUACCUAUUUCCUUGGUCUUCAAGUGUCUUACAAUUCUACAGGUGAUAUUUUUGUCCAUCAGCACAAGUAUGCUAAAGAUCUACUGCAAAAGGGCUGGUCUGAGUAAUUGUAAGGCUUCUCCUACUCCUUGCAAGCCACAUAAUCAAGUCUUAAUGUCUGAAGGAGAACCACUGCAUGAUCCUACAUUUUAUAGAAGUAUUGUUGGUGCCUUACAAUACUUAACUUUCAUAAGACCUGACUUAUCCUAUGCUGUCAAUACUGUGUGUCAGUGUAUGACUGCUCCCACUGAGAUACAUUUCAACCUGGUCAAAAGAAUUUUGAGAUACAUUCAAGGUACCAUGAAUUAUGGAAUUCACUUUAUUCAUGGUCCUUGGAAAUUACAAGCUUAUAGUGAUGUUAACUGGGCGGGGGAUUUAAAUGCUAGGAGGUCAACUACAGGUUUUGUGGUAUUGCUUGGACAUAAUCCUAUCUCAUGGCAGUCUAAGAAGCAAGGGUCUGCAUCCAGAAAUUCUACAGAGGCCGAGUAUAGGGCUUUGGCUAGUACAGCUGCAGAUUUGGGUUGGAUUCGAAAGGUUUUGCUAGACUUGAAAGUGUGCUUGCCUCUACCUCCUACCAUCUUUUGUGAUAAUCUAUCUGCUUUGGCACUUAGUAGUAAUCCUGUGUUUCAUUCACGAAUUAAACACUUGGAUACAGAUUUUCACUUUGUUCGUGAAAGGGUUCAAAGGAAUGAUCUGAUUGUUUAGUAUGUUCCCACUCAAGAGCAAAUCGCAGAUGUAUUUACUAAAGGACUGCAUAGUCCUAUUUUCUUGAGUCACUGUACUAGUAUGCGACUUGGAAAUCCAUAGCAGGAUCCAGAGUUGGGUUUGAGGGGGAAUGAUAACAAUAUUAGUUAGUUUGUUAAGCUGUCACGUGUGCUCACGUGUUGUUAGUUAGUAGUAACUAUAAUUAGUUAAGAGUGUUAAGUCUUGGUUAUUGAGAUAUAACACUAAUGAAACUGCCGUUGUAAUUCAUUAUAUACAGAGCAUAUCAUUUCUUCUUCCUUCUUAGUCUUCUCAAUUCUUAAGCUUCCUUUUCUAAACUGUUAUCAGAUGGAACCCUAUCACACCAGAAUUGUGGCAAAUCUGGUAUAGCCGAUUCAGGUUAUUUUCACUAUAUAUCUUUCAGAAGUAUCUGUAACGGGGCAAAUCUCCAUCAAUCCUCUUCUUUUCAGUUUAUCUUUAUGCCCAUUCAUGCAUGUAUAUAUUAUACGAAGAAGUUUUUGACAUAUGGCAUGUAUUGUGUGUCAAAUGUAUACCGAUUCAUGAAGACAGGUUCAAGAUCACAUACACCAUAUUCACCUUCAUUUCUUUUUGUUUAUUCUGGGUUUCUCCAAUUUGAAUCACAUUAAAAAACAAAUACUGAACAGUGAUAUAUUCAAUAUUGAUCGGCAUCACAAUUUCAUAUUUCUCAUUGCACUACGAAGGAAAAUAAAACUUACCCCACAGAGAAACAGGAUCCUCCUAUCUGAACCAGUUAUGUUACCACCUAGUGCCUUCACAAAAAGCCUAAUGAACUCAGGAUUCAUAUGUAGCCCCAGUAAUUAUAUUACCAUCAACAACAGACGCCAACAUGGUCUCGGGUUCCACCCAAUAAGCACCUGCAGGCUGCAGCAACAAGUACAGGUCUGACAGGUGGGAAGGCCGUUAUAGUAUAGCCGCGCGGCUAUACUCCAUAAGCAGAAUAUUUUAAAAGUACAGCCGCACCGCUAUACUCCAAAAAUUAUAAUAUCGUAAAAGUACAGCCGAUCGGCUAUACGCGAUAAAUAAAAUAUUUCAAAUGGCUAUACUAAAGGAACUUAAACGUNNNNNNNNNNNNNNNNNNNNNNNNNNNNNNNNNNNNNNNNNNNNNNNNNNNNNNNNNNNNNNNNNNNNNNNNNNNNNNNNNNNNNNNNNNNNNNNNNNNNNNNNNNNNNNNNNNNNNNNNNNNNNNNNNNNNNNNNNNNNNNNNNNNNNNNNNNNNNNNNNNNNNNNNNNNNNUAUUUUCACUUAGAGACGAAGGCACUAAUGCAAUUUUGUUUAUUGAAUAUGGUGUACGCAGUGACGUUGGAGCCAAGAAUUUGUUCACGCUGUCUUUUCCCCAGAACUCAAAGCUCAAUACAGGUCGGUUCUCUAGCUCAUAAUGAAUGAGCAAAACUCCUAACAUGUGUUCUUGUUUGAGCUUACUUUAGUCUCGCUGUCCACACAACCUAGAAACUAUGACCUACGGAUUGCUAUUUGUCAAUCUAAUAGAGUGGCUCUAAUCAACAGUAAAACUUAAUUCAUUUUGUCUAUAAUUAAGGCUACCAACCACUGGCUGAUGCAAAAACCUAAACUUGUAAACUUGACAAACUUAUUUCCAGUCCCAACAUACUCCAAAUUUUAGAGGAGGCAACAUAAUCCCAUAUGUGAGAAUUGUAAGCACUUCAAUCUUUGAGACAAAUUUCUUGUUUUGGGUUUACAAAUUCAAGUGAAGUAAGCAUUCAAUCUUCAAUCCAAUUGAGUGUGCUUGAUUACAGAGCAUGGAAAAGACCAAUUGACAGUGCUCAAGUGAUGUAAUGAGGCUAAAGAAUAAAUUUUUAUCAUAUAAUCAUUAAAUAUGUUCACUAAAAGAUGUGUCAUCGUUAUAUGUAAAAAUUUUAGAAAUAUAUAAACUAGCUAGGAUUUACGUGAAUUCGAAUUUGAAUACAUGAAAUAUUAUUACCUACUACAUCAUUUGAUGAACAGAUUUGAUGUUCCUAACAAUUCUAUGCGUACUAGUAAAGUACUUUGUCUUUAAUUUGGAAGUACCCGAAAGCAUAAUGUUUUUCAUAUAUUAUCUGGCAGGAGGCAAUUCAAGAAAAAAAGCCAUCAUUAUUGGAGUCGUAGUUGGAGGUGUAGGUCUUUUAUUCUCAUUGUUGGAGUUUUUCUCUAUUUUAAACUUUCAAGAAAGCCCGAGGCUGCAACAACCACAGAAUUCGAAGUUGCACUUCCUCUUGCAUAUAUACUAUUACAGUCAUGAUUUCUUGGACUACAAGUACAAGGGUUCAAGAGAUUUGUGAUCACUCACCGUUUGAUGUAAAUUCAACGGUUCACUCACUGUUGCACUUCUUUUAAGAAAUUUUUUUGAACCAUUGGAUUAAUAUCUAACGGUGGGUGACCACAAUCUCUUGGACUCCUGUAGUCCAAGAGAUCGGAUUGUAUACUAUAAGUCCUGAUCUCUUAGACUACAAGAGUACAAGAGAUUUGUGGUCACUCACCGUUGGAUAUAAAUUCAACGGUUCACUCAUUAUUGCACUCCUUUUAAGAAACUUUUUUGAACCAUUGGAUUAAUAUCCAACGAUAGGUGACCACAAUCUCUUGGACUCCUGUAGUCCAAGAGAUUUGUGGUCACUCACCGUUGGAUGUAAAUUCAACGGUUCACUCACUCUUGCACUCAUUUUAAGAAACAUUUUUGAACCAUUGGAUUAAUAUCCAACAGUGGGUGACCACAAUCUCUUGGACUCCUGCAGUCCAAGAGAUCGGGACUGUAUACUAUCAAUCCUGAUCUCUUGGACUACAAGGGUCCAAGAGAUUUGUGGUCACUCACCGUUGGAUGUAAUUCAAUUAGCUCAUGCUCUAACCAUGUAUAUAUAUAAACAUAACAAAUUUAAAAAAAUUUGGUAUUAGACAUAAUUAUCUUUACUAAUUAGUAUUCGAGAUAAACAAUAUUUAUGUUUUAGUUUUAAUACAUAGGAAUUGAAUUUUGUUUUGGAUUUGGACAAAGAGGAGGCCCAGAUUCAUUAGCCCACCUUAUAUUAAUCACUAAUUUUAAUUUAAAAACCUGACUCAAAUUCGUUGGUUUACCUUUUUUUUAAGACUGCUGCUAAACGAACCCUAACAUUAACUGAGUACACCCUAUGAUCUAAGUACACUCUGAUAUUUUAAUUUAAAUGUAAAAUUAACUAAGCACACCCUAUAGAACUACCAAAAAUAUCUCUGGUACACCAUAAUAUUUGUAGCAUUAUUUUAUAGUUGAUUUUUAGCUUGAUUUUUUUAAUAGUGUUUAUAAAUCUUUGACUUUUCAUAUGGAUUUAUGCUUCUACUAAAAUUGUUGACACUUUUUUUGCAAUUUCAAGUUCUUGCAAUCACCACCUCUUUCGUUAAUAAUGAUUUUUUUAUGCAUGUUUCAGUUAUAUACUACUAUGCUACUAUGAAAUUUAUUCGUUCUCAACGAAGUUAAAAACAAGCUAAACAAAUAGAGNNNNNNNNNNNNNNNNNNNNNNNNNNNNNNNNNNNNNNNNNNNNNNNNNNNNNNNNNNNNNNNNNNNNNNNNNNNNNNNNNNNNNNNNNNNNNNNNNNNNNNNNNNNNNNNNNNNNNNNNNNNNNNNNNNNNNNNNNNNNNNNNNNNNNNNNNNNNNNNNNNNNNNNNNNNNNNNNNNNNNNNNNNNNNNNNNNNNNNNNNNNNNNNNNNNNNUGUAUGAAGCAUCCGUUCCAAAAUUUCAAAAGUAACCCAACUUGCAAAUCUGCAUAAAAACAUAAGAGAAAAACAAUAAGAAAGGUGCAUGAGUGGCAAACGAAAGUCACUGCAAACUUCAUCAAAUUGGCCCUAGUAGUACUAAUUAAGAUAUUUUUAAUCAUACACGCUCACAAGCCAGAAAAACUAAGUCCUAAAAGAGGGAUGAAGAUGCUGCCACCACAAUUUUCAUUCAUGUUGUUAGUGAACUAGGCAAAAGUAAUAUGCAUAAAUUCUAUUUUUACAGUAUAUAAGUCAAUUCACCAUAAUAUUUUUUUGACAACUUAUUGGAUUGUCAGGAAUUCAAUGAUCAAUCAGGCCUUCACAUAAUCUCCACCGCUGCGCUUCCUUUUGGACCGUGAGAAGAAGCAGAUUUGAGCCCAAGUCUUCUUCUGCUUAGCAGGUUGUGCUUUAACUUCUCUUUUCACGACAAGCUCAAUCAUGUAUUGAACAACAGCCUAAGAUUAUAUUUGCUCCAAACCAUUCUGACUCGCGGAUCACAAAGAUGAGAACCAAAUAAUCUCUUGAGUAGGGUUGAAUACGAUUAGUAGGGUGUACUUAUUAAAAUUAUAUUUGUUUCACAAUUUCAUAUAUCAUUUUUGGUCAUUUUAUAUUAGAGUAAAUCAGUAAUUCAAUAUAUGCUUUUGUAGUAGGGUGUACUCAGUUAAUUUUAGGGUUCGUUUAGCAGCACUCUUUUUUAAUCAUAUCAGAUCUGCUAUCAUCAAUCCAAGAUCAAGAGACCGAUCUGCGAUGGAAUUCUCAACCAUCUUCCUCCUCUACCCAACCCCCCCACAAAUGACACUGUUCGGACCAUCCUCAACACCCCAACACACGUCGCCCUCAAGUCCGAAGAACUUAUAAGAAUGGAGCAGGAAUUGAAAGACUACGAAAUCGAAAUGCGGAAAGCCAAAGAGGAUCUCAACCGUCGGAUUCACGAUGAUCAGGUCGCGAGGGAGAUCAUGAAGAUUCCAUAGGACGAGUGGCAAGAGUCUGGCCAACUCUUCGCCAAACCCUUCGGUGAAGGCUCCUCCUCAUCGUCGUUGACGAAGAGGGUCAAGAGUGAAAGAGUGUUCUAUCAGAUUGGUCAAAAAAUAAUACUUCAUUUAUCUUAAUAUAUAACAAAUAGGAAGGUUAUAUAUACAAAGCCUAGGAAACUAUUCUAGGAAAGUAAUUAUGUUCCUAUAAUCUUGCAUAAUCAAAUAGUUGACUUAGACUAAUUAGGAAUGUACAGCUCAUUGACACUCCCCCUCAAGUUCGAGCAUAUAUGUCGUCAAUGCCCAACUUGCUAAGUGAGCUGUGAAAUACCCUGCCUGUGACUGCUUUGGUAAGGACAUCUGCAAGUGAUCUUCGGAUUUAACAAAUGAUACCUUAAUGAUCUUGCCUCGAGCUUCUCCUUGAUGAAAUGUCUGUCAACUUCAACAUGCUUGGUUCUAUCAUGUUGCACUGGAUUAUGUGCAAUGUCUAUUGCAGCUUUGUUGUCACAAUUCAGUUGCAUGGCAUGUUUGGGUUUGAACCCCAAUUCCUCCAACAAAUUCCUUAUCCAGAGUAGCUCACAUACUCCGUGCGCCAUACCUCGAUAUUCUGCUUCAGCACUUGAUCUUGACACUACUUUCUGUUUUUUACUUCGCCAAGAUACUAGAUUGCCUCCUACAAAGGUAAAGUAUCCAGAUGUAGAUCGCCUGUCAGUAACAGAGCCCGCCCAGUCUGCAUCAGUGUGACCCUCAACAUCUAGAUGACCAUGUCGUGCGAACAUCAAUCCUCUUCCAGGAGAUGACUUCAAGUAUCUCAAAAUUCAGUUUACCGCAUCCAUGUGGGCUUCACUUGGUGCAUGCAUGAACUGACUCACCACACUUACAGCAUAUGCUAUAUCAGAUCUAGUGUGUCCUAGAUAGAUUAACUUACCCACAAGGCGUUGAUAUCUUUCUUUGUUGGUGGGUACUUGAUCAGGAUAUUCACCAAGCUGAUGAUUCAACUCCAUUGGCGUAUCUGCUGGUUUGCUGGCUAACAUUCCAGUGUCAGUCAAAAUGUCAAGGAUAUAUUUCCGUUGUGAUAGAAAUAUUCCUUGUUCUGAACGAGCCACUUCGAUGCCUAGGAAAUACUUCAGAGCACCAAGAUCUUUCAUUUCAAACUCACUUGCCAAGUGGUGCUGCAAUGCUGCCUUUUCCACUAGGUCAUUCCCGGUAACUACCAUGUCAUCAACAUAUACAAUAAGGGCAGUGACUUUACCUUUCUUAUGUUUCAAGAAAAGAGUAUGAUCUGAGUUACUUUGCUUGUAUCCAAAAUCCUUCAUUGAUUUGCUGAACUUUUCAAACCAUGCUCUGGGUGACUGCUUCAAGCUAUAAAGAGACUUUCUCAGUUUACACACCAUGUUGCUAGUAUUGGACCCCAUCUUACAUCCUGGAGGGGAAUCCAUAUAGACUUUUUCUUCUAGGUCGCCGUGCAAGAAGACAUUUUUGACAUCAAACUGGUGUAAUGGCCAGUUUAGGUUUGCUGCCAGAGAAAAAAGUACUUGAAUUGUGUUUAUCUUGGCUACAGGGGCAAAUGUCUCCCUAUAGUCAAUCCCAUAAGUCUGGAGUAUAACCUUUCGCCACCAAUCUUGCUUUGUAUCGUUCAAUGGUGCCAUCUGCCUUGAACUUUACUGUAUAUAUCCAUCUACAACCCCACUGUUCUCUUCCCUUUGGGAAAGGAUAGUCAUCUUUCAAGUGGAAUUCUUCUGGAAGGCCUCCAUUUCAUCAUUCAUUGCUUGAGUCCACUUGGGGAUCUUUAGAGCUUCCUACCCAUUUACUUGGAAUAGAUACAGUGGAUAAUUGACAUACAAAUGAUGCACAUGACGGAGACAACCUAUGUAGGGACACAUGAUUAGCAAUAGGGUAUUUAACUUUUGUUUUUGGGUCCGGGUCAUACUGUUGUCUAGGAAUCCCUCUAGUGGUACGAAUAGGUAACUGAUAACCUGUGUUUCCUGUAUGACUCGACUCAUGUAAAGUACUUAAGUUGGAGUUUAAAUGCUCAGUUACCUGCGGGGAAUCUUCAGGACCUGAUUGGAUGAUUGGUGAUGGUACUGUAGUUGGAGGGAAAUUAUCUGAACCAUCAUCUGGAGUUUCUAGUAACUCUUGAUCUUGUUGCACUACUGUAGCUGGUUGCUCGGAAACUGACUGCUCUAAAAUAGUUUGUUGAAUUUGGAUGCUCUGAGUAUCUUCUGCAAAGAUAGAGCUCUCCCCCUGCAGAGGAUGCUCAGAAACUCCCCCUGAGUAAUAGAACUCACUCUCGUGGAAAGUCGCAUCUGCGGUAACAUGCAUGGUCUGAGUGGGAUGAUGGAAACACUUAUAGCCCUUCUGAGUGCCAGCAUAACCCACAAAGACACAACGCAGUGCACACGGAUCAAGCUUGCCACGCUGAUGUGGAUACACCUGAACAUAAGCAACACAACCAAAGAGACGUGGUUCGAGAUUUGGUGUGGAUGGCAUGGUGAGGAGAGUGGUCAAUGUCUGAAAUGGAGUUUGAUACUGAAGAGUGCUGGAUGGUGUUUUAUUAAUGAGGUAAGCAGCAAAACAAAGAACCUCCCCCCAAAAAUGAUGAGGNNNNNNNNNNNNNNNNNNNNNNNNNNNNNNNNNNNNNNNNNNNNNNNNNNNNNNNNNNNNNNNNNNNNNNNNNNNNNNNNNNNNNNNNNNNNNNNNNNNNNNNNNNNNNNNNNNNNNNNNNUUAAAAAAUUAUGUAGGUCAUGGUUGACUUACUCUCCUCCAUUGUCAGAUCGAAGCGUGGUGAUUUCUGUCAAACUGAGUAGCAACAUAUUGAUAAAAUAACUUGAAUUUGGCAGUGACUUCACUUUUCUGCUUUAAGGAAAAAAUCCAGGUCAUCCGGGUGCAAUCAUCAAUAAACGUCACAAACCACUUAAAACCGCUAAUAGUAGGAACUCGUGAUGGUCCCCAAACAUCAGAAUGGACAAUCAUGAAAGGCAAAGAACUUUUAUUCAAUCUUAAUGGGUAAGAAAUACGAUGGCUUUUGGCCAAAAUGCAAGUUUCACAACGAAAGUCUGAUUCAGCAAACUGGGAAAACAAAUCUGGAAAUAAAAGUUUCAGAUAACCAAAAGAAGCAUGCCCUAAUCAUCUAUGCCAUAGCCAAAUUUUCUUCAUCCUGAUAGACUCAUCUCCUCUCACAUGAUGUGUCUGACUCAAUCUUGUACUGCUGUCUUCUGUCAAGUCCAGAUAAUACAACUUUCCCCUCUUAGUACCACAUCCAAUCACGGUCCUGGUGAGAAGAUCCUGAAAUAGACAAUACAAUGGCCAAAAACACACAGUACAAUUAAGGGAAUCAAUGAUUUGAGGAACAGAUAACAAGUCAUAGUCGAGUGAAGGGACAACUAAGACAUGAUCAAGACUUAAUGAAGAUGUAAGAGAUAAAGACCCUUCUCUCAUAACUUGGGAGGUGGUUCCAUUAGAACUGGUAAUAUGUGUUUGGCUUGAUGGUUUGGUAGAGUGCAACCCAGUAAAACUAGAUGUCAUGUGAUCAGUAGCGCCAGUGUCAAUAAUUCAUGAUCUAUUACAAGUAAGUGAAGAUGUGCAAGAGGUACCUGAGGUGGCCAAGGCCUUGGAGCCAGAUGUACCUGAUGGAGGUUCUGAUGCAGUCUCCUUGGAUGACUGAGCGGAUGCAAAUGAGGCUCUGGUAGAAUCCUUUUUUCGCCCUUUGUGGACCCAUCCUUCUGGAUAACCAAUGAUCUCAUAACAGCCCUUAAUUGUGUGGUUAUCUAAACCACAUUUGGUACACUUCAUUGGAGGCCGGUUACAAGUAGGGUCGACACUAUAGUUGUUCGGCCGAGAUUGUUUGGACCUCGCAGUAGCCAAGGCUGUGGCUUCGGAGGUUACACCAACUUCAGACAUGGUUCCCUGUCGGUUACUUUCUCUUUUAAUAUGUGCAUAUGCGGCCUCCAGUUCGGGUUUUGGCUCCAUCCGCAAAAUCUCUCCUCGGAUUUGAUCGAAAUUAUUGUCCAAACCUGCAAGAAAUAUAUAAACUCGGAGACGAUCAACCUCUUUGCGUCUAGUCUCAAUGUCUUUCGGAUGCUCCAUGGUGCUUGGACUUAAUUGAUCAAGCUCCUGAAAAAUCUCAGUGAGCUCACUAUAAUAUUUGGCAACUGAUGCGCCAGCUUGCUUCAUUAUUAAUGACCGUCUGUGAAGGUCAUAAAUCUUGUCUUCAUCAGCACCAUCUGAAUAGGUUUGCUUGAUUGCGGCCCAGACUUGCUUUGCUGUGUCAUAACGAAUAAAUCGUUUAAUCUGAUUAGGUUGCAUGGCGUCGAACAACCAACUCUUGACUUGGCAAUCCGAUGCACGCCAUUUAUUAAAUGUGGGAUCUGUGUCUGCAGGUUGGGCAAUAUCACCGGUCAAGUGGCCAUGUUUUUCUCACCCAGCUAUCUUCAUCUCUAUGAUUUGAUGCCAUAGAGAAUAAUUAUUCUCAUCCGGUUUGAUUCCUGCGGAGAAGUUGGAGGUGUCACUCUGCAAAGUGACGAUUUAUGUGGUAGUUUUGGAGCCUCCCGACACCAAGGAUUGAUUGGUGUUUACUGACCCGUCAUCGUUGGCCAUGAUAUUGGCUGACAACCAAUGAAAAAAGGACAAAAAAGAAAUAUCAAGUUGAGGAAAAGCAAGUGAACGGUGGACAAAGGCAAUAAGACAAACUGUUUUGCAAUAAGAAAUAUUGGGUUGAAAGGGAAAAAAAGAACAAGGGGAACGGUUUGAAUGGGUCUGUGAGUGGAAAGUGAUUUGCAAUAUUGCAAAACGUGAUUUGACUAGAGGAAAGGUUUGAAUGGGUUUGUAAGAUGGAAUAUGGGUGGUAUUGGUGCUGGGUUUGUGAGAUGGAAUAUUGCUUUUGGUGCUGGUGCUGGUGCUGCGUACUGGAUGGAAUAUUGCAAAACAGUGAUUUGAGAUGGAAUAUGGGCUGGUGCUGGGUCUGUAUGACGGCUGUUGCUGCGGAAGCGAUUAGGGUUAGGGCAAGAGACAGUCAAGAUUGACUGCUCUGAUACCAUAUCAGAUUGGUCAAAAAAUAAUACUUCAUUUAUCUUAAUAUAUAACAAAUAGGAAGGUUAUAUAUACAGAGCCUAGGAAACUAUUUUAGGAAAGUAAUUAUGUUCAUAUAAUCUUGCAUAAUCAAAUAGUUGACUUAGACUAAUUAGGAAUGUACAGCUCAUUGACAUGUUCAGGCUCUACUUCAAGGGUUUGGUGAGCGAGGAAAUGGUUGGAAAUGAGAGAGUGGUGCUGGCUGGGGUUGGGGUUGCUCUAUGCGACUCCAGGGAUAAUUUGGUGUUCGAGGUUUGGAAACCCCUGAUUGGGAAUGGGAUGAGCAAGAAUGGUGCCCUGUUGAAAGCCUUGAUUGAAGGACUUAAUGCUGCUCUUGCUCUGGACUUGAAGCGCAUCACCUUUUUCUGUGAGAAUUUUCCCAUUUUUUUAGUUUGUGAGUUGCUAUCUCUUCUCUGUCUCGUUUCAGUCUAUUGAUGAAAAUUAAUUAGGCUAAUUGUGGGUUUUGCAUUUUAAUAUAACGACAUAUAUGGUUAUGGACGCUGUGGUUUACACUGACCAUGAAAGAGACUCUUGUGAAAGAGGUCUAAAGGAAUGGAACUUAUUAUUAUAUUAGUGUAUACGAUGUUGUAGGUUUUGUUAAUUAAUAUUUUUUUUCUUGGAACAAUAAUGAACUUUCAAUUUUCAGAUAUACUUCAUGAAAUUUGAUAGGGCAAAUCGUAUAUCAUCCAUUGUGGACAAAGAGAUGCAUUCACUUUGAGAAAUUUUACUUGUGUCUUCUCAACAUUUGCUAAAUUAGUUUGCUAUCUUGUAUUUAAAUUGACCAUUAGAGAAAGUCUUGUGAACAAGGUCUAAAAUAAUGGAGUUUAUUAUGACAUUUAUGUGUGCAAUGUUGUAGUACUUGUGUUGAAACCAAGAAUAUUGGAUGUACUAGUCACUGUGCUACGGUCUAUUUACACCCAUGAAUAGAGCUUGUUGAAUUUCUGACAUUAUAUUUUAUGUAUGAAGGUUAAUGGUAAAUGGCAAGCAAAGAACUACCCAAGAGCAAGGGAACUCAAAAUUGGACUUUCGAAAACUGCAUUGCAGUUUCGGAAAUUGCAUUGCAGUUUUCAUUUAAUUACAAUUGAAUUUUUGCUCUUUCCUUGGUCUUCAACCUCACCAAUUUGAAGAGUAAAGGCUACCCAAAUGAGGAAUUGGGGAAAGAGAAAAGUAGAACUACCCAAGAGCAAGAUAACUCAAAAUUGGACUUUUGGAAACUGCAUUGUGGAUUCAGAAACAACAUUGCAGUUUUAGAAACAGCAUUACAGUUUUCGUUUAAUUACAAUUUGAUUUUUGUUCUUUCAUUGGCCUUCAACUUCACCUAUUUGAAGAGUAAAAGCUACCCAAAUGAGGAAUUGAGUGGACAAGAGAAGAUUAAAACUACCCAAGAGCAAGGGAACUCAAAAUUGGACUUUUGGAAACUGCAUUGCAGAUUUGAAAACUGCAUUGCAAUUUCGGAAACUGCAUUGCAGUUUUCAUUUAAUUACAAUUUGAUUUUUAUUCUUUUCUUGGCCUUCAACCUCAUCAAUUUGAAGAGUAGAGGCUACCCAAAUGAGGAAUUGAGUGGGCAAGAGAAGAUAGAACUACCCAAGNNNNNNNNNNNNNNNNNNNNNNNNNNNNNNNNNNNNNNNNNNNNNNNNNNNNNNNNNNNNNNNNNNNNNNNNNNNNNNNNNNNNNNNNNNNNNNNNNNNNNNNNNNNNNNNNNNNNNNNNNNNNNNNNNNNNNNNNNNNNNNNNNNNNNNNNNNNNNNNNNNNNNUAUUUUUAUUGCAGUUUCUGUUUUUAUUUUCAGUUUUGUGGGAUAUGUGUUGAAAUGAUUUUUUUUUUUUUUAAACUGUUGAUUGUUGGUAUAAAUAUUGUAUAAUUGAAUAAAUAUUACAAAAUCAAGUUUGGUGUAGUGGUUUGUGAGUGAGCCUUCCUCCUUUGAGGGUCAAGGUUCAAGUCCCUUCAAUGACACAAAAUAUUUUUUUUUUAAAGGUGAAUAAAGGGCAAUGGAGUUGGUCCCCUACAGACGGUGGCAGGUGGUGGCCGGCGACGGUGGCUUGCAGCGGGAGUCCGGUGGUGGUGGCCGGCGAAGGGUGGCUGGAGGCGGGACUCCGGUGGUGGGAGUCCGGUGGUGGGAGCCCGGUGGUGGGAGCCCGGCGGUGGUGGCCAACGAAGGGUUGCCGGAGGCGGUAGUCUGACGGUGGCCGAAGGCGGGUGACGGCGGUGGUGGCCGGCGAUGGGUGGCUGGCGGUGGUGGCCGGCGAUGGGUGGCUGGCGGUGGUGGCUAUAUAUGGACAUGUGGCAUAGUAUGCUUGCCUUAGAAGGAGUGGCAUUGUGUGCAAUUUUGAUAUUUUUUAAUGAUAUGUUUGUAAAAUUGAGUACUAUAUUUGGUCUUUGGUCUUAUGCUAAUUAGAUGAAAUUGUAUUCUUAUCUUUCAAAUUAGUAAAUUAUAUUAUGUUUUGAAAACUAAAGCUCCCCCUAAAAAUAAGUAAAUUUAAACAAUUGAAGACACGUACGAGCAAUUUUUUUUAAGGGAGCUUUAGGUGAUAUAUUGCGAGUUGCAAGGCCAAGGACCAUUGAAUUACAAAAAUAAAGAUUUGACGGCGGCAACAAAAAACUUCAGUGAAGAAAAAAAACUUGGAGGAGGAGGAUUCGAGGGCAUCUACAGGGUAAAUUAUGUGCUAAAGAGCUCUAAAAUAAUUUAUGUCAGUUCAGUUUAGCACGAUCGAAUAUGGUGUACUCUUUUUUUACAUAAAUAAAGUUUUAAAAAACUGGGAAAAUUGCAUUGUCAAGCUUUUGAUUAUCCAUGCAUAAUGUUCAUUUACAAUUACAUGGUUGGUCAGGGUACUCUAAACAAUGGAAAAGUACGUAGUUGCAGUUAAAAAACUAGCAAUUCUCCAAUCUGACAGGGCAAAGGCGAAUUUCGUAAACGAGGUGAAGCUGAUAUGUAACGUUCAUCACCGGAAUCUCAUUCUUCUUGGAUGUUGUAGCAAAGGACCGUAAUUGCUUCUCAUAUAUGAAUACAUGGCAAACAACAGCCUCUACAGAUUCAUAUUUGGUAAUAAUUUUCGGCUUUUCAGCUCAGCUACCUCUAAAUGCAUGCCUCUCAACUGGAAACAACUAAAUGACAUAAUCCUGGGUACAGCGGGGUCUGGCCUAUUUACAUGAGAAGUUUCAUGAGAUGUAAAAACCAGCAAUGUUGUUUUGGAUGAUAAUUUCCAGCCACCAGAUCUGCCGGAACAUUGUAAGUUAAAGUACUUUCCCACAGGCAUAACCCCUGAUUGAGAUCUAUAUGAUCAUUACUCUUCUACAAUAUUUAUACCGAUAUUGUGUUUUGCCCUACUUAUCUUUCUAUCCGCACACAAAAAGUGUUAUGAAUCUACUACAUACAUCUUGUGUAGCUUGUCACAUUCCAGGAUCGACUCUGCCGUAUCACGAUAUUGUUCGUUUUGAGCCCCCUUCUCUGCCCUCACGGUUUUAUUUCUGAAAACUCACGAGCAACUUUUCAGUGGGUCUCCUAUCCUGGGAUUGCUCUAACCCCCAACUCGCUUAACUUCGAAAUUCCCAUGACUCCGAAGCCAGUGAACUCCCAAAAAACCUCGUACUAGAUAAAAACGAGUAUGUAUAUAUAAGACACAUUAUCCUCUCUCCGUUGAUCGAUAUGGAAUGUUACAUAGCCGAAGAGGAGUACAUCACCAUCAUGGUGAUGNNNNNNNNNNNNNNNNNNNNNNNNNNNNNNNNNNNNNNNNNNNNNNNNNNNNNNNNNNNNNNNNNNNNNNNNNNNNNNNNNNNNNNNNNNNNNNNNNNNNUCAGCACAAGUAUGCUAAAGAUCUACUGCAAAAGGGCUGGUCUGAGUAAUUGUAAGGCUUCUCCUACUCCUUGCAAGCCACAUAAUCAAGUCUUAAUGUCUGAAGGAGAACCACUGCAUGAUCCUACAUUUUAUAGAAGUAUUGUUGGUGCCUUACAAUACUUAACUUUCAUAAGACCUGACUUAUCCUAUGCUGUCAAUACUGUGUGUCAGUGUAUGACUGCUCCCACUGAGAUACAUUUCAACCUGGUCAAAAGAAUUUUGAGAUACAUUCAAGGUACCAUGAAUUAUGGAAUUCACUUUAUUCAUGGUCCUUGGAAAUUACAAGCUUAUAGUGAUGUUAACUGGGCGGGGGAUUUAAAUGCUAGGAGGUCAACUACAGGUUUUGUGGUAUUGCUUGGACAUAAUCCUAUCUCAUGGCAGUCUAAGAAGCAAGGGUCUGCAUCCAGAAAUUCUACAGAGGCCGAGUAUAGGGCUUUGGCUAGUACAGCUGCAGAUUUGGGUUGGAUUCGAAAGGUUUUGCUAGACUUGAAAGUGUGCUUGCCUCUACCUCCUACCAUCUUUUGUGAUAAUCUAUCUGCUUUGGCACUUAGUAGUAAUCCUGUGUUUCAUUCACGAAUUAAACACUUGGAUACAGAUUUUCACUUUGUUCGUGAAAGGGUUCAAAGGAAUGAUCUGAUUGUUUAGUAUGUUCCCACUCAAGAGCAAAUCGCAGAUGUAUUUACUAAAGGACUGCAUAGUCCUAUUUUCUUGAGUCACUGUACUAGUAUGCGACUUGGAAAUCCAUAGCAGGAUCCAGAGUUGGGUUUGAGGGGGAAUGAUAACAAUAUUAGUUAGUUUGUUAAGCUGUCACGUGUGCUCACGUGUUGUUAGUUAGUAGUAACUAUAAUUAGUUAAGAGUGUUAAGUCUUGGUUAUUGAGAUAUAACACUAAUGAAACUGCCGUUGUAAUUCAUUAUAUACAGAGCAUAUCAUUUCUUCUUCCUUCUUAGUCUUCUCAAUUCUUAAGCUUCCUUUUCUAAACUGUUAUCAGAUGGAACCCUAUCACACCAGAAUUGUGGCAAAUCUGGUAUAGCCGAUUCAGGUUAUUUUCACUAUAUAUCUUUCAGAAGUAUCUGUAACGGGGCAAAUCUCCAUCAAUCCUCUUCUUUUCAGUUUAUCUUUAUGCCCAUUCAUGCAUGUAUAUAUUAUACGAAGAAGUUUUUGACAUAUGGCAUGUAUUGUGUGUCAAAUGUAUACCGAUUCACGAAGACAGGUUCAAGAUCACAUACACCAUAUUCACCUUCAUUUCUUUUUGUUUAUUCUGGGUUUCUGCAAUUUGAAUCACAUUAAAAAACAAAUACUGAACAGUGAUAUAUUCAAUAUUGAUCGGCAUCACAAUUUCAUAUUUCAUAUUGCACUACGAAGGAAAAUAAAACUUACCCCACAGAGAAACAGGAUCCCCUUAUCUGAACCAGUUAUGUUACCUCCUAGUGCCUUCACAAAAAGCCUAAUGAACUCAGGAUUCAUAUGUAGCCCCAGUAAUUAUAUUACCAUCAACAACAGACGCCAACAUGGUCUCGGGUUCCACCCAAUAAGCACCUGCAGGCUGCAGCAACAAGUACAGGUCUGACAGCUGGGAAGGCCGUUAUAGUAUAGCCGCGCGGCUAUACUCUAUAACACUUUAAAGGUAUAGCCGCACUAUACUCCAUAGAAUAUCGCAAACAUAUAGCUGCGCGGCUAUACGCCAUAAGCUGAAUAUUUUAAAAGUACAGCCGCACCGCUAUACUCCAAAAAUUAUAAUAUCAUAAAAGUAUAGCCGAUCGGCUAUACGCGAUAAAUAAAAUAUUUCAAAUUGGCUAUACUCGAAAAAUAGAAAACCAAAAAACAUAUUAAAAUAAAGGGGACCAGAAAGACAUAUAUAUAGCAUUUGAAGAUUUGUAAAUUAAACACAGAUCACGAUUCAGUAAACCUAGGUAGCCCAUUAUCAGAUUAUUUUCACUUAGAGACGAAGGCACUAAUGCAAUUUUGUUUAUUUUGGGUUUACAAAUUCAAGUGAAGUAAACAUUCAAUCUUCAAUAUAAUUGAGUGUGCUUGAUUACAGAGCAUGGAAAAUACCAAUUGACGGUGCUCAAGUGAUGUAAUGAGGCUAAAGAAUAAAUUUUUAUCAUAUAAUCAUUAAAUAUGUUCACUAUGUCAUCGUUAUAUGUAAAUUUUUCAGAAAUAUAUAAACUAGCUAGGAUGUACGUGAAUUCGAAUUUGGAUACAUGAAAUAUUAUUACCUACUACAUCAUUUGACGAACAUAUUUGAUGUUCCUAACAAUUCUAUGUGUACUAGUAAAGUACUUUGUCUUUAAUUUGGAAGUAUCCGAAAGCAUAAUUAAUGUUUUUCAUAUAUUAUCUCGCAGGAGGCAAUUCAAGAAAGAAAGCCAUCAUUAUUGGAGUCGUAGUUGGAGGUGUAGGUCUUUUUAUCCUCAUUGUUGGAGUUUUUCUCUAUUUUAAACUUUCAAGAAAGCCCGAGGCUGCCACAACCACAAAAUUCGAAGUUGCACUUCCUCUUGCAUAUAUACUAUUAUUCAAUUAGCUCCUGCUCUAACUAUGUAUAUAAGAAUGUGAAGGCAAAGAGUCCCACAUUUGAAAGUUGUGAAACCUAGCAAGGGCUUAUAAGAAGUUGGGCUACUCCCCCCAUUGCCAAUUGGUUUUGGGCUUAUCAGAGCGGGUUGCCCACGUGUGAAAGCCCAAUCACGACACGUGCUCCACGUCACCCAAAAUGUGUUGUUUACGUGUUAGGCUUGAAAAUUCUCCACACGUGCAGGGACGUGUGAGAAUGUGAAAGUAAAGAGUCUCACAUUGGAAACUUGUGAAACCUUACAAAGACUUAUAAGGAGUUGGGCUACUCCCCCCAUUGCCAAUUGGUUUUUGGGUAAAUUAUAUGCUAAAGUGCUCUAAAAUAAUUUAUUAGUAUGCAUCAUACAUAGAGAUACAAAAACUAGCAAUAUUAUUUUGGAUGAUAGUUUCCAGCCCAAAAUCAAUUUUGGGCUGGCAAGGCUUCUACCAAAUGAUUAGACUCAUCUUAUUAGAACCAGAUCUGCUGGAACAUUGUAAGUUAAAUUACUUUCUCACAGGCAUAACCCUUGAUGGAGAUCUAUAUGAUCAUUACUCUUCUACAAUAUUUAUACCGGUAUUGUGUUUUGCCCUACUUACCGUUCUAUCCGCACACAAAAAGUGUUAUGAAUCUAUUACAUACAUCUUGUGUAGCCGAAGAGGACUAGUAUAUCUCCACCAUCAUGGUGAUGCUCUCUAGUGUUUCUCUCUAUGGUGAAGUGUCUCUCACUUCUGUUUUAGCCUAUCUGGGCAAUGGUGCUCACGGCACCUCCUACUAAGCCUUCUUUAAAUAACCAAAGAAUUUGGUCCAGCAGCUGCAUGCAUGAAAAAACCGUGCAAGUUGUCCUGAGCACCUUCAAAGUCCUCCACCACAAGACACAGAACAUUAAUGCACCGAAAAAGCACAACCACCAGCAUUCGCAAAGAAGCCAGCCGCUCCUCUUUCUCAUGUCCUUGGUGCAGCACAGUGGGGCACACCUGCACACACAUCUCCUGCUGUCAACCGAAGUCCCUCUUUAUGCAUAGCCCAAGUUGGCUUCUCAAAGAACCCAAGCCAAAAAGUAAUAGCAAUAAUACAAAGCCUACUCUCUCUCUCUCUCUCUCUCACGGGUACACAGACCAACAAUGUGGCCAAUAAACGAAGGAAAAUGCUGGCAACCUUAUCUCCAACCUUAUUUUUGGACAUUUUCCCUUUUCCUCAUGACAUAUGUCACAUCCCAUACACUUGAAAACAAUGACAUUAAUACAUUAAACAAACUACCUUUUGUUUUCGAAGUUUACCCUUAUUAAAUGUAUUGUCUUUCAAUUUAUCCAAAAAUUUUUACAACUCUCUUACUACAUUUAAAAAAUUAAAAAAAUUAAAAAAAUUCAGUUUAAAAAAAAAAAAACAUGUUGUUAUAAAACUAGAGGGAGAAAAUGUAGAGAGAAGUGAUAUGCUAAAGACAAAGUUUCACCAUGUUUAUUCUACCUUAAUCUUUGGUAGAACCACCUAUUUAUAGGCUUACAAGAUAGGAGAUUGAAUACCAUCAUUUACAAUAUACCUAUAGGUUACAAGCAUUAAUUACAAAUACUUAGUGCAUAGGUUACAUAAAAUCCAACGGUGGAAUAUUAAGAGGUAUGGUGGUCAUCCACCAACUCAUGCAUUUACAACACUCCCCCUUGGAUGUCCACCAUACAAUGACAUUGUUUCCUCAUUAAAAACCUUGCUUGGAAAACCCUGUGGGACAAAACCAAAGCGAAGGGAAAAAGAGUGAAACUUUCUUCUGAAUCAUUGAUAUGGUGUUGGAUGAGCUUAUAUUGCCUCGUUAAAACCUUGCUAGGAAAAACCCAGUGGGACAAAAACCUAGUCGAAGGGAAAAAGAGUACAACGCGCAUAUGCCUUGAAUGUAGUAGAAUUGGGAUGCUCCCCCUCAUUGAUAUCUCCCCCUGAUUAAUAUCUCUCCUUCUCUGAUUUGAGCAAUACAAGCAACAUUGUCUUCAUACAUGAUCGUCUAUCACACUAUUCAACCUGCUUUUCACUUUUCAAAUGAUUGAAAUCUUUAGGAGUAUCAACAACUAAUUUAGUAGUUAGAAUAUGUUACAACAAUAUCAAAUUUGAAUUCAAAAUACUCAAACUCUUAGUGUUAACUCUUAAUUAAGAAUAUUGUGGUACUUUAUAUCCUUCAAGAGGUUGCUUCAUCUGAUAUAUCUCAAAUAUUUCAUGAGCUUUGAGGAUUUCCAUGUACCAUAUAGUCUUAAUAAAUAUGCAUUUAACACAUACUAUAAGUUUUGCGUUAAAGUAACAACCGCACUUAUAGAAAUGUGGAUGCAUUUACGAUGAGAUUGGAGACUAAAACCACAUGUACCUCUCCCAGGAAACCUUAUGUCAUAUUAGUGAUCUUAUUUCACUUCACAAACACCAAUUCGUAACCUUCAUACUGAACAUUUGUAAUUUGGUGUUUGAGUUAUAGGUUCAAUAUCCAACUCUUCUUAUUUAGUGAUAAAUGGAAUUGCCUAUUUCCAUUUUUGGCCAAUCACUUAACUUGUCGACAUUCAUGAAACGUGAUUUAAUAUAAUCAUAGCCCUUGAUGAUUGUAGUAGUUACUAAUAAACCAAAUGUAUCAUCAAUUUGUGAUCCCACAAUUCUCAUGUGCAUGCGCAUGCAUAAUUUAUAAGCAUCUCAUUACUUUAGGGUACCAAUGCCUCUUCAAGGGCUUAUGUUGUCACUUAUGGGACAAACAUCUCUUUUACAAUAAAUUAUUUAGAAUAUGUGGAUCAUAACCUCCUAUAGAGCGUUAUUUUUUAUAGAGCUUGAAUUUUUCAAAUAAUCUCCAUUUCUAGGGAGUUAAGUUUUUAGAACCUAUAUUUUUGUCAUGCUUCAGGCAUGCAUUAUAUAUAUAGUCACCAUGUUAAUGGAUUGUGAUACGAGAAUAUCAAUCCAUGUUAGCAUAUGUACAACUUAUAUAUGCAUUUUCUUGAUGAGACAAAAGUGGAUUGAUUCAACACUAUUUCACGAUGUUCUUCAGGAACUGUCAUUUCUCCCCCUAACGGCGGGAAAAUUAUCUCAAAAUUUAGGAAAAUAAACUCACCAUCAUUAUCAAUUCAAAUUGACUGGAUUGGAUAAUGUGGGAGUUGUGCUCGUCAGCGUCUUGACAAGAGAUAAAUAUGUAACCACUUUAGUAGGCAUAUUCAACAAAACUGGUGAAGUGAUCCAUAAUUAAAUGUUGUAUAGGCUCACAAAUAUCCCAUUGAAUUAUGGCUCAAAGUCAAUUUUUGACUGAGAUGAUCUUAUGACAACUUUUAUUUGUGAGCGUUCUUUGUAAUGAUAUUGUUGGACAAGACAAUAAUUUGAGUCUUUAAACGAUGUCCUUACAAAUUUAUAAAAAUCUUAUGCAUCAUUGUGGGACAUGGAUUGCCAAGAUAGUCAUGUCACAACAUAAAAGUUAUUCGGUCAAUGAACUUCUAGUUCAUGACAUCAUAAUCUUCAACUAUAAUAGUUGUGUAAUAUUGGGGGCCUCAAGAACUUUUGGUUCAUAACAUCAUAAACUUCCUACCCACAAAAGAAAGUAGGAAGUUUCUCCAAUAGACGCCUCUGGCUAUCAAUAUUGGGGCGGUAAUACAAAACAUUACCAUUGUAAAACGAAAUUAAUUAAUAACCUAACAUAAAUAAAAUAAAAUAUAAUAAAAUAAGUAAAGUGGUAUAAACAAGGAAUAAAAUAAAUCAAUUAAAGAUUAUGAAAUUCCAAGAUAAUCCAGUAUUAAUGUGGAUUCAAUAUGUAGAUAAAACUACAAGUUUAAGAAUUGGAUUUCCAACCAAUUCAGGUUCAUAUAGGCACAAAUAAGUAAUGAACUUUAGGUUCAUAUCAAUCUAUAUUCGAAACUUCGGGUUCGAAUAUGUAGAUCUAAAUAAAUUGAAUUAAUAGUUGUGCUUUGAACUUCAUACUCAAAUCGAUGUAUAUGCACUCGAAACUUCUGGUUCGAGUUCUUGACACAUGUAGGCCUCAUGGAAUUCUGAUUUUGAUUAAUACAAAAUCGAGGAGUUUCAUGUCCUUAUGUGCUCUUUAAAUUCGCGGAACUUCACGCCCUCAAUUAUUUGGAAUCAAAGAACUUCAGGUUCUGAUUCAAUCAAAAGGACUCUAUAUCCUAAUCUAGUUAUAUGAUGAGGAUCACGGAACUUCGGGCCCCUGAUCUUUUGUAUAAUUCAAACUCAUCAUAAUAAUUAAGAUCAUACUUAAAAUUAAAUAAACAAACAAAUAAAAACAAAAACAUGGCAUUAUAUUCAUGUGUAAUAAGAAUAAGAAUUUUUUUUCUUAAACAAGCAUGAUGAAGUCUGAUGGUGAGUACAAAGAAACUCUAUACCAUGUGAUGACUCUAGCUCAUAUAAGAAGAAAGAAAAUUCAGAGAAAGAAAACAUACCAAGAGCAAUGUCGUGCUGAUAACAUGUUAUAAAACUAGAGGGAGAAAAUGUAGAGAGAAGUGAUAUGCUAAAGACAAAGUUUCACCAUGUUUAUUCUACCUUAAUCUUUGGUAGAACCACCUAUUUAUAGGCUUACAAGAUAGGAGAUUGAAUACCAUCAUUUACAAUAUACCUAUAGGUUACAAGCAUUAAUUACAAAUACUUAGUGCAUAGGUUACAUAAAAUCCAACGGUGGAAUAUUAAGAGGUAUGGUGGUCAUCCACCAACUCAUGUAUUUACAACACAUGUCUAUUUUUUUAGAUUGGAAAACGUUUUUUUUAACACAAGAAUGACCUCAAAAAAAAAAAAAAAUCAACGAAAGAAAGAUUGUUUUUUUUAUACGGACAAAAGACAUCCUUCUAAAGAAGUCUGUAGUCAAAGGAAGUUCAUUGAUUGGAUUUUCAAACCAUUAAUUCGGUAAGUUUGAUUAUUGAUUUUUUUUUUCAAGACCAUUAAUUAGUUAAGUCUUAUUUGUUGGAGUCUUUCAGAAAAGAAAAAAACAAACAAACGUUUUUUCUUAUUUAAUUUUUUAAGUCUUAUUUGAAUGUCUCCUUAUUCCCUUUGGAGUCUUAAAAAAAAGACUUUUUCUCAAUUAAUUUUUGAACAAGGCGAUAAGAAAAUUGUAAAAAAUUUAGAUAAGAAAUUUAAAGAAAUAUUAAAAUCAAUACGUUUAAUAAGGGCUGAUUUGAAAAACAAAUGUUAGCUUGUUUGAUGCAUUAAUUGCAUUGUUUUGAGUUUUUAAAAAGUGACACAUAUCAUGAGAAAGAGAGAGAAUGUCCAAAAGAGAAGGUUAGAGAAAAAGUAGCUAUCAAAGCUUUUUCACAAAGUUAGACACACACGCCCACCAAGUUGGAUUCCAAUUGCUUUAGGUGUAGAUCACUCUAGUGCUGGAACCCACUCCAUGUGUGUCUCCAGCCUUUUAACAAAGAUGGCACGUGCCGUCAUUUCCCCAUUUGAAAACCCACGGUAUGACAAAUGAAGAAAGCUAGCAAACAAACAAGGAUAAAGUAGCCUUUACACAAUUAACAAUACAAUUUGGGCCAAUUUUCAACAGUGAAGGCAUCUUAUUGCAUUCUCCGGAGCCUUUCUUUUUCGAAAUAAGGAUAGAUUUUAAUUUAAACGCUAGAUCUGAAAGCAGAUUCAAUGAUUUCCAUAAAAAUCAUAAUCAACAUUACGUAGUUACAAACAUACAAGAUCCAUCCACAAUUGGUACAUAUAGAGCAGAAUCCGAGCAUCAUUGUUCCCUCACAGAUACACACAACACCUUCACAUAUGCUCUUAUUCUUUUAUUGAAUUACACGGAGUUUCUGGCUAUGCUUCUUUUUCUUUUAUUCUCUUAUUCGUUUAUGGAAUUCCAUAUAUUCCUUGGAAGCAGCAGACCCGGUAAAGGGUGCCUAGAAUGAUACUCGAAUAUCAAGCAAUCUCAUCAACUGAGAAAUAAGCUCUGGUUGGCCAUGCCACGCUGCUGCGGUAACCAGAUUUCCAUCAGUGACACAACGAUCUAUUGGAUCCGCUUCCACAAACGUCCCUCCUGACGAAACCACACGAGCCUUAAUCCCUGGGUAUCCAGUACAUUUCUUCCCCUGAAAUAUAGCCAAUUGAACCAAUUAUAUGACAUGCUAAAAAGUGCCUAAUCAGUUAAUAAGUACAUUAACCACUAAUCAAAAGAAACAGAAAAAAUAUCAUCUCCUUUGCGAUUUUAAAGAGUACUCACCUCCCUCUUCCCCAUAGUUAUUUACAAUUGAGAGGUUAAUAGGUCACAACAGAUCAGCUCAACAGAACCAAAAUACAAAGCACUACCACUAACUAUGUUUUUUUCUUUAAGAACCAUACCUGCAGAACACCAGCAGCAACUAAAAUUUCCAGGCCAUGGCAGAUGGAUGCAACUGGUUUCCCGGCUUCCAUAAAUUGUUUCACUAGUACAAUAACAUCCUCCUUUAGUGCCAAAAACUCUGGAGCUUUACCUCCAGGGAGUACAAGAGCGUCAUAACUUGAGGCAUCUAUGGAUUCAAAGUCAGCUGUUAAAACAAAAUUAUGUCCCCGGAUCUCACUGUAGGUUUGGCCCCCUUCAAGAUCACGGAUAGCAGUUGGGCAGGUAUCACCGGCUUUCUUCUUGGGGCAAACCACAUCAACAUGGCAUCCUAGAACUUUGAGGGUCUGAUAAGGCACAGUUACCUCAUAAUCUUCCGCGUAGUUCUACAAAUAUUGGGGAGGGGAGCAAUUAAAUGAUGAUGAUUAGUAACUAACAGUUUAAUCAUUGGCUAUAUUUUGUCCCAUAUUUGUCAUUGCAAUAUAAAAGAAACAGAAAAGAAAGCUUACUCCAAUGAUGAUGAGGACCCUUCUCUCUGAAGCACAUAUUUUGCCUCCCAGUGCCUGAGAAAAAGCCUAAUGAACUCAGGAUUGCCAUAAUAUGUGACCCCAGUAAUUAAAUUAUCAUCAGCAACACACACUGACAAUGUAUCGGGUUCUACCCAGUGAGCACCAGCAGCAACCAAUCCAGGUUUCAUAGUUGAAACCGCGGUGCAUUUGCGACCUUUAACAGCGCCUGCAGGUGCUAAGACCAACAGCCCAUGGCAAAUAGCAGCAAUUGGCUUUCUGCAGUCAGAAAAUUUUCUCGCCAAUUCUACAACGGAUGCCUUCAUAGCAAGAUGUUCAGGAGAUCGUCCUCCUGGUAUAACUAGACCAUCAUAUUUGUCAAUUUCGAUGUCAUCAAAUGUUGCAUUCAGUGUGAAAUUGUGACCACGAGAUUCUUUAUUAGCCUGUAACCAAAAAGGUACACGAAAGAAAACCAAACACAACACACACAUUAAAACAAGAGUAAUGGUUAGGUGAAUUCAAGCUUCUUUGUCUUGCUUGUCUCUCAAACUCAAACUCAAACUCAAACUCAAACUCAUCAGAGGUUGUUUUCCAACAACUGUGUUCAAUAUUAAACAUAUAAAAUAUAUUCCUCUUGUUUACAAAUAAAAAAGAACAGGAAAGACAGGAAAGACAGAAUUUGACCUGGUCAGUGGACUCUACUUGAAUGGUUAUGGCAGUGGCGCAGAUAUCACCAGCUUUCUUGACAGGAGAAACUGCAUCAACAGAGACUCCAAAUGCCUGCAGUGCUUGAAAUGGGACCAUUGCCUCGUAAUCUUCCAUGUAGUCCCCGCACAGUAACAACACCCUCCUCUGCACCUCGCCUUUCGGAUUCCCCAUUUCUUUUCUUAUUUCCUUCUUUAGUUUCUUUCUUCUUUUUCAGAGAGAGAGAGUUUUCAGAGAGAUUUUUCAGAGAGAGAGAGAGAGGGAGAGAGUCUGAAUACAAGAAGGUAGGUUAUAGCUUGAGCUGCUCUGCUUUGCUUACUUAAAUACUCACAAAAGCGUUUUUGGAGGUUUGUGGAGUCAGCUCGAUACGGUCGCACGCAAUUUGAGCAACACAUCGCAGUCAGUUAUCGUGGCAUCUCUCUAUUCGCCGCUUCUUUUCAGUUCGGAUAACUAUUCUAUUAGUUUCGAGCCUAUCACCGUCUCCAUGUUUGAUACGUUUUUUUGUUGUCUUCUUUACCGACCAAGUGAGUCUAAAUUAUUGAAACUUAAGUUUGUUCUCUUCACGGACCAAGGGGGUCUAAAUUAUUGGAGGAAGAUUGAAACUUGAGUUUGUUCUCUUCACGGACCAAGUGAGUCUAAAUUAUUGGAGGAAGAUUGAAACUCGAGUGCAAAGAGACGGAUUUAUUCUCUUGUUGUGAAUACAAGUAAUGGUCUAAAUUAUUAGAGAAGUAUUCUAACUUGAGUGCAAAGAGCACAAACUUAAGUGCAAAAGAGUGGACUCACUGUCUUAUUACGAGUGCAAAUGAUAGUCUAAAUUAUUAGAGAAAUAUUCAAAUUAUAGUGCAAAGAAGCAUACUCACUGUCUUAUUGUGAAUAUUCGAAUAUUCGAGCUCAAUGCUUCCUUUUCGAUUGAAAAAAAAAAGAAAAAAAGAAGCUCAAUGCUUCCAAGCUAAUGUCCCUAUACUAUAGAAAAGCUCUUUAGAGUCGUCAUCCUCUUCUUCUUGCCUUCAUUGUAGCAUGUGUGUGGGCCCAAUAGUAAAGCUCAAUGCUUCCAAGCUAAUGUCCCUAUACUAUAGAUUAUAGAAAAGCUCUUUGGAGUCCUCAUCUUCCUCUUGCCUUCAUUGUAGCACGUGUGUGGCCCAAUAGAAAAGCUAAUGUCCCUAUAUUAUAUGGACUAUGCGGACAGUGAUGGAUUCAAGAUUAUGUGGCCAAGGGGGCUUAGUGUAAAGUUCCGAAAUUUUUCUACAAAGAAAAUAAUGCUAAAAAAAUAUAAAGAUAGUACUAUAAUCCGUCAUUUGAGUUCUUAGUCCAGGGUCUUCCUGAAAAUUAGCUAAUAUCUCAUCUACUUCAAUUGGUCUUGCAUUUGAACUACCUGGGUUAGGCGAAGAAGGACUAUCCGUAGAUAAUUUUCUUUUAAAGAUUCGUUCCAUAAAUCUACAAAUCAAUUAAUUCAAUCAAUCAUUAAUUUUUAUCCAAAUUAUCAUAUGAAUAUGAAAAUUUCAAUAAUCCACUCUCAAUAUUCAAUAUAUCUAAACCCAUAUUAAUCAAUAUUCAAUAUACCAAUACUUACGAAUGAAAGUUCCAGCGACAUCAGGGAAUUUUUCCCUUAUGUAAUUGUCCAAUCAAUAUUCAAAAUAAUCAAUCAAUUCACAUUAUCAAGCAUAAACUCACUCAAUCUACAUUAUCCAUCAAUAUGAUUCAUAUACAUAAAUUUCAUUACAUAAAAAAUAUCAAUAUCAACAAUAUAUAUUAUCACUAUAAGGGUUGGGAGAUUGGGAAUGAAGGGUGGGUUGGAAGAUUGGGACAGGUUAGGGUUUGAAAGGGUGGGAAGAGCUGUGAAAUUGUGAAAGGACCCGCCCCGAAUUUUCUCAAAACCCGAGACGAACCCUUUGGAAUUCCUGACAUCACUCCGAUGCCAGACCCACUUACUAAAAACCGAGACUCCCUGCCGAAAUUUCGGCAGAGUCUCCCCUAUAAAUUGGACAUUUUCCAAAAUUUAUACCUGCAUGAAAAUGCAUUUAAUAUUCCCAACUGGCAGCAUGCACAAUAUAAUUUCAUGCAAAUUCUCAUAAAUGGCCUUCGGCCUUCAAUUAAUUCUCAAACAACUACCAAGCAAUUCAAAUACAAAUUAUGACUAAUAUUUAGUCUGCGGCUGCACCUAAUAACCUUAGGCUGCCUACGUACCCUCCUUGAGAGAUCAAGCCACACGUAGUUCUUCCUUAAAAACCCAAUUCCACACUUGGGCGAUGCCUUAUUUCAUUUCUCUGUAUUUCACAUAUUCUCCCCAUACGCCGGUACAACCAACGCCACGUAUGAGGCCUGUCAACACGCCGGAUAACCUACGCCACGUGCGACCAUGCCAUACUAUCAUAAUAUCUCCCUAUUCGCCGGUACAACCAACGCCACGUAUGGGGCCUGUCCCAAAGCCGGAUAACCUACGCCACGCGGGACCUCAAUAUCAUAUCACAAAUCUCCCCAUACGCCAGUACAACCAACGCCACGUAUGGGGUCUGUCGACACGCCAGAUAACCUACGCCACGUGAGACCUGAACAUCAUAUUACAUAGCUCCCCAUACGCCGGUACAAUCAACACCACGUAUGGGGUCUGUCCCAACGCCGGAUAACCUACGCCACGCAUGGGGUCUGUCCCAACGCCGGAUAACUUCCACUUGGUGGUACAUGUAGUGAAUCCAACGUCCGAGGAGGUACCUACAGCAGUGCGUAUAGCACUCCAAACUGACAUUCUUGACUCUGUUGUACCCUUGUACAACCACAUAUAAUUAUAUUUAUAUAAAUUAAUUCUUAUAUUGUGUAACCCUCCACAAUAGUCUAGCUCCCGAUAAACCCACCCCCCCCCCCCCCCCGGAAGGGGGAGAUUACUCCGGGAGAUUCACGGUCAACCAAGGGUCAAACUACUCUAACCCUGGUCAAACGGACUUGCAGAACCCAUGACCUCCAAUUUCCGAUCCGAAAGUCUCUAUGGGUUCUACCAGGUAUAGGACACUUGUCCUGCGAGUUUGGUUCAGAUCAGACGAUCGGAUUUCUCACGAUCGCAUGAUCUGACAGUUAAUAUAAAAUAUAAACUUUAAAUUAUUAUUCGGAACAUCUGGGGCUCCGAUUCACGAUCCGUGAAUUCCUACACGAUCCUAGAAAUACCUAGAUUAACAUAUAUUAAAUUUGGGACCAUCAGACGGUCCCAACCUAUCGAACCCAGAUAACGCAUAAUAUGCGAUUAUCCGUUCGAUAGUCAAACGACGUCCGAAUUGAGAUCCGCGAAUCCUACGCACUCGUGACAACCUAAGGAUCUCAUCAGAACACAGUGCUAUUUUUCUACAGUGCCCACGCGCCAGCAGCGCGUGGGUGCCCAAAGCGAUAAUGCUUCGCCGGAAAAUCUCAAAACCACGGCUCCAAACUCCUACCCUAGGUAUAACACCCUAUUUGGAGCCACUUUUGUUCUUGGACCUACCCCAAAAAGUGGCCGGAAAUGGCCGAUCACGGCAGCCGAAGUUUCGGCCGAUUUUCAAUUCGAAAAUUGAGUUGGCUACGCUAAGAAUUGAUCUAAUCCUAUCCAACCAUCAGCUAGAGCAGCUCGAGAGGUUCAAAAUCCAUACAUGGGUCGACGGAAUUGGUGGCCGGAGGAGGGAGAUCGGCGGCCGUGAAAAUCGGGCGACAUCCGGGCGAAAAUCGCCAUUUUCUGGCGGCUGGAGCAGCGGCCGAUGUCGGGGGUGGGCUGGGUCGUGACGCCGAGGCCGAGCCGGUUCUUUUGGUACCGGCCCCGUCCGCAGCCGCGGCCGGUGGCUGGAGUUACGAGGAGAGAGAGAGAGAGAGAGAGAGAGAGAGAGAGAGAGCCGACGGGAGAGAGAGAGAGAGAUCGCGGGAGAGAGAGAGAGAGAGAGAUCGUGGGAGAGAGAGAGAGAGAGAGAGAGAGAGAGAAACCAGAUUUUAUAAAAAAUCCCAUUUCGAAAUAUUUACGAUUAUGCCACUGGGCUUCUUUUGACCAUAUCUCUCUCGUUACAACUCCGAUUCGAGCCCACUACGUGUCUAUGAACUCGUCUCAGUACGACCUAUCCAAAAAUACAAGUCACGGUCCAAAACUCUCUGCAGUAGUGUGUAUAGCACUCCAAACUGACAUUCUAGACUCUGUUGUACCCUUGUACAACCACAUAUAAUUAUAUUUAUAUAAAUUAAUUCUAAUAUUGUGUAACCCUCCACAAUAGUCUAGCUCCCAAUAAUCCCCCCCCCCCCCCCACAAGGGUGAGAUUACUCCGGGAGAUUCACGGUCAACCAAGGGUCAAACUACUCUAACCCUAGUCAAACGGACUUGCAGAACCCACGACCUCCAAUUUCCGAUCCGAAAGUCUCUAUGGGUUCUACCAGGUAUAGGACACUUGUCCUGCGAGUUUGGUUCAGAUCAGACGGUCGGAUUUCUCACGAUCGCAUGAUCUGACGGUUAAUAUAAAAUAUAAACUUUAAAUUAUUAUUCGGAACAUCCGGGGCUCCGAUUCACGAUCCGUGAAUUCCUACACGAUCCUAGAAAUACCUAGAUUAACAUAUAUUAAAUUUGGGACCAUCCGACAGUCCCAACCUAUCCAACCCGGAUAACGCAUAAUAUGCGAUUAUCCGUUCGAUAGUCAAACGACGUCCGAAUUGAGAUCCACGAAAUCCUACGCACUCGUGACAACCUAAGGAUCUCAUCGGAACACAGUGCUAUUUUUCUACAGUGCCCACGCGCCGCCGCACACGCCGGCAGCGUGUGGGUGCCCAAAGCGAUAACGCGUCGCCGGAAAAUCUCAAAACCACGGUUUCAAACUCCUACCCUAGGUAUAACACCCUAUUUGGAGCCACUUUUGUUCUUGGACCUACCCCAAAACGUGGCCGGAAAUGGCCGAUCACGGCGGCCGAAGUUUCGGCCGAUUUUCAAUUCGAAAAUUGAGUUGGCUACGCUAAGAAUCGAUCUAAUCCUACCCAACCAUCAGCUAGAGCAGCUCGAGAGGUUCAAAAUCCAUACCUGGGUCGACGGAAUUGGUGGCCGGAGGAGGGAGAUCGGCGACCGUGAAGAUCGGGUGACAUCCGGGCGAAAAUCGCCAUUUUCCAACGGCUGGAGAAAAACCAGAUUUUAUAAAAAAAUCUCAUUUUGAAAUAUUUACGAUUAUGCCACUGGGCUUCUUUUGACCGUAUCUCUCUCAUUACAACUCCGAUUCGAGCCUACUACGUGUCUAUGAACUCGUCUCAGUACGACCUAUCCAAAAAUACAAGUCACGGUCCCAGACUCUCUCCGGUUAAAAAUAUGACUAAAAUACCCUUAAAUAAUUAAAUAAUUAAAUAAUUAAAUAAUUAAAUAAUUAAAUAAGGGUAAAAUUUGGGGUCGGGGUGUUACAAAUUGGGAAUGAAGGGUUUGGAGGCGCUGUGCAUUCGGGUAAGUGAUUCGGUGUUCUUUUUUUUUAUGUUUUUUGUUUUUUUAAACUUGGCCCAAAACGACGUCGUUUUGAAGCCAGGUCAAUUAAAAAAAAUUUGACUGAGCCUUGGACCAAACGACGUAGUUUGGCAAGGCUCGUUUUAGAAAAAAGGGAUGCGCAGCUUGAGCGGGCAAGGCACAGCGCAGCUGCGCAAUAGAAGAAAAAAUGGCAUGGGACUUUUGUCGAGCAGUUGGUGUGCGUACCAGGGGUCAUCCAGCAGCUGUCCAAGGGGGCUUUCAUGGAUUCCCUUGCCAAUUUUCCUGCCUUCCAAGGGGUCAUCGGACCCCUCUUGUCCCAAUGUGCGUCCGCCAAUGCAUGCGGAUAAAUAAAUGUAAUGUUUAUCUCUAACAGAUCAUGCUUUUUGAGCUGUGAUAGUUUUGGAAUAGUGUUCGCGUGCAUUUUACCUCGACUGCCAUGUUGAUUUUCACCAGAGCAGCAAAGCUGCUUGCUUUGUGUUAUGAGGUCUGGUUUUGUCAACAAACUAUAUUGCUUGACCCAGAAGAAAAUGCAAUAUCAUGUGGAUCCUCAUUUCGCAGUUGCAGGAGGAUGGUUGUGAAAAUACAAGAGCUAAUUCUGGAUAACAUGAUAUUUGUGGGAGCGAUUUCUUCCCACAAGAAUAUUCAAUUGAAAGAUUCCUCUUUCAUCUUCGCCACCCCUUUCUCCUUGCAAAAUAGAUCGAAACAAGAGGACCACACCCGUGAGGUGUUGGCCAAAUGCCCUCAGAUGCCUAAGUUAGUUCAAUUGAUUCGUAGAGAAAACAAUAGCUAAAUAGGGUACAAAGAUAUAUAUAUAUAUAUAUAUAUAUAUGUAAGGUGUAAACCGGGUGGCCGAAGCCAUGAGUGGUGGUCGGAGCCUUGUGUAAAAGGGAGAGAGAGUAUGGCGGCUAGGGUUUGUGAGGGAUAAUUUCUGCAGAGUUUCAGUAGGAAUUUAGACGUAGCUCAACCCUUGUGCGUAGCCAUCUAUUUACAGGGGCCUCGGAGGCUAGGGUUUCAGAGGAAUAAUUCCGCAGAUGGAAAGGAAUUAUUCUUCCCUGAUUUGGCGAGAUUGGCUUAAUUAGGGAUUUGAAUGUAGGAAUCAAAUCAAUCCCAAUUAAAUUAGAUAACUCCCAAUUAGGUAAAAUAAUCCCCAAAUGGAAGGAAAUAUUUCACCUAGGGCUUUGCUAGAAUUGGGCUCCCACAAUAUUCAUUCAGGUAAAACUUCGAGGUGUACGGUGAGAGAGAUAGAGACCAAAGGGACUGACGACUAAUAAAUCGUAGUGUCCUUAGCAUAAGUAGUAUAACACAAGCUUCAUCCACAACCAACUUGCAUAGAACAUGGCAUAUACAUAUCAAAACCAGUGUCACUUGUUCCCUCAUAUAUACAAACGUCACCUUAACAUAACACAACAUACAUGCCUUAUUCUUUCACGAAUUACAUAAAGUACAUGCAAGCAGCUGACCCGGUAAACAACAACUAGAAUGAUACUCGAAUAUCAAGCAAUGUCAUCAAUUGAGAAAUGAACUCUGGGUGGCCCGGCCAUGCUGCUCCAGUAACCAAAUUUCCAUCCGUGAAGCAACGAUCUAUUGGAUCAGGUUCCAGGCAUGCUGCUCCCAGCAAAACCACAUUAAGGUUCACCGCUGGAUACGCAGUACAUUUCUUUCUCUAUAAUUUAGCCGGUUAACAACAAUUAGGACACGAUUAAAAAAAGUUCAUAAUGUGAAAAUAAGUAAAUCAACCCUCAAUCAGAAGAAUCAACAAAAGACAAACAUAUUACAACUUCAAGGUGGUUUCUUUUUUACCUCGUCAUUAAAUACUCACUCUGAUAAAACUUUAUAUAAACAGAAAAUAGGCAGUGUCCCUCUUACAAAAUUGAUGACACUCCUAACUCUUCCUAACAACUUCUGAAAAACUGAAACUGCCUAGCUCCGCCAAGCCUUUUGGUUUUCCUUACUAGGUAAUUUCUUCUUUUACCCCAUUCCCGUGAACUUGUCCUCCUUGGCUCAUUGAAUGUUCGUUAUGUCUCCACCCAUACUCAGCCAAACAUUUGAUGUACUUUAAAUCUUUAGUAUUCAAUAAUACUGCAUAACUGUUGAUAUUUACAUAAAUGGUUCAUAAAAUUGAAGUGGAGAAGAAACUAUCUUAAGAGUUGAGAAUGAGUUUGGGUGGCUUGAGUGAAAAAACUUUAUCCAUCAACACAAGGAGAUGGUGAAGGCAUCUUAUUAUGGUGGGAUCAUUUGCAUCCUCCGGAGCCUUUUUUUUUCAAAAUACUGCCAGAUUUUAAUCAUUAAACUAAGAAUGUAAACGCUAGAUCCGAAAGCAGAUUCAAGGAUUUCCAUAAAAAGCAUAAUCAACAUUACGUAGUUAAAAACAUACAAGAUCCAUCCACAAUUGUUACAUAUACAGCAGAAUCAGAGCAUCAUUGUUCCCUCACAGAUGCACACAUCACCUUAACAUAUGCUUUUAUUCUUUUAUUGAAUUACACGGAGUUUCUGACUAUGUUUCUUUUUCUUUUUUUACUCUUAUUCGUUUAUGGAAUAACAUAUAUUACUUGGAAGCAGCUGAACUGGUUAAGUUUGCCUAAAAUGAUACUCGAAUAUCAAGCAAUGUCAUCAACUGAGAAAUAAGCUCUGGUUGGCCAUGCCACGCUGCUGCGGUAACCAGAUUUCCAUCAGUGACACAACGAUCUAUUGGAUUCGCUUCCGCAAACGUCCCCCCUGACACAACCACAUGAGCCUUAAUCCCUGGGUAUCCAGUAAAUUUCUUCCCCUGAAAUAUAGCCAAUUAAACCAAUUAUGUCAUGCUAAAAAGUGCCUAAUCAAGAAAUAAGUACAUUAACCACUUAUCAAAAGAAACAGAAAAAAUAUUAUCUCGUUUGCGAUUUUAAAGAGUACUCACCUCCUUCUUCCCAAUAGUUAUUUACAAUUGAGAGGUUAAUAGGUCACAACAGAUCAGCUCAACAGAACCGAAAUACAAAGCACUAGAUGUAACCUUUUUUACUUCCUUUUCAAGUUCAAUCGAUAAAGUAUUUCAAUCUGUUUUACUUUAUCUUUAAUAAGUAGCAUUAAAACUGGAAGCAUUAUAUUAAUGUUUUAGUGACAAACGUUUAACCACUAAAAUGCAGGUAGGAUAUAUGUUUUUUCUUUAAGACCAUACCUGCAGAACACCAGCAGCAACUAAAAUUUCCAGGCCAUGGCAGAUGGAUGCAAUUGGUUUCCUGGCUUCCAUAAAUUGUUUCGCUAGUACAAUAACAUCCUCAUUUAGUGCCAAAACCUCUGGAUCUUUUCCUCCAGGGAGUACAAGAGCGUCGUAACUUGAGGCAUCUACGGAUUCAAAGUCAGCUGUUAAAACAAAAUUUUGUCCCUGCGUUUCACUGCAGGUUUGGGCCCCUUCAAGAUCACGGAUAGCAGUUGGGCAGGGAUCACCGGCUUUCUUCUUGGGGCAAACCACAUCAACAUGGCAUCCUAGAACUUUAAGGGUCUGAUAAGGCACAGUUACCUCAUAAUCUUCCACGUAGUCCUACAAAUAUUACAAAUAUUGGGGAGGGGAGCAAUUAAAUGAUAAUGAUUAGUAUCUAACAGUUUGAUCAUUGGCUAGAAGCCUAAAACCAUGAACUUGUCGUGGCGAAACUGGUAAAGCCGACUCGGGCUUUCUCCCCUUUCUCUUUUAAUAAUAUUAAGGUUGGUUGUCACUUGAACUUGAGCAUACUAUUUUGUCCUAUAUAUGUCAUUGCAAUAUUAAAGAAAAAGAAAAGAAACCUUACUCCACAGAUGAUGAGGACCCUUCUCCCAGAACCAGAUAUGUUGCCUCCUAGUGCCUUGAGAAAAAGCCCAAUGAACUCAGGAUUG
This 110023-nucleotide long non-coding RNA is filed under the name Prunus persica (peach). RNAcentral's name for it is "long non-coding RNA (PPER_LNC002899)". The record is from RNAcentral. Lineage: Eukaryota; Viridiplantae; Streptophyta; Magnoliopsida; Rosales; Rosaceae.